UGGCAAAUAAGUUGAAUCUCUGCCUUGAUUCCAAUUACAUCAAAUUGCAGACUAUUCCUUGUAUAUCAAUUGUGGAGGAGACAAAAUAACUUCAAAGAAAGGGAAGAAAUAUGAAAAAGACGAUGGAAUUGAGGGUGCAUCACAGUUCUCUAUUGAUAGUACAAACAAAUGGGCUUAUAGCAGUACAGGGGCUUUCAUAGGCAAAACGGAUCAUAGUUACCUAGCCAAAAACACAUCUGCUUUGAAGUCAGAGGAUGCAGAGAUCUACCAAACUGCUCGUCUUGCUCCCAUCUCACUCAAGUAUUAUGGGCUUUGCUUGCGAAAGGGCCCUUAUAAAGUGCGACUCCACUUUGCUGAAAUCAUGUUUUCUAAUAACCAGACAUUUGGUAGCCUUGGGAGGCGCUUGUUCGAUGUUUCAAUUCAAGUGAGUGAAAAAUAUCAAUUUCAUUAUCUCUAUUCCAAAUAUGUAAAGAACUGACUGUACUUUCUACAGGGAACUGUAGUUUUAAGGGAUUUUAAUAUCAUGGAAGAAGCUGAAGGUGCCGGUAAUGGCAUUUAUAGGGAUUUUGAUGCUUCUGUUAAUGGUAGCACUCUGGAGAUCCACUUAUACUGGACAGGCAAAGGGACUAAUUCCAUUCCGGAAAAAGGUGUAUAUGGACCUCUUAUAUCUGCUAUUGCAGUGACACCAAGUGAGCUUAUCUCAUAUUCCGGGUUUUACUACUUCUCUUGCCACUAGCUUGUCAUGGUGUUAUAUAUCUUACUGUUCUUGUAGAUUUUGAUCCCAACCCGGGGCUGUCUGUUGGAGGUAUUAUCGGCAUUGUGAUAGCUUCAUGUGUGGUCCUCGUAUUGAUUUUGGUACUCCUACGAAUGAAAGGCUACUUAGGAGGAAAAGACCUCGAAGAUAGAGGUGAGAUUAAUCAUGCAGGAAAUUUGAGACUGUAAUGCCUUACCUCUUUGAAAUUGUGACAAUACUUCGGAAAUAUUUGGAACUCUCUGUGCUUGUUUUUCACCAAUUUUAUUUCACUUGUUACAGAACUACGUGAGCUAGGAACUGGUUAUUUUAGUUUACGACAGAUCAAAGCUGCUACCAAUAACUUUGACUCUGCAAAUAAGAUUGGUGAAGGUGGAUUUGGCCCAGUUUACAAGGUAGUUGCAGAUUUGGAUUUUUCUUUAACAACUGUAUGCUAAAGUAGUUAUUAAGAGGGAAAUGCAAUACUUUUCUGCAGCUAUCUCAUAUCCUUACAUUAUCUGAGUUCUUGAUCUUAGGGUGUACUGCCAGAUGGUUCAGUAAUUGCUAUUAAGCAGCUCUCGUCUAAAUCGAAGCAAGGGAACCGAGAAUUUGUAAAUGAAAUAGGCAUGAUAUCUGCCUUACAACACCCAAAUCUUGUGAAGCUUUAUGGCUGUUGUAUUGAAGGGAACCAGUUGUCGCUCAUAUACGAAUAUUUGGAAAACAAUUGUCUUGCACGUGCACUUUUUGGUAAAUGCUUCACUAGAAUUUUGUAUUCCAUUUUAUUAUAUUUCAACAAUGAAUAUUAUGACUUAAGCCUCUCCCUCGACCACUUGUAGAUCGCAAUGAACAGCGGCUAAAUUUGGACUGGCCAACUAGGAAGAAGAUAUGCUUGGGGAUAGCAAGAGGAUUGGCAUAUCUUCAUGAGGAGUCAAGAUUGAAAAUUGUUCAUAGAGAUAUAAAGGCAACAAAUGUGCUGCUUGAUAAGAAUCUAAAUGCUAAGAUAUCUGACUUUGGCUUGGCUAAGCUGGAUGAAGACGAGAACACCCAUAUCAGCACACGGAUAGCUGGAACCAUGUGAGUGUUUUUGUUCAUUUCCUCCUUUUAUUAGCUUCCCUAUAUCAAAUUUGUAUAUGAUAUAAGAUUAUGACUUUGGCACUGAAAAUGUGGAGAUUAAUUUCUUCUAUGCAUUUGAAUCCAUGUCAGAUAAAUAAAAAAUUGAUACAAUGAGACGGAAGUGACCUUGAUCGAUAGAAAACUUAGUCAACCACUAAAGUAUGGAAUUUCCAACUAGCAGUUCUUUUUUCCAUUUUAGGUUUAAGAAGCUCAUUCACUUCAUUGUUUAUUCUGUAAAGUCGAUUAUUGAAACAGUUCUAGAAAAGUCUAUUAUUGAGAAUUUGUUGCUACAAAAUCUGAAGUAUCAGUGGCUUCCAGGCAUAAGUUGUCAUAUGAACCUCAAAAGGAAAUGGGGUGAUCUUCUUUUUGCGGUUUUAGAGAAGCAGAAUUUAGUAAUACUGUCGAGUUUCUGAAGUGGGUUUCAUGCAUAUUCAGAAAAUUUUUCCUCUCAAACAUGGUUGAUUAGUUCUUCUUGUCCUCUUUCUAACAAUAAGUUUUUGCAUAUAUUGAUUAUAUAUGUAUAGCACAAAACUCACCACUGAGUUGCUGAUUUUUCUUCAGAGGAUACAUGGCUCCUGAAUAUGCAAUGAGGGGUUACUUGACCGACAAAGCAGAUGUUUACAGCUUUGGAAUUGUUGCUUUAGAGAUUGUCAGCGGGAAAAGCAACACCAAUUACAGGCCAAAGGAAGAGUUUGUUUAUCUUCUUGAUUGGGUAAACAAUGGAUUCUUGCUCAUCCUUUUUGCUUUUUCUUUUCUUACCAUAUGUGCUUAUAAUGAAGAACGUGUUUCGGGUUCUACAUUGUUGGACUGCAGGCUUAUGUCCUGCACGAGCAGGGAAAUCUUCUGGAGCUGGUGGAUCCAAGUCUUGGUUCAAACUACUCAGAGGAGGAGGUGAUGAGGAUGCUGAACUUGGCCCUCUUAUGCACCAACCAAUCUCCCACUCUCAGGCCACCCAUGUCCUCUGUAGUGAGUAUGCUUGACGGCAAAAUUGCAGUCCAAGCACCAACAAUCAAGCAUGAUACUAUGAACCCGGAUAUGAGAUUCAAAGCCUUUGAGAAGCUCUCACUGGACAGCCAGUCUCAUGUCUCAGCAUUCUCUGUUGACAAUCAGGUCCAAGGCAGCAUAUCACUUGAUGGACCAUGGAUUGAUUCCUCAAUUUCCCUCCAUAGCAGAGAAGAAACAAGGGACUUUUCUUCAUCAAGCAAGCUUCUUACAGGACAUCAAGAUCUUUACAGUAUACAUUUGAACUGAUCAAUGAAAAUGAGGUAUACUAAUAAUACUUCCAAGUUGUUCUUGCUUGAAGUUUUCUGCAAGGAUGUUUUCUGAAAACUAUUUCAAAUUGAUUCUUGAAGUAGUAGAAGCAGAAAUAAGCUUAUUUUGUUGUAUAAUUACAAUAUUUGUAUAAAAUUAUGUGAAUAAGUGCUCCGGUUGAGGCUUGAUGAAGAAAAAUAUUUAUAUUUCUUUAUUUUUCCAACUUACUCCUAUGGUGGUAACUCAUCAUUCCACAGGGAGAAAUCAGUAUUUUUAUUUUAUUUUGUUCAACUUUAUUUCUGUCGUGUAUCCAAAAAAGUUGAUGAACGGAAGGAAAUAAAAGGUUUUACUCUAUUGGGCUUGAGCCCACUUGAAUUAUAAGACUAUACUAAAUCCAAAGUCCAUUUUCUAGGCUUCAGGCCCAACUGAAUUAACUGCGACCCCACCAAUUUGUCUUGGUAUGAUGUGGAAUGAGCAUCUCUACUCUAAUGGGGUUUGGGCCCCCUUGAAUUGUCACAUUGUUGAACCUAACUUAGACUCAGUCCAAUGCCAACUUGUUGAGCUUUUCGCCUACUUGAAUUGAGCGGGAGGCCCACCAAUUUUUAUUGAUUUGAGAUUCGAAGAAAUGAUGGUGACAACUAACAUGUGAGAAGAUGAUGUUUUCGUGGUAGAAAAUCAGAAAACUCCUUAGGGUUCUUAGACAAUCAAAGACAUCCAAAGGCACUUGGAAGUUUUUGGUCAGUAAAACAGUCAUAUAUCAAAAUUCCUUAGACAAACAAACCUUGAUGCCUGUCUUUCAAAUUUCCUUAGACAAACAAACCUUGAUGCCUGUCUUUUUACCAAUCCCCAUUUAUGUUCCUCUCAAUAUCUCUCCCNNNNNNNNNNNNNNNNNNNNNNNNNNNNNNNNNNNNNNNNNNNNNNNNNNNNNNNNNNNNNNNNNNNNNNNNNNNNNNNNNNNNNNNNNNNNNNNNNNNNCCCCCCCCCCCCCACCUUCAUACAGAUUACAUAAUUACAUUACUUCUAUCUAUGUGCCCAUACAAUCAAUUUAACCUUAGUCUAACUCUCCUUCCUUCAUGGUUCUCUAAACCUCACUUACAUUUAGUGUUUUAUUACUGUAAUUUCUUGUCCUUCAUGAUUUCUCAUGACAUUGCACUAAGAGCAUAUAGAAAACUCCCUGCCCUUCAAAAUUUUCCCUUCAAAAUUUUCCCCAUUUACUUUUCUUAGUAGUGCUUCUUGAUUUCAUACUUGUUUGCAGGGCAAAAGGAUUCUAACAUGGACCCAUCCUAGACCACUUUUCUGAAUUGAAACUAUUAUGAAUUCACUAUCUCUUGUUUUUAUUGUCCAACCCACUAACACCAUGAUAUUUUUUAAAUUAUAUAUCUAUAACCAUAAUAUCAAUUGCUUUUUAUCACACUUCAAAUUAUUUUAGGGAAAAUUCUAAGACGUAUGAUUAAAUCUCGAUCAAUGAAUGAAGGUAUAAAGAAAUAAGACAGCUACAAAGUAGCAAGAACUUUUUGGCCAUGUGGUUGUUCUUGAUUGGACAUCACUAGCACCAUAGCAAGAUCCUUAUCCUAGCUUUUGAGUUUAUGCAUGUUACUGAUAUAUGGAAAAACGUUUAUGCCAACACCCCACUGAGGAAGAAUGGGCCAUGUUUGUACCAACACCCAACUAAGGAACACCAAGCCUAAAGUUAGGUUUGAAAAAGCACUAUUUUUGGACCUUUUUUCUAAAGAAGAAUCUUCAAUGAUUGUACAGAGGCUGCUUGCUUAAAGAACAACAUCUUUAGGAACCAAAGGCUUUAUGAUUCGGAUGGCACUUUCAAAUCUAAACCCACACCUUGAACCAACUUGAUGAAAAUUUUUUUGGAAGAAAAUUAGGUAUUAUGCUUGAAUUUGCUCUUGAUUUCACUUUUAAUGGACUAAAAUCAAUGCUAUUCCUUGAAGACAUAGUCAAAAUUUUAUGUUGCUCUAGUGGCUCCUACAAUAAUUAAGAGAGGUACAGUAGAGAUUGAAGGGUUAUAGUAGUAGAGAAUUUUAGUGUGAUGAGGAGUUGAGUUCAAGUUUACCUUUAGGUAGUACCUAGGGUCCCUUAAGGUAGUACCUGAAGGCCACUAAGGUAGUACCUAAGGGCCCUUAAGGUAGUACUUAAGGUACAAUCCCAAAAAACCAUUGGUGGACUACUUCAACACUAAAGAGAACCACAUAAUGGGAUGCUCUAAGGGUCAUAAAGGAAAACCCGAGGCUUGGGAGAGGUUGAGUUCAAGUUUACCUUUAGGUAGUACCUGAAGGCCACUAAGGUAGUACCUAAGGGCCCUUAAGGUAAUACCUAAGGUACAGUCCCAAAAAACCAUUGGUGGACCACUUCAACACUUAAGAGAACCAUAUAAUAGGAUGCUCUAAAGGUCACAAAGGAAGACUCGAGGCUUGGGAGAGGUUGAGUUCAAGUUUACCUUAAGGUAGUACCUAGGGUCCCUUAAGGUAGUACCUAAAGCCCAUUAAGGUAGUACCUAAGGGCCCUUAAGGUAGUACCUAAGGUACAGUAGACCACUUGAGCACUCAAGAAAACCACAUAAUGGGAUGCUCUAAUGGUCACAAAGGAAGACUUGACUCUUAGGAGAGGUUGAGUUCAUGUUUAGCUAAGGUAGUACCUAGGGGUCUCAGUUCCUAUUUUGAGGCCCAAAAUCACAUAAUCAAAGAAAUAGAUAUACAGUCAAACUCUAAACCACUAAACAAAAGUAAAAAAGUGAAAUAGUAAUAAUAAUACAUAACACUUACAAAUGAGUUAAGAAUUCACCUCAUAAACAAAAGUAGCAAAAUUUUAGGCCAUGAGAGAUUAAAAAAGGUUAGUGAAUUCUAUAUUAUAGUAUUAACAGUGUGUGCAGAAUGGUCAUCUUUAAUAACCCAUUUAGGAGUGGGGGAAAGUGUAACCAACCAUAACAAAAACAUCCAUGGCACGGGACUUGAGUUUUGGGUUCUUCUCCAAAGAAAUCAUUUACUAUUUUAAGAAUGACAACAGUUUCUGACCUAAUGAGCUCUAUAUACUCACCAAACUCAUAGCAAAGCUGGAGGGAAUAAAUGGUAAACAUUAUAAACAAAUUUCACGAACUAAACUCAGUAAGAGCAUUCAACUUUAAACAUGUGUAGUAACUGAUACCAUAACUAUAUGCCCAAACAAAAUAAAUAAAGAGUAACAUACAAAGCCAAAAACUAAGAUGAUACGUAAUUAUUUACACUGUUAACAAAAAGCAAUUAAAUUAUACUAUAUAAAUUGGUAUAACCAUUGAGGUUUAUAAAGAUCUGUAUCUUAUCUUCAUUAAUCAGUUUGGCAAUCAUAUUAGAUGACAUAGCAAAAACAUCUAAAUGUGCUUAGCUUCUGACUGAAUACGAUGUCUCUAUUCAGUUCAAUCAUUUAGACUAACUACAUAACAGAACACCUAUCACACAAAAAUGACAGGAAAAAAGAAGUUUUUACAUUCUAAUGCAUAUGGCAGUGAGAUCAGGUUCUUAGAUUGGGAAUGUCGAAUUGUUCACUAGCAACAAACCUUAACAUUUUCUUUCUGGUGCAUACCAAAUACAGAGGCCAUGAGGUAUGAUAGGGAGUGAUUACUAAAGUCAUUGCUUAAAUUCCUACAAAAGUAGAAAAACGAUUAUAAGAUACAGAAACAAUGAAAUGAAAGAAUUCACAUGAUACAACACAACUUUACUUCCUACGGAAGCAUCAAGUAAGAUGUCUUUUGCUUUAUUCGCUCAUCUUCUGGAAGCAGAAAAGGACUGGGAUGUUAUCCAUCACACUCCUCCAUUUUGGAAAUGUUUUUGUGAAUUAUUUGGAUUUUAAAUUUAGAACCGCAGAGGUUUAGGCUUUGAACAUUGAGAGAGGUAACAGAGAAAGGGGGAAGCGUUGGAUUUAGAGGUGGCAAUAGAAAAUGCGGCGACAACAGUGAGGAAGAGGUGCUGCCCAUGGUGGGCGUGACAAUGAGCGGGAGAUAGAUGAUUUGAGGGGAAUGCUUGAGUUUCAUGCUUGAGUUUCUUUCGUUGAAUCAACCGUAACAGGUUCAAGUUAGGGCAAAAUGAGAGGAAGACAAAAAUCUUGUUUUAGAAAUAGGAAAAUUUCAAAUAACACUCUGUUCAAAUGAUGAAGAAGUCGAUGAAAGAGAGAAAUGUUGAUUGGGAAAUUUCAGACUGCAAAAAUGCAUGGAUGCUGAUGUGGAGAUUGGGUAAUGGUAAACUGGGUAUAAAAAUACCACUCAGCACAGAGUGCAUAAAAAUCAUAUAUUUUUUCAUAUUAAUGGGGGAAUAUUGGAUUUCCAAUUUUUAGGUUCAGAAAAAGCUAUUAUGUCCAAAUGGGCGGGCCAAAACACAACUUUCCCUUGUUAUUUUCCACAUUGUGACAUGACGUGAGUCCUUCCCCUUGGUCCUUUUGGACGCUCCUUGUAUUCAGUGGCAAAUUAGUACGGUUGACUAGUCCACAACCUUUGUUCAUCGUAUCUAGUUUGUUUCCAAAGAUUGAACGACAAAAUUCUCCUUUGUUUUAUUUAUAGCUAAAUAUAAAAAUAAUAAUAAAAAAUCAUUAAUAUUUACUAAGUAUUCAUUCAAUAAAAAAUAAUGGUGAUGAUAAAAGUGGGAGUCCAAUUAGAAUAUUUAAAUAGAGAAAUUUUCAAAUAUCCACACAUUUUAGUAUUAGACAAUUCAUUACAAUAUACUUUCUUUUUAUUUAAUAAUAUAUUUUCUUUCUAUUUUUAAAUUCAUCUAAUUAGUUGUAAUUUCCAAUUUUUGUGUUUUAGGCUAAUUGUAGGAUUGUUUUCUAUUUUUGUGUUUUGGGUAGACUGUUUCCUAUUUUUGUGUUUUAGGUUUGUGUAUAUAUAUUCAUUUUUAAUCAAUGAAAAAGUCAAACCAUUGUUUCUCAAUAAUCAUCUCUCUACUUUAACAUGGUAUCCAGGGCUUAAUCUUCUUGGGCGUAUUUUUUUUUUCCCUUCUCCUCAAUGGCUUUUGGUGCAUCAUUCUCUUCCACCAAUGAUCCUAUCACCAUCCAAAACUCCUAAGAUCGUCAACAUUCCCUUUUUACAAUCAAUCUUUCCAAUAUCACCAAAUUGUCAUCCACCAAUUAUCUCACAUGAAGCCUUCAAAUCCAAUAUUUUUUUGAAGGUUAUGAUCUUCAUCACUUCAUUGAUGGCGCUCAUACUCCACCACCACCCACCGUCACCGUCACUAGUGUUGCAUCCCCAAAUCCGACAUACACAACCUAGAAACGUCAGGAUCGUCUCAUCUCUAGCGCUCUCCUUGGUGUUAUUUCCAUUUCACUACAACUGCUUAUUGUUUGCACCACCACUUCCCUUGAUGCAUGACAACCUUAGCCAAUACCUAUGUCAAACCAUCUCGUGGUCAUAUUAAACAAUUGAAGGAACAAUUAUAGCGGUGUACCAAGGGCUCUCUAACUUAUUGGACUUACGCCUUUGUCACUACUGUAUAUCCCAUCAACUGUAUGCCCACACCCACACUACAUCUCUCAUUUCCUUUUGACAAACUCUUUGAGUCUCCACCCAACUACACUAAACUUCGGGUGUUCAGUUGCUUAUGUUAUUCAUGGUUUCGUCCUUAUUCUCAAUAUAAACUUGACUCUUGUUCUACUCUUUGUGUUUUUCUUGGUUACUCUUCAAUACAAAGUGCCUAUAUUGUCUAUCUUGAUCGUCACCCAAUUUCCUCAGCAGAUCAACUUGCCGACGCUCUUACUAAACCGCUUCCAAGAAGUCACUUCCAAGAAUUAUAGGUCAAGAUUGGUGUCUCCUCUAGAGCUCUUAAUAUUUUAUAUUUCUAAAAGUUACUAUAAUAAAUUUUAAUUAAAAGAAUUUAUUUGAAGUGAUCAUAAAUAGAAAUCUAAAAAAUUUAGAUGUUUAAUUAAUUUUAAAAAUGUUUGAAAAUAAUUUAUCAACAAACUACCCUUAAAAGUUAAAACUCUCAAAUUUAAUUUAAAUUAUUGUAUUUAAAACAGUAUAAUUAUAAUUUACAAAAGCUUUGUAUAUUUAAACUAAUAAAUUCAACUAUUUAUGUAAAUUUAUAAAAAAAGAAAAAGAAAAAGUAAUGAUACAUUAAUUUUUAAUAUUUUAAGUUUAUAAAGUUAUUGUCUUAGAUUUAUAACUAAAAAUGUGUUAUAAAACAAAGUAAGAGAAAAAGAAAGCAAGAAAGAAAGAAUAAAAUGCAUGAAAAAACUCUCUUGAAUUUUGAUAGGGGUCUCUCCUUUUUAUAAAGAGUUAUAAAAGAUAUUUAUGGAUGAUCUUCUACAAGUUACCAUAGUGGUACAGAAUCUCAUAUUUUAUAACACUCCCCCUUGGAUGAUCAUAAGAGUAUGCCCCAUUAAAAUCUUACUAAGAAAAACCCUAUGGGAAAAAACCUUAGUGAAGGAAAAAGAGUACAAUAUUCUUUUGGAUUACUACAACUACCUUGUUAAAAACCUUGUUAGUAAAACCCUAUGGGAUAAAACCUGGAUGAAGGAAAAAAGAGUGCAACGUAAUGACAUUCUUAUCAAUUAGCUCCCCCUCAUGUAGACAUGAUUAUAUUUUCUCUAAUAGCACAACAUAGAGAUCUUUGUAUAGACGUAUUCCAAUGAACUUCUUAAGUAUUGCAGUUGACAAUACCUUUGUGAAUAGAUCUACUAAAUUGUCACUUGAUCUUAUUCGUUGAAUAGUAAUUUUAUCACUCUUCUAGAGUUAAUGAAAGUAAAAGACUUAGGCAAUAUAUGCUUAAUUCUAUCACCCUCAAUGUAUCAUUCUUUAAUCUGUGCAGUGCAUGCAACAUUAUCUUCAAAUAAUAUUGUCGGGUCACCUUUGAUAGAGGAGAGUCCACAUGAUUCCCGAAUAUGCUGGAUCAUAGAUCUUAGCUAUAUACAUUCAUGAAUUGCUAGUAUUUCUAAAGGAUUUGAUGAUGUGACCACCAUUGUUUGUUUGACAGAUCUCCAUGAAACAAUAGUACCAUUGCAAUUAAACACGUACCCUGUUUGUGACUUACCUUUAUGUGAAUCUAAAAGAUAUCUUGCAUUUGCAUAUCUAAGCAAUUGUUGUUUUGAUUCCCUUGAGUAAAAUAAACCCAUAUUAGUAGUUCUGCGAAGAUAACGCAAUAUAUGUUUGAUACCAUUUCAAUGUCUUCGAGUUUGAGUGGAACCAUAUUUUGCUAAUAAAUUAACAGAAAAAGAAAUGUCUGAAUGUGUACAAUUGGCAAGAUACAUAAGUGUACCAAUAGCACUAAGAUAUGGUACUUUAGGACCAAGUAAUUCUUCAUCUUUUUCUCAAGGAUAAAACUAGUCUUUUUUCACAUCAAGUGAUCUAACAACCAUUAGAAAACUUAAAGGAUGCACUUUAUCCAUAUAAAAAUGUUUCAAAACUUUAUUAAUGUAUGUUGAUUGAUGUACUAAAACUCCAUUUGGAAAAUACUCGAUCUACAAACCGAGAUAAAAUUUUGUUUUUCCAAGAUAUUUCAUUUCAAAUUCCCACUUUCAAGUAAUUUGUUGUUCUUGUGAGCUCUUCAGGAGUUCCAACAAGAUUUAAGUCAUCAACAUAUACUGUAAUAAUUGCAAAUCCGGUUUCUGAUUUCUUAAUGAAGAUGCAUGGGCAUAUAGAGUUAUUCAUAUACCAUUUUUUUAGCAAGUAUUCGCUAAGGCGAUCGUAUCACAUGUGUCCAAAUUGUUUUAUUCCAUACAAUGAUCAUUUUAACUUGAUUGAGUACAUGUUACGAGGCUUUGUACAAUUUGCUUCAUGUAAUUUAAAUCUUUCAAGGAUUUUCAUGUAUAUAUCAUUAUCCAUGGAUCCGUAUAAAUAUGUUGUAAUAACAUCCAUGAGAUACAUAUCUAGUCUUUCUGGGACUGUCAAACUAAUUAAGAAACGAAAUGUGAUUGUGUCCAUGAUGGGAAAGAAUGUUUCCUCGCAGUUAAUCUCAGGUAUUUGCAAGAAAUCUUGUGCUACUAAUCGCACUUUAUAUCUUAUGAUCUUAUUAUUCUCAUUGUGUUUUCGUACAAUUACCCAUUUGUACCCAAUAAACUUUACAUCUUCAAGUGUUUGGACUACAAGUCUAAAAACUUCUCGUUUUAUUAAUGAGUUUAACUCUGCUUACAUAGCUUUUUUCCAUUUUGACUAAUCAUUUCUAUGUCAGCAUUCUUCCACAUUUCAUGGUUUGGGAUCUUCAUCAUUUCUUAUUAUAUUGGAAGCCACUUGGAAAGCGAAAAUAUUGUUAAUAACAAUAUUAUUUCGAUUCCAUUUUUCUCCUAUGUGCAUAACUUACUGAGAUCUCACAAUUUUCAUGUAUAUGUGCCUCUUCGAGGGCUUCUCGUUCAAUAUGUGCCUCUUCAAGGGCUUUUUGCAUUAUUUGUGCCUCUUCUGAUGUUAUAGAUUAUCAAUUUUAAACUGAUCAAUCAUUUUGAUGGUCUAUAUUAGAGUGUCAAGUUUUUCUUGGGUUCUCCUCUUUCGGGGAGUUAUAUCCUUUGAGCUGACAAGUCUAUCACGUAUUAGGCGUAUCUGAGAUUCAUUUGUUAAUUGUCCUAUAGGGACAUCAAUUCGUGUUGGAGUAUUUGCAACCAGGAUAUAUGACUUUGUCACUUUCUUUGUAUCAAUGAAUACAUCUGGUAAUUGAUUUGCAAGAUUUUGCAAAUAAAUAAUUUUUUAAACUUCCAAUUCACAUUGAUUGGUACGAGGAUCAAGAUAAGUCAAAGUCAAUGCAUUCCAAUAAUUUCUCGCCGUUCUUUUGGAGCUGGAUCUUCUUCUUGUAACAACGAGAAAAUUGUCUCAUUAAAAUGAUAAUAUGCACAACAUGUCAUUCUACCUUUUAAGUGUAUAGGUAGACUAGUCACUAAAUAAAAACUUUUGAUUUUAUAAUGUACAUCCAUACGACCUUUUAUCGUACGAGACCAAGUUGGUUUUACAAGAUUCUUGUGGAUCUAGCAUCGUAUAAAGUGUCAUUCACAUGGAAUCAAAUACUACUAGUGACAUAGUAUAAACUCUUUUGGAGCCUUUAAUCAGGUUUCUAUCACCUGAUAUAGUAUUGUUUGUCAUCAAUGUUGUGCAAUUAAUGAGACAAGUGUUUCAUCAAAGUAACAAGUCAUAAAACAUUGUCAUAAAUACCUCGUUUUUAUAGAGUUGAAGAAAUAUUAUCAUAGAGAAAGAGUUAAAAUCAAUGCAAAAAUAUUAGUCAUUGAUGAUGACUUAAUAAGUUGUAUAAAAGUAAUGAGAGCAUAUAUAACAUAAUAAAAUAUUCAAAUUUGUACAUAACUUUAAACUAUGAACUAUUUAUGUAUAACUUCUAGUUACACAAUAUAAUUAAAAAAAAUUAAAGAAAUUAAAAGUUAAUAACUUUCAUAGUUUUAGGCCAUGAUUAUUUUGUCAGAACAAAAAAAUAUUUAAAUUUGUAUAUAGUUUCAGGCUUUGAACUGUUUUUAUAUAAAUUUGUGCAUAACUUCAAAUUAUGAACUAUUCAUUUUACAACUUCCGACUAUAUAAUAUUAUUUGAUAUAACUUUCAGUUAUACCGUAUAAUUAAAAAUAAAUAAUUAAGGAUCAUAUACAUAACUUCUGGUCUUAUAUUUGUAAUUUUGUAAUUUUCCCCAUAACUUUUGAUUAUAAGGAUUACACAUAUUUUUCAUAACUUCUGGUUAUGAAUUUACCCUGUAAUUUAUAAUUUAUCCAAUAACUUCUAAUUAUAUGGAUUGUGCAUAUUUUUGUAUUCAAAUAAAAUUAGUGAAAAUAGAGAGUCAAUGGGUAAUAAAGUAGAAAAUAAUGAUAUAAAUUUAUCACAUACUUUUUUAUGAAAAAGAAGAAGGAAGAGUCUCUGUAUUUCUCUGAAGAGAAGAAAAUCUUUUUAUUUCUUUUGUUAUAAAAAAAGAAGAAGAAAACAAGAAAGAGAGAAUAAAAUGCAUGAAAAAACUUUUUUGAAUUUCAUUAGGGAUCUCUCUAUUUUAUAGGGAGUUACAAAAUAUAUUUAUGGAUAAUCAUCUAUAAGUUACCAUACUGGUACAGAAUCUCAUAUUUUAUAACAAAAUGUUAAUGAUCGAUAUUUUAAGUUUUUAAAGUUACCAUCAUAAAUUUUUAACUAAAAGUCUAGAUUAUCAUAAAAUAAGUAUAUAAAUUUUUAUAAAAAAUUAAAGAAAAAUCUUAUAUUAUUAUAAUAUAUUACUAUCUAUUAUAUAUUAAUAUAAUAUUAUAGGAUAAUAUAUUAUUAUAUUUAUUUAUAAAUAUUAUUCUAAUUUCCAAAAUUACCCUUAAAGUCUCCCAACCGGAUUUUUUUUUUCUCUUGGGGGUUUUGCAUGGAUUUUCUCGGAAAUCAAAUAAGGAUGAAUUUUCUCGGAAAACGAAUGGGGUGGGGGUUCAAUUUUUUUUUGUUUUCCUUGGGGGUUUUGCAUGAAUUUUCUCGGAAAUCAAACGAGGAUGAAUUUUCCCGGAAAACGAACAAGGAGGGGGUGGGGGCGAGGGGCAGCGCGACAGAUCCAGAAAACACAGGGAGCAAAAGAAAAAGCAAUUUUUUUUGUUUUCCUUGGGGGGUUUUUGCAUAGAUUUUCUUGGAAAUCAAACGAGGGUGAAUUUUCCCGGAAAAUGAAUGCGGGGAAGGGAGAUCCAAAAAACACGGGAGCAAAAAAUAAAAAAGCAAUUUUUUUGGUUUUCCUUGGGGGUUUUUGCAUGGAUUUUCUCAUAAAUCAAACGAUGGUGAAUUUUCCCGGAAAACUAAUGCGAGGAGAUCCAGAAAACAUGGGAGCAAAAAAAAAAAGCAAUUUUUUUGGUUUGCAUGGUUCCACAGAAAACGAAUGUGUGGGGAAGGGGGGCGACGACAAUAGAUCCAGAAAACAUGGGAGCAAAAAAAAAAAAAAGCAAUUUUUUUGGUUUGCAUAGUUCCCGGAAAACGAAUGGGGCAGUGAUGGAUACUGAAAACUCAGGGAGAAAAAAAAAGUAAAAAAAAAAAAACAUAUAAUAUUUCAUAAAUUUAAAAAAUAAAGGGUAAUUAUGAAAAUUAAAAUAUAAACAGUAAAUAAUGCAUGAAACCUAUAAUAUUUUUCUUAUUAUUAGUCAAAACCCAUAUUUGAGUUAUAUGGUUUCCAAAACCAUAUAUUUCUCGUAUGGAAACCUAUAAACAUAACUCCUUUUUUUUUUUGUUCGCCUCUUAGCCAGCCACCCUCUCGAAGUAUUUGUGCAGCAACGUGUCCUACCCUCGCAGCCUUACCUCUCUCUUUCCUCUAAUAGCCAUCUGUCAGGGCCCAUGCAUAGAUAUGGUUGAUUGGAUAGAAUAUGCUGUCUCCAAUCCAAGUGGUCCAAAAAAAAAAAAAAGUGAAAAAGGGGUUUAUAAAAAUAUGGUUGAUUUAUCUAUUUAUAAGUAUUAUUUAUUAAUUAAUAUUAUAUUUCAAUUUUUUUAUUUUAUAUAUUAUUUUAAUUAAUUUUAAGUUAUUUAAAAUAAAUAACUUACAAUUAUAUUAUUGUUUUUUAAUAAUGAAUAUAUAUAUAACUCUUAAAAUUAAUUUAAAUUAUUUCAUUAGUAAAAAAAUUAAUUCAUUCAUUGUCUUUAAAAAGAAUUUUUUUUUUUAGAUUUUAGUUAGAAGACUUGUAAAUUUUAUUUUUUUUAAAUUAAUAAUAAUAAAUAAUAUUAAAUUUCAAAAUUCUUAUUAAAAAAGUCAAAUGAUUAAAAGAUAUGUAUGGACCCCACAUUUCGGCUCAUGGGUUUCCCACUCGAUGGCGAUCUCGAUUUUUAUUUUGAAAAAUGAUUUUAUUUAUUAGAAAAUGACUUGGAGUCACCACUUAUUUUUGUUUUUAUUUUUAAAGGGUAAACAAAAUAAGAAAGAAAACCCUAAGUGUGACUCCUUACUUCGGAAAAGGUGGUCUGUGAAAAACCGGAUCGGGUUCGGGGGUCAGGUUACUUAUCGAGAAGCUACAGUAAAGACCGUAGCACCCUUCUAAGUCCCUAAAACGGGUCUCUACUAAUAAAAUGAAGCAAUCAUGACAAUUGAUUAAUCGAGCAUGGAUACCAAAUGAAUAUCACCCGAAACAAAAUAACUGAAUGAAUAGGAGAGACAAAGAAUGUACCUGAGUGAUGAUCUGACUUAUUUCAUGGAAAACAAAUGUUAGCAAUUAAACACAGAAUAAUCUUGUGUGUAUUAUAGAGUGGAAUAAAUCAAUCGCGCGUGACAAACAAAUCAAUAAAUAAAUCAAUCAAUCAUAAAAUCACGUAUGUGGGGCUCCCACCAAAGGCCGAUCUAUCUUGCACGAAUUAAUCCCACAAAUUCCAUUAAUCUGGAAUUAUGAAAAUUACAUUCAUGCUUAUGUAAAGUCGAGAGGAACAACAGAUUAUUUGAAAACUAAAGUGGAAUUAAAACAACUCGAGUGAAAACUGGAUUUUUAAAGUUUAUUUGAAAAUUGAAGUCCCGAAGAUUAUUUGAUAAUUGGAGUCUUAGGAAUUAAAUUUAAGAAUUGAAAUUUUAGAAAUAAAAUUUGAAAAUCGAAAAUUUUGAAGAAUUGUUUAACGGUGGAAUUUUAAAAUGAAUAAAUAAAAUAAUGAUGAUUAAAUAAAUUGAUGUGAAAAUUAAAAUUUUGAAACCUGAAAUUUAAAAUUAGAAAUCGGAAUUUUGAAGAGUUAUUUAAAGAUUGAAUUUUAAAAAUAAACAAAUGAACAAAAUGAUAAUGAUUAGAUGAAUUGGUAUGAAAAUUGGAAUCUCAUAAAUUGGGGUUUAAAUUUAGAAAUUGGAAUUUUGAAAAAAAUGUUUAAAAAUAGAAUUUUAAAAUAAAUAAAUAAAUAGAAUGAUAAUAAUAAAGAGAAUGAUGAUUAAAUGAAUAAGUGUGAAUAUUUGAAUUUUUGAAAUUGAAAAUUAAAUGUGGAAAUCGGAAAAUUUGAAUUGUCAACAGAUGAAAUUUUAAAGUGAAUAGUAGAAUUUUUUAAAUUAGAAAUUAAAUUUGGGAAUUAGAAUUUUUAAAGGAUUGUUAAUAAGUAAUUCAUUUUCUAAUAAAUAAAAUCAUUUUUCAAAAUAAAAAUCGAGCUUGCCAUCGAGUGGGAAACGCAUGAGCCGAAAUGCGGGGUCUAUAAUAUGAUAUAAAUCAUUAUUAAUUAUUAAAAAUUAAUAACUUAAAAUUAAUUUUUAAAUAUUAAAUUAUUAAUAUUUAAAAAUUUUAUCAUUAGAAUUAUCAUAAUAAAUUUGAAUUUCGUAAUAGUAAUAAAUGAAAGACUAAAAGUAAAAUAAGUAUAAAUAAAAAAUUUAAGGCUUUGCCAAACAUAAUGAAAAAAAAAGUUAAUUACUCUUAAAAAUAUUUUUUCAAACAUUAAAUGAUAUUUUUCAAAUUUCUUAGAAUUAUUAUAAUAAUUUUAAGUUAGAAAAUUUUAUUUGAAUUAAAUUUUCGGUCAUUAUGAAAAAUAAGAAAAAAAUAAAUUUACAUGUGAGUUUCAAUUUUUAUCCGACAUAAAAAAAUUAAAUAUAUAUUUUUAAAUAUUAAAUUAUUGAUAUUUUAUGAAUUUAAUAUCUGGAGUGAUAGUGAAUGAGAAAAAUAUAAAAAAAUAGGAUUAUAAAAUUAUAAAAUAAAUAAAUCAACAUCAUAUCAUUGACCCACAUGCACCAUUAGUUUCAUAAAGUAACUAAAGCUACUUUAAAAUUUCAUUUUUGUUACGUGUCUGAUUUUCCAUGCCAUAAAUUUCCUGGGAAUUCAUCCUUAAACUCAUUUGAAUUUAUAAAAAAUAAUUUAAUGAAAAAGGAAAAAGAAAGGAAAAGUAAUGCGCAUGAACGUACCUUCGUGUUGUUGAACAUGCAAAGCUUCUCCUCUUUAAAAACCUCCCUUAAACCCCUCGCUCCAACUCAUUCAAUUCAGAGUAAAGCGAACCAGCCAUUGCUACAGAGCGAAUCCAUGGAUUCUUCGUCUCUUCUCCUCUUGUUGUUGCUGGGUUUCUUUUGUUUUUCUGAGUUCACAUCCCAUGAUCAACUUAUUCCAAAAGAUGAAGGUAUCACCACUGUAAUCUCACUUGUUCUUUCCAUUUCUGGGGAAAAUGAAACUUGGGUUUUGUUGUUAAAGAAAUUUGGGGAGAAAGAGAAGUAAAUUUGGUUUCGGAACGUGGGUUUUUUCGAGGUAUCUGUGCUUUGUUUAAUACUUCACUGCUAUAAUUUUUUGGAAUCUUGUGGAUUUCUCAUGGUUUGCGAGAAUUUUGACAUCUCUGUUUGUCUCACAGUUGUUUAAAUUUUAUCAUGCUCUGGGAAUUCUUAUGGAAACAGAAAAGCAGGCAUAUCAAAUUAUGUUUUAUUUUCUUUUUCAAAUUUUCCUCUGCUUUCUCUGCUACCAAACGUUGGCUUAUAUCAUUCUGCUGGAAAAUUGUUCGUGCCUCUGAGCCAUAGCGAAUUUUUGAUCUGAAACGAUAGGCUAUAUUUGGUUACCGGGAAAUAAGAAAUUUUAAAAUAUAUAAAAUUUUAAUUAAUUUAAUUAUUUUUAUUUUCUUUCAUAUUUAUACACUUGAAAACAAAUGUGAGAAAAAAGAUUUGAUAUUAAUUACUUUGAAUAGCUUUUGGAUAGAGUCCAGAGUUAUCAAUCCAUCAGUGGACAAAGAAAAAUAUUUAUAUUUGUAUUUAUUACCAUGGUGGCAAAUUCCAUUUUAUUAAGGAAAAUACAUAUGUUUAUUUUAGUAUUUCGACUUUAUUUACAUUGAAUUAUUACCUAUAUUGUCAGUGUUAAAGUAUAUUGUAUUGUGGGCUCUAGGCCCAGUUAGGUUACUUGUAUAGUACUUGUACUAUACACUUGUACUACACCUUUGUACUGCACCCUUGUACUACAUAUACAUGCCUCCUAUAUAAAGGCACUGAUGUAUACUCUUUUAAUCACAGAAUAGAAUACAAUUAUUCUAUAUUUCUAACAUGGUAUCAGAGCCACUGCUCUGACCUUUGUUUUUUUUUUUUUUUCUUAGCAGUCUUGUCUUCAUUAGUGUGACUUCUUUUCACUAAGCGCUUCCGCCAUCACAACUGCCGCUGUAGCCUCUUGUCGUUGAACCUCCGACGUCAUCCAGCCGUCAUCCCUGGGUUCCGGACCUGCAACCGCAGUCAUUAAGAAGUCUCACACUGCACAGACCACUGCCCUUUGCAUCACCGCUGCGAAUAUUGCUCCGAUUUCACUUUCGAAGGUACCACUGAGAUCGUCCAGCGCCGAUCUACACAUUCGUGGAUAUCUCAUCGCCAUCGGAGACCGCACGCGCCCCCACGCGCCGCUCAAAGAUUCUGCGGCGCCUCCACACGCCUCCACGUGCCUCCACGCGCUGCCACGUCAGCCCUAGCUCGUCAGGCCUCCACGCGCUGCCACGUCAGCCCUAGCUGCGUCAGCAUCCACUGAUCUGUUGACGUCAUCUCCAGUCGUUGACCGUUGACCGUUGACCAGACGUUGACCGUUGACCAGCUGUUGACCGAGCGUUGACUUUGACCGUUGACCGGACGCUGACCGUUGAGCAGCUGUUUCACGAGCGUUGACUUUGACCGUUGACCAUCCCGUUGACUUUUUCCCGGGCCAGGUUCUCCUUACUCAGUUUUUCGCAUAGAUUUCAUUUCUGCAGUCGGUUUUUUUGCCUACUGUGUCCCUAAAUGGAUAAGAAGGAUGUUUUUCUUCCUCGCCCCAUCCAUACUGUAUUGGAGGGGACUAAAAAUUACUUAUCCUGGUCUCAAGCUAUGCGCAGUUUUCUUAAGAGCCGCAUGCUCUGGCAUUAUUGUACUGGUGCAAUGACUAUUCCUGUCAAAGGAGCAAGUGAAGAAGAUGCUGUCUUUCUUAGUCGCAUGAUUGAAUGGGAUAGUCAUAACCACAUGAUUCUCACAUGGAUCCGGAACACUUCCAUUCCCUCUAUUUCCAACCUAUUGGGCAGCUUUGACGAUGCAAAAUCUGCAUGGGAUAUGUUGACCAAAAGGUACUCCACUACUCAUGGAUCCAUGAAAUAUCAGUUAGUGGUUGAAUUGCAUCAACUCAGGCAAGAACCGGGGCAAUCCAUCAAUGACUAUUAUGAUCAGCUUCGGUUCAUUUGGGACCAAAUUGACCUUUCUGAUCCAAUUUGGGAAUGCUCAAAAGAUGCUCAACAAUAUGCUUCCAUUAGAGAUGAAUUUCGCCUCUAUGAAUUCUUGAUGUCACUUCACAAGGACUUUGAGCCCAUUCGUGGUCAGCUACUAAAUCGCAGUCCUGCUCCCUCUCUUGAUACUGCUGUGAAUGAGUUGGUUAGAGAAGAAGCUCGUCUUGCAACCCUUCAAGCCCAGAAUAAGCUCAAUAUUUUGGCCAUUACUCCAUCUACUCCACUCAUAGAGCAACCUCAGCAAUUAGGUGAUUUUUCUGGCUCUAACAAUCGUCGCAAGCAAAACAACAAGAAGUUCUGCAACUAUUGCAAGCGUCCUGGCCACACCAUUGAGACUUGUUACCAUCGUAACAAAUCUACUGCUGCUUGAGCACAACAAACUUGAGCCUCGAUCUAGACUCUGUUGUUUUCUUGGUUAUGGCGAAACUCAAAAGGGGUAUAGGUGUUAUGAUCCUGUUUCUCAUCGUCUUCGCGUUUCUCGUAAUGUUGUCUUUUGGGAACAUCGAUUGUUUGUUGAACUCUCUCACUUUCGUUCUUCCUUGACUAACUCCUCUGUUUUAGAAAUCUUUCCCGAUGAGUCUUCUGCAAAUACUCUUGAUCUUCAUUUAGACUUCUCUCCAGAUAUCUUUGAUGCUUCUCCUAGACAGGUUGCAGAUGAACAGAUUAUUCACGAGCUACCCCACUUUGAGCCUGGGUCCCCUGCUCCUGCUCUGCCUGAAGAUCCUCCACAAGACAUUCCACCUCGCCACUCAACCCGGGUAAGAUCCAUUCCUCCACACCUCCUUGACUAUCAUUGUUACACUGCCCUUGCUACACUUCACGAGCCUCAAACCUAUCGUGAGGCCUCUACUGACCCUUUAUGGCAGAUUGCAAUGAAAGAGGAACUUGAUGCAUUAACCAAAAAUCAUACUUGGGACCUGGUUACUCUCCCUCCUGGACAGUCUGUGGUUGGUUGUAAGUGGAUCUAUAAGAUCAAGACUCGCUCUGAUGGAUCCGUUGAGCGCUAUAAGGCUCGUUUUGUUGCCAAAGGUUUUACACAAGAGUAUGGGAUUGAUUAUGAAGAGACGUUUGCUCCAGUUGCUCGUAUCUCAUCUGUUCGUGCUCUCUUAGCUGUUGCUGCUGCUCGUAAAUGGGAUCUUUUUCAGAUGGAUGUUAAAAAUGCCUUCCUUAAUGGGGAUCUGAGUGAAGAAGUCUAUAUGCAACCUCCUCCUGGUCUCUCUAUUGAAUCAAACAAAGUUUGUCAUCUUCGACGUGCACUUUAUGGUCUCAAACAAGCCCCACGUGCUUGGUUUGCCAAGUUCAGCUCCACUAUUUUUCGCUUGGGUUACACCGCCAGUCCAUAUGAUUCUGCCUUAUUUCUUCGUCGUACUGAUAAAGGCACUAUUUUGCUUCUUCUCUAUGUGGAUGAUAUGAUCAUAACUGGUGAUGACCUUAGUGGCAUUCAAGAACUCAAGGAUUUUCUCAGUCAGCAGUUUGAGAUGAAAGAUCUUGGACAUCUCAGCUAUUUCUUGGGUCUUGAAAUUACUCAUUCCACAGAUGGUCUUUAUAUUACUCAAGCCAAGUAUGCUUCUGACCUGUUGUCUCAAGCUGGGCUCACUGACAGCAAAACAGUUGACACUCCAGUUGAACUUAAUGCGCAUCUGACACCCUUGGGGGGGAAACCAUUGUCUAAUCCUUCUCUUUAUAGACGAUUGGUUGGCAGCUUAGUUUACCUCACAGUUACUCGUCCAGACAUCUCCUAUGUUGUUCAUCAGGUGAGCCAGUAUUUGUCUGCUCCACGAUCAACUCACUAUGUUGCUGUUCUGCGCAUUCUUCGAUACCUGAAGGGUACUCUUUUUCAUGGCCUUUUCUACUCAGCUCAGUCUCCUCUUAUACUCCGUGCAUUCUCAGAUGCUGAUUGGGCAGGAGAUCCUACUGAUCGCAGGUCCACUACAGGUUAUUGCUUCCUCCUUGGUUCUUCUUUGAUUUCUUGGCGAAGUAAGAAACAAACCUUUGUGGCCCGCUCCAGUACUGAAGCAGAAUAUCGUGCCCUUGCUGAUACCACAUCUGAGCUCCUUUGGCUAAGAUGGCUUCUUAAGGAUUUGGGUGUAUCCACCUCCUCUGCUACUCCUCUUUAUUGUGACAACCAGAGUGCUAUUCAUAUUGCUCACAAUGAUGUCUUUCAUGAACAGACUAAACACAUCGAGAUUGAUUGUCAUUUUAUCCGUUAUCAUCUUCUCCAUGGUGCUCUUAAGCUUUUCUCCGUCUCCUCCAAAGAUCAACUUGCAGAUAUCUUCACCAAGUCUCUUCCUAAGAGACGCACUCGUGAUUUAGUUGACAACCUCAAGUUGGUCUCAUAUCCACCUUGAAGUUGAGGGGGGCUGUUAAAGUAUAUUGUAUUGUGGGCUCUAGGCCCAGUUAGGUUACUUGUAUAGUACUUGUACUAUACACUUGUACUACACCUUUGUACUGCACCCUUGUACUACACAUACAUGCCUCCUAUAUAAAGGCACUGAUGUAUACUCUUUUAAUCACAUAAUAGAAUACAAUUAUUCUAUAUUUCUAACAGUCAGGAAAUGGUAGAAAAAGAAGGAAAAGGAACAGUACCAUGUCCACUUGAAUUGUCAGACCAUAUUGAAGUCAUCUCUGAGUCAGUCCCAGGUCCACUUGCUAGACUUUGGGCCUACCUGAAUUAAUCUUUAGGCCCACCAAUUUGUCUUGAUUCCAUGGUUGCGUGGAAUAAGGAGAUCGGGUUGCGUGUGGAAAAUUGGAUGAGUUACGGAUUGUUGUUGAUUGGUAGUGUCAGUGUGAUAUCAACUGGUCUUCAAUAUCAAAGGCAGAAGAAGAACGUCGAUAUGGACAGGUCUUGACCAUAUGAAAUGCAUAUUUUUGGACUAAAUACAUUUGCCCUUGUUUGCAAUUGUUUUUGAAAAUAAUUAUGAAAAAUAGGCCGUAUUUGUCAAUUGUUUUUUUUUUUAAAACAUUUUUUUUGUUCUUUAGGAAAAAAUGAAAAAGAAAAUAUGUUUUACAACCAAAAAACAAAAAAUGAAAAAUAAAUUUAUGUUAUUAAAAACUAAAAAUAAGAUAUUUUUAGAAAAUAUCUUUUAUUGACUUCACUUAUUUUCGUUUUAUAAAAAUUAAUUAUACAAAUAUAAAAAUUUAAAGCAAUAUAGAUAAAAAUUAUUUUAAAAAUAUAAAAAAAAAUAUGUCAACGGUUUAGUUCUUAAAGAUACUUUUGUACUACAAAAUAUUAUAAAACAAUUUUGAGAAAUAAUUUUUCGAAACUAUUUUCGAAAACACUUCCCAAAUAAAGCUUAGCUUUUGAAAACUAUUUUAUAAUGAUUUGUUAGAACAAAAUUUUGCUUUGAAACUUAAAACAUUUUAAACCGGUUUUCUAUGUUUUGAAAAAUAGUUUUUGUAAAACAAAAUUUUGUUUGGGAAUUUAAAAUAAUCUAAAUCUAUUUUUUAAAAUAACUUUUAUAUAUAGUGCUUCGUUUUAAUCACUCUCCAUAUUUGUAUAAUUGUUUUUUAAAACAUCUCUAAAAAAGCAAUUAAAAUCACCUUAAAGAUGUUAUAAAAAAAUACCAUAUUUUUUGUUUUUUUGAUUGUCAAACACGUUUUUUUUUUUUUUUUUUUUUAAUUCUUGAAAACAUAGACAAGCAACUUACAUGGUGCGUCAAAGGAGAGGUCAUAUGCAAUUAAAAUUUAAUGUAGUAUAAAUUAUUGUCUUGUUUUAGUAGAGGUUUGGCUGAGUAUCAUCAAUAGUGCUUUAAAAUUUGGUAAUAUUAGAAGUCACUUUAAGAUUGAAAUUAAUUGUAGAGGAUUACACUUCAUAGAGUUGUUAUUAUUAGUCAUUCUUUUUUUUGUACAUUUAUAAAUCCUUAUAAAUGAUCAUUUUGUAUCUACUCUGUAACAGUGCAAACUCUUAAAACAAUAUCCACAAAGCUUAACAACAAAUAUUGGAACAUAAGCCAAGCCUCAUGCAAUGGAGGUUUCAAGCGAGCCAUCGAUGAGAAUAACUACAGCAAUGUCACAUGCAACUGCACCUUCAACGAAGGAACUAUUUGCCAUGUCACAAACAUGUAUGAUUUUCUUUUCUUGUUCUUCCCUAACAUAAUACAUAUAUAAAAAAUUCAAUCCAUUAGAUUAAUGGAAAAGUAAUUGCAUGAGUAUAUGGAAUGGAAUAUUAGUUGCUUAAUGUUAAUAGGAAAUAAUUAAUGACAUCUUUGGAUUACAUAGGCAUUAUUUUUCCUUUCUAUCUCUUUGUAGGGCCUGUGAUUUGUGUGCUUUGGUAAAUUCCCAUUGCAUUCAUAGACUAAAACCUUGUUUUCAUGCAAAAUGAAUUGCCCAAAGUCUAGUGAAUGAAAGCCUUGUCUUUGUUUUAUAUUGAUUUAGUUUCGAUUUGUUGAACCUGAUAUGCAAAUGCCUUAUUUCCAUAUCAAUUAACAUUUGUUGGUGAGCAAUUAAUUUUGUCACUAAAGAGAGUAUUUGUUUUUUUGGCUUUUUACUAAAAGUAAUUUGUUUUCAGAAUUUAGAUUGUUUAUUUUUCUACUUUUUUGGACUAAAAUACAUGAAAUGCAUAUUUUGGACUAAAAUACAUGUACCAAAAUAGGCCGUAUUUUGUCAAUUUUUUAAAAAAAUAUUUUUUUGUUCUUCGGGAAAAAAUGAAUAAGAAAAUGUGUUUUACAAUUAGGAAAAAAAAAGGAAAAUAAAUUUAUGUUUUUAAAAAUUAAAAAUAACGUAUUUUUAGAAAAUAUCUUUUCGUAUUUUCAUUUGUUUUCUAAUGAUCAUUUUAAAAACUAAUUAUACAAAUAUAGAAAAUAAUUAAAAAUAAAGUGUUACAAAUAAAAAUUAGUUUUAAAAUAUAUUUAAAAAUAUAAAAAAUAUGUUAAAAACGUUUAAGUUCCUAAAGAGAUUUUUGUACUACAAAAUAUCAUAAAAGUUUUUUGAAAAACUAUUUCUCAAAACUAUUUUUGUAAACACUUCCCAACCAAAGCUUAGUUUUUGAAAAUUAUCCUACGAUGAUUUGUUAAAACAAAAUUUUGCUUUUGAACUUAAAACAUUUUUAACCUUUUGAAAAAUAGUUUUUCUCUCAUGUUUUGUAAAACAAAAUUAUGUUUGAAAAUUUAAAAUAUUUUAAACCUAAUUUCCAUUUUUAAAAUAACUUUUAUAGUGCUUCGUUUUAACCACUCUCCAUAUUUAUAUAAUUAUUUUUUAAAACAUCUCUCAGAAAACAAUUAAAAACAUCUUAAAGAUGUUUUUAGAAAAUACCAUAUUUUUCUAUUUUUUGAUUGUUAAACAUGUUUUUUUAUUCUUUUAUUCUUGAAGACAAAGGCAAGUUGGUCAUUCAUGUAGCUUACAUGGUGUGAUCACUUCAAAGGAAAGGUCAUAUGCAAUUAAAAUUUAAUGUAGUAUAAAUUAUUGGCUUGUUUUAGUAGAGGUUUGGCUGAGUAUCAUCAAUAGUGCUUUAAAAUUUGGUAAUAUUAGAAGUCACUUUAAGAUUGGAAUUGGUUGUAGAGGAUUACACUUCAUAGAGUUGUUAUCAUUAGUCAUUCUUUUUCUAUAUAUUUAUAAAUCCUUAUAACUGAUCAUUUUGUAUCUACUUUGUAAUAGUGCAAACUCUUAGAACAAUAUUCAAAAAGCUAAACUACAAAUAUUGGAACAUAAGCCAAGCUUCAUGCAGUCGAGAUUUCAACCGAACCAUCGAUGAUAAUAGCUACAGCAAUGUCACAUGCAACUGUACCUUCAAUGAAGGAACUGUUUGCCAUGUCACAAACAUGUAUGAUUUUCUUUUCUUGUUCUUCCCUGACAUGAUACAUAUAUCAAAAAUUCAAUCCAUUAGAUUAAUGGAAAAGUAAUUGCAUGAGUAUAUGGAAUGGAAUAUUAUUUGUUUAAUGUUAAUAGGAAAGAAUUAAAGACAUCUUUGGAUUACAGAGGCAUUAUUUUUCCUUUUUAUCUCUUUGUAGGGCCCUUUGAUUUUUGUGCUUUGGUAAAUUCCCAUUGCAUUCAUGGACGAAAACCUUGUUUUCAUGCAAAAUGAAUUGCCCAAAGUCUAGUGAAUGAAAGCCUCGUCUAUGUUUUAUAUUGAUUCAGUUUCGAUCUCUUGAACCUGAUUUGCAAAUGCCUUGUUUCCAUAUCAAUUAACAUAUGUUAAUGAGCAAUUAAUUCUGUCAUUAAGUCCACUUUCUAGUGGCUGAAUGAAAUGGCCCAAUGCAACUAGAGCUUUCUUGUGGAUUUUCACUUGGUCAUAAUGCCAGAGUGCUAAAGGGUAAAUGUUGGUUCCCACACUAUUCGAUCAAAGCUUCAAAUGAUUGUUUACAUUGAUUAUUAGGUUUCCUGUCAUAACUUUGACCUUUUCCACUUUUCAAGAUAAAAUUGAAUGUCUAUUUUUUAUUAUACAUAUUAUAAUAUAUGGUUAAAAGAACACUUUGCAGAUCAAUCUAUAAAAGAUUUGAAAUGGUUUGAUUCCUCAAUUGAAUCAAUAGUAUCUCUAGAGUCUGCUUCUUCUCAAUGCUAUGCGUACAAAGAGAAAAAGUAAGAACUAUCAUUAAAGCAGUCCAAGCAAGACUUAGAGUGCGCUUGAUAAUGUUUUUAUUUGAAGUAUUUUUAGUUUAAGUGUUUUUAAGAGAAUUACCUAUCAAAUACUUCUCCAAAAAGUACUACUAGUGAUUUUUCAAUUUUUUAAAAGUAUUUGUCGAAUUUUGUCAAACACCUAAUUUUUCUUUACAAAUGCCUUUUAUGCUAGAAGUGCUUUCUCAAAUAGUGGAAUCAAUAGCAUAAGUCAAAAAAGGAUAAUGACCCAACACCAUUGAUGAACCAAUCCUAUAAAUCCACUUAUGAUAAAACAAGUGAUUUUAAGGGAAAUGUAGUUUUAAGGGAUUUUAAUAUUAUGGAAAAAGCUGAAGGUGCCGGUAAAGGCAUUUGUAGGGAUUUUGAUGCUUGUGUUGAUGGUAGCACUCUGGAGAUCCACUUAUACUGGAUGGGCAAAGGGACUAAUUCCAUUCCGGAAAAAGGUGUAUAUGGACCUCUUAUAUCUGCUAUUGCAGUGACACCAAGUGAGCUUAUCUCAUAUUCCGGGCUUUACUACUUCUCUUGCCACUAGCUUGUCAUGAUGUUUUAUAUCUUACUGUUCUUGUAGAAUUCAAUCCCAAGCCGGCGCUGUCUGUUGGAGGUAUCAUCGGCAUUGUGAUAGUUUCAUGUGUGGUCCUCAUAUUGAUUUUGGUACUCCUACGAAUGAAAGGCUACUUAGGAGGAAAAGACCUUGAAGAUAGAGGUGAGAUUAAUCAUGCAGGAAAUUUGAGACUGUAAUGCCUUACCUCUUUGAAAUAUUGACAAUACUUUGGAAAUAUUUGGAACUCUCUGUGCUUGUUUUUCACCAAUUUUAUUUCACUUGUUACAGAACUACGUGAGCUAGGGACUGGUUAUUUUAGUUUACGACAGAUCAAAGCUGCUACCAAUAACUUUGACUCUGCAAAUAAGAUUGGUGAAGGUGGAUUUGGGCCAGUUUACAAGGUAGUUACAGAUUUGGAUUUUCCUUUAACAACUGUAUGCUAAAGCAGUGAUUAAGAGGGAAAUGCAAUACUUUUCUGCAGCUAUCUCACAUCCUUACAUUAUCUGAAUUCAUGAUCCAAAAUUUUGUCCUGCUUGAUCUUAGGGUGUACUGUCAGAUGGUUCAGUAAUUGCUGUUAAGCAGCUCUCUUCUAAAUCGAAGCAAGGGAACCGAGAAUUUGUAAAUGAAAUAGGCAUGAUAUCUGCCUUACAACACCCAAAUCUUGUGAAGCUUUAUGGCUGUUGUAUUGAAGGGAACCAGUUGUUGCUCAUAUACGAAUAUUUGGAAAACAAUUGUCUUGCACGUGCACUUUUUGGUAAAUGCUUCACUAGAAUUUUGUAUUUCAUUUUAUUAUAUUUCAACAAUGAAUAUUAUGACUUAAGCCUCUCCCUGGACCACUUGUAGGUCGAGAUGAACAGCGGCUAAAUUUGGACUGGCCAACUAGGAAGAAGAUAUGCUUGGGGAUAGCAAGGGGAUUGGCAUAUCUUCAUGAGGAGUCAAGAUUGAAAAUUGUUCAUAGAGAUAUAAAGGCAACAAAUGUGCUGCUUGAUAAGAAUCUAAAUGCUAAGAUAUCCGACUUUGGCUUGGCUAAGCUGGAUGAAGAUGAGAACACCCAUAUCAGCACACGGAUAGCUGGAACGAUGUGAGUGUUUUUGCUCAUUUCCUCCUUUUAUUAGCUUCCCUAUAUCAAAUUUGUAUAUGAUAUAAGAUUAUGACUUUGGCACUGAAAAUGUGGAGAUUAAUUUCUUCUAUGCAUUUGAAUCUAUGUCAGAUAAAUAAAAAAAUUGAUACAGUGAGAUGGAACUGACCUUGAUUGAUGGAAAACUUAAUGAAAUGCUCAAGUAUGGAAUUUCCAACUAGCAGUUGUUUUUUCCAUUUUAGGUUUAAAAAGCUCAUUUACUUCAUUGUUUAUUCUGUAAAGUCGAUUAUUGAAACAGUUCUAGAAAGGUCCAACUAUUAUUGAGAAUUUGUUGCUACAAAAUUAUCCUAAGUUGUCAUAUGAACCUCAAAAGCAAUUGGGGUGAUCCUCUUUUUGUGGUUUUGGAGAAGCAGAAUUUAGUUAGACUGUCGAGUUUCUGAAGUGGGUUUCAUGCAUAUCCAGAAAAUUUUUCCUCUCAAACAUGGUUGAUUAGUUCUUCUUGUCCUCUUUCUAACAAUAAUUUUGUGCAUAUAUUGGUUAUAUGUAUAGCACAAAACUCACCACUGAGUCGCUGAUUUUUCUUCAGAGGACACAUGGCUCCUGAAUAUGCAAUGAGGGGUUACUUGACGGACAAAGCUGAUGUUUACAGCUUUUGGAAUUGUUGCUUUAGAGAUUGUCAGCGGGAAAAGCAACACCAAUUACAGGCCAAAGGAAGAGUUUGUUUAUCUUCUUGAUUGGGUAAACAAUGGAUUCUUGCUCAUCCUUUUUGCUUUAUUUUUUCUGACCAUAUGUGCUUAUAAUGAAAAACGUGUUUCGGGUUCUACAUUGGACUGCAGGCUUAUGUCCUGCACGAGCAGGGAAAUCUUCUGGAGCUGGUGGAUCCAAGUCUUGGUUCAAACUUCUCAGAGGAGGAGGUGAUGAGGAUGCUGAACUUGGCCCUCUUAUGCACCAACCAAUCUCCCACUCUCAGGCCACCCAUGUCCUCUGUAGUGAGUAUGCUUGACGGCAAAAUUGCAGUCCAAGCACCAACAAUCAAGCAUGAUUCUAUGAACCCGGAUAUGAGAUUCAAAGCCUUCGAGAAGCUCUCACUGGACAGCCAGUCUCAUGUCUCAGCAUUCUCUGUAGACAGUCAGGUCCAAGGCAGCAUAUCACUUGAUGGACCAUGGAUUGAUUCCUCAAUUUCCCUCCAUAGCAGAGAAGAAACAAGGGACUUUUCUUCAUCAAGCAAGCUUCUUACAGGACACCAAGAUCUUUACAGUAUACAUUUGGACUGAUCAGUGAAAAUAUGGUAUACUAAUAAUACUUCCAAGUUGUUCUUGCUUGAAGUUUUCUGCAAGAAUGUUUUCUGAAAACUAUUUCGAAUUGAUUCUUGAAGUAGUAGACGCAUAAAUAAGUAUGUUUUGUUGUAUAAUUACAAUAUUUGUAUAAAAUUAUGAGAAUAAGUGCUCCGGUUGAGGCUUGAUGAAGAAAAAUAUUUAUAUUUCUUUAUUUUUCCAACUUACUCCCAUGACGGUAACUCAUCAUUCCCCAGAGAGAAAUCAGUAUAUAUUUAUUUUAUUUUGUUCAACUUUAUUUCCAUUUUAUCAUCAUUGGUCAUGUAUCCAAAAAAGUUGAUAAACAAAAGGGAAUAAAAGGUUUUACUCUAUUGGGCUUGAGCCCACUUGAAUUAUCAGACCAUACCAAAUCCAAAGCCCAUUUUCUAGGCUUUAGGCCCAACUGAAUUAACUGCGACCCCACCAAUUUGUCUUGGUAUGAUGUGGAAUGAGCAUCUCUACUCUAUUGGGGUUUGGGCCCACUUGAAUUGUCACAUUGUUGAAGCUAACUUUGACUCAGUCCAAUGCCAACUUGUUGAGCUGUUCGCCUACUUGAAUUGAGCGGGAGGCCCACCAAUUUUUAUUGAUUUUGAGAUUCGAAGAAAUAAUGGUGACAACUAACAUGUGAGAAGAUGAUGUUUUUGUGGUAGAAAAUCAGAAAACUCCUUAGGGUUCUUAGACAAUCAAAGACAUUCAAUGGCACUUGGAAGUUUUUGGUCAAUAAAAGAGUUAUAGGGUCAUUGAUUGGAGCCAAAAUAUGUGCUCUAAUGACACAUAUUCUAUAUGAUUUGUGCACCAAAGGACAUUCAAAUCACCCAACUUGACCUAAAUCAAUGCUAAGACCCUAGCCAUGAGUUUAAUUUGUACUUUGGAGACUUAUCUUAGGUUCAAGGGAAGAAAAUGGUGCAAGUUGAAUCACUUUAGAUUUUGAAAGAUCAAGAAAGGGUUAAAAGAGGAAAUAAAUGAGUCAAGACUCAUGGACCGUAAGAAAAGGCAAGACGAGGAUAUCAUGCAUUUGGAAGAUGAGAAAUGGCCAUUAUGGAGUAAGAAAGAAAGGCAAGAAAGCAUGGGAAAUGAGGCAUGAAGCAAGAUUCAGCUGCAUGAAAAUUUAGAACUCAAAAAUCUGAUGACAUUAUAUACUCUGACUUCGAGAACAAAUUUAGAGCACUUUAUGGAGUCCAUUGUAUACAUACUAUAUAUCGUUUUGAAGCUUGGGAAGUCAGAAAUCCAACGCUCAAACAGUGUGCAAAUCGGAGCUGAAAUGAAGAAGUUAUGGUCAUUUGAAGACAACUGCACCAAGUUAAAGGGUCAUUUCGAAAUGAUUUCGAAAUUCAACUUAUGAAUUCGAAAUCCACUUCGAAAUGACACCAAUUUUGAAUUCACCCACUACCACUUUGAUGAUCCGCCUCCUUUACCCCGGGAAUUGCAUCUAUUCAACUUAUGAAUUCGAAAUCCACUUUGAAAUGACACAAAUUUCGAAUUCACCCACUGCCACUUUGAUGUUUCACAUCCUCUACCUCGGGAAUUGCAUCUAGGGCACUCCAUCUGCCCAAAAUGGACCCCACACGACUAGAAAUCACCAUUUUAUUAUUUUUUAAUCAUUUUUAGGAAUUUAUUUUGUAAUAAGUGGCCAAUGAGAGUGUGCCACAUGUUAGGUAAUUGAUGGUAUUAUAUAAACUCUCUCAAUUCUAGGUUUUAGGGAUCUUGGAUUUCUUUUUCUGGAGAGUUUGACACUGAAGGUGGAAGAAGACGAGAACUUUGGUUUGUUUUUUUUUUCUUCUUUAUUGAAUAUAUUGUUUUUAGUUUCUUUUUAUUCAAAUUAUGGAUUUUUACCCUAUUAUGGAUUGUGAAUGUGACAUCACCCCCAUGAGAGGCUAAGAGCCAACUUGGGACUUGAAGCAUGAAAACCUAAGGGCUAGGAAACCUAUAAGGACAAUGGGUAAAUUAUUAUAACAAUGAGAUUAAUUAUUGGUUGGGUGACAAUUUAUCAUUUUUUUUUAAUCCUAUCCUUGUGAGUUCGUUUAGGUAAUGAUACGGUAGGUUAUUACUUGAUAUUAGUGAUUCUUGGUAAUUCUUGAUCAUUAGUUAUCCUCGUUUUACCUACCAUUAUUUGCCCCUAAACAAAGCUAUAAGGAGUAGGAAGGGUUAAAAAGCCAAAUCUUAAAUUGACAAUCAAUCUCAUUCAUUUGAUGGUUUUAGGAAUCUGUUUUAAAAAGGAAAAAUUAGGUUUCUGAUGCAAUUUUGAGUUAUAGAUUUCAACUUGAUCGCGAGUGGCCAAGGAUCCCAAAACCCUAAGAUCAUAUUACUUAAAAUACCCUUGUUUUCUCUAAUUUCUAUACCCUAGGUUGGAUUGUGGAAAACCCCAAACUUAAAUCAAUUGAAUUUAAAAUCAAUAUUCAUUUUUUCUUAUUAAUUUAAUUUCUUUUACUUAGUUUCACAUUAUUCACAUAUUGUUUUUCACUUAAGGAUUUAAACAAAAACAAUUCAUUUAUUCUAGUAUUGACAAUUUUCAUAAGCCAGUCCUUGAGAACGAUACCCGGAAUAUUACAAAGCCAUAGUGACUCUUUCUAUAGUUUUUCUUGACCAGAGUUAUUACGUAAAAUGACUAAUUAUUUUGGUACAAUAGAGAAUUUCGGUCAGUCAUAUAUCAAAAUUCUUUAGAGAAUUAAGUUUUGCCCUCUCACAUCUUCCUUGAAUGGUUUUGUUAGGUAACAACAGUUUGUUAUAUUUCAUUGCUUUCAAUUCAUUAAUUAACACGAGCUUUGACUCUUGAAAGUGGGUCAAUGUGUUAAGUAUUAGCUUACUUAAUAGACAUCAUACAUUGAAAUAUGAUAUUAUUGAUUGGCUCAAAUAUUUAAGUGUUUCAUUUCUUCUUAGCAACUUUGAAUGAGGAGGAGGGGUGAAAUGUUUGAAGAAUUGCAAUAGUUAAGGGUCCUUUUCUCGUAUGGGCAAGGGAUAAGAUCCCACAGACACAACCUCAGUGAAUGUUAUUUUCUAGAACAUUUUUUUAUUAUCUUUUGUAUGGGAUUAGGUGUAUAUAUCUAUAUAAUUCAUUGCAUGAAGGUAUUUUCUUGUGGGUCAGUUAGGUUGGGUGGUUAGGGUUAAUGGUUGGGCCAGAUCGGUGGGUUAUGGUAUUUGGUUGACUGGUUCCUUGGAUGACAUUGCAUUGUGAAACCAACUGAUGUUGAAAUGUCAAAGGUAAGAAAAAGAAUUAAUCAAUGAUAUGGAUGGUUCUUGACCUUAUGAUUAUAAAUUAAUCUAUAAUGUAGAUUAUUAAAUUUUCAAUAUACAAAAUUUAGAUUAAAUAGGUCUCUAAGACAAGGCAAUGCAAUGAGGCAAACCAGGGUUCAAAGCAAGUCUUUACUCACUAGCUUUUAGUCCCUAACUUCUACUGCUGAGUCUUGUAGCAAAGUCCAUGCCUUACAUAGCAUGAUCAGUUCAAAGAAGAGGUCAUAUACAAGUCAAUCUAAUCAAGUCUUCUGUCCUGGUGAUGGGUCCCUCAUCCAAUAGAAUCAGAUCGUCCCUUUGAUUUUAUUGUCCAUCAAAAGCAAAAAUUAGACAUUGUCGAGGUUCUGAGGCAAGUUCAUGGAUAUAUAGAAAAUUUUAACUCGUAGACAUUGUUGAUUAGCUCUUCUUAUCUCUAUUUCAAAUGAUGAUUUUGUGCACACAUUGCUUGUUCAUAUAUUACAAGACUCAACAUUUAGGUGCUGAUUUUUCUUCAGGGGAUACAUGGCUCUUGAAUGCUCAAAGAAGGGUUGCUUAACUGAGGAACAACAACACCAGUUGCUGGCCAAAGUAGGAAUUUGAUUAUCUUCUCCAUUGGGUAAUCUUUUGGCUUCCUUCACAUCCUUUCUGGGCAGUCUUUUUCUCUACAUUUUCAAGUUUCAUUAUCAAUGUCCUCUGUAAUUAGCAUACUCAAAGGCAAAUCUACGGUCCGAGCAACGAGCAUCAAGCAUGACACAAUCAACUCAGGUAUGAGAUUCAAAGCCUUUGAGAAGCUCUCACUGGACAACAAGCUUCAUCUCUCAAUAUUCUCUUAGGCCGGUCAAGUCUGAGAGUGUUUGAAAAACUACAAAGAGAAUGCAAAUGGAAAGCCUUGAAUUAAGGUUGAGGAUCCUUAGCAUGAUCCUCGACACCCCCCCCCCCCCCCCAUUACUUGAUGGGUCAACGAUGGAUUCCUCGGUUUCCUUCAAUAGCAGGGAAGACUCGAGUAUUCUUCAUAAAGCAAGCUUCUUAUCAGGUCUGGAACAUUGAAGGUUGAGUCUACCCUAAUCUAACCAACUCGCAUCCAACUAAAAAAAAAAACGCAAGCUUUGGUUGACUGAUAAUGAAAACAUGAGGUAUGCUAAUAUUAUGAAAAAUGAUGCUUGAAAACUAUUUUGAUUUGAAUAUGUGCAAAUUCUUGUNNNNNNNNNNNNNNNNNNNNNNNNNNNNNNNNNNNNNNNNNNNNNNNNNNNNNNNNNNNNNNNNNNNNNNNNNNNNNNNNNNNNNNNNNNNNNNNNNNNNAAAAAGGGUUUUUUAAAAGGGGAAAAAACACCCCCGGUGGGGGCCAAAGAGAGAAUUUGAUUUUUUUUCCCCAGGGGGAAUUUUUUGGCUCCCUUCCCCCCCUUUUGGGGGCUUUUUUUUUUUAAAUUUUUAAAAUUUUUUUUAAAAUUUCCUUUUAAAUUGGAAAACCAAAAGGAAAAUUUUGGGUUGGGGCAAGGGGCCUCAAGCCGGACCAAAAAAAUUUGGGUUGGGGUUUAAAACCCUUUGAAAAGUUUCCCCGGGAAAAAAAAUUUUUUUUUUUAAUUUUUUUUUGGGCCGGUAAAUUUUGGGGGGUUUUAAAAAACCAAAAAAAAAAAAAAAAGGAAAACCCCUAAAUUAAGGGGGGGGGUCCUUUGCAUUUUCCCCCCCCCCCCCCCCCCCCCCCCCCCCCCCCCCGUAAGUUGAGCGUCGGAUUUAAGCGGACAUGAAACUUGGAUCGGAAGAGUUUAAAGAGAGGUUUUGACACACUUUUGGUGAAGAUGUCGGCAACUUGCAAGUGAAAAGGCACAUACUAAGUGCGAAGCUUGCCAGUGAGGACAAGUUCACAAAGAAAGUGAUAGUUGAGCUCAACAUGCUUAGCCCGUUUAUGAGAAAUUGGAUUGGAGCUCAAAAAGAUGUCACUCUUGUUGUCACAUAGGAGGAGAGGCCACUGUGGAAUUGAAACUUUGAGGUCACCGAGGAGAUGCAUGAGCUAAAGAAGUUCGGAGACAGUGAGCGCCAAAGCACGAUACUAAGAUUCACAACUGGAGCGAGAAACAGUAGGUUGCUUCCUGGCAUUCCAAGAAACCAAGUUACUGCCGAGAUAAAUAGAGUAACCAAAGGUAGAACGGCGAGUAUCAAGGCAACCUGCCCAAUCUGCGUUUGAGUAAGCAACUAAAACACCAGGAGCAACAGAGGGAUGAAAGGUAAGGCCAAAGUGUAGCGUGCCUUUAACAUAGCGAAGAAUGCGUUUGACAAUAAGAAAAUGGUCUUUAGUUGGGGAAUAGAGAAAUUGACCGACAAAGUUGACAACAUGAGAAAUAUCCGGACGGGUGAUGGUUAGAUACUGGAAAACACCAACAAGAGAUCUGUAAAGUGUAGAAUCCGAGAACAAAGGACCAUCAGCAGACAGGUGCUGUGAAACAACCAUGGGGGGUGUGAACAGGUUUGCUGUUAAGUAGCUGAGCUCGUGUGAGAAUAUCCCAUGCAUAUUUCAACUGGCUGAUGAAGAGGUCGUCAGAGGUGGUCGUUGCUUCAAGACCAAGGAAAUAACUAAGAGGACCCAAAUCCUUAGUAGCAAACUCAUAAUUGAGUUUGCAAGUAAAAUUGUUAAGAAGAGAUGAGUUGUUGCAUGUAAUAAUGAUGUUAUCAACAUAGAGAAGCAAAUAGAUUAUGUUAGAGUGCUUAUGAAAAACAAAUAGUAACUACACGACUGCAAUAAAAACUAAGUUUAAUGAGGAAAGAGCUGAGGUGCUGGAACCAGGCACAAGGAGCUUGCUUUAGACCAUAAAAGGCUUUUUGCAACUGAUAGACAUGAUUAGAAAAAUGAGGGUCAAUGUAUCCAAGGGGCUGCUCCAUAUAAACAUGUUCACUGAGAUGGCUAUUAAGAAAUGCAUUUUUUACAUCAAGUUGGCGAAUGGGCCAUUUGUUUGUCACAACAAGAGAGAGGACAACAUGAAUUGUAGUGGCCGUGAUGAUAGGGCUAAAAGUAUCAAUGUAGUCAAGACUAGGUACUUGUGUAUAGCCCUUGGCAACAAGACGGGCUUUGAAACAUUCAAUAGAUCCGUCAGGCAAAUAUUUGGUUCGAAACACCCAUUUGGAACCCACAAUGUUGGUGUCGAUAGGUCGAGGAACCAAAAUCCAGGUACGAUUGUUUUGCAAGGCUUGAACUUCUUCAUCCAUUGUAGUGAGCCAAACAGGAUUCUUAGCAGCAGAUUUGAAUCCUUUUGGCUUAGUAGAUGCAAGAAGAGCGAAAAUAAGUCCAGAGGAACCCACGAGUCCGAGAUGUGCCGAGUGGCGCGUUUUGAAGAUGUCGACUUUGGCUCGUGUGAGCAUAGGAUAAGAACCCAAGGGAACGACUGUAAUGGAAGGGCGAUCAACCAUGGGUAACUCAAUAAUAGGCUUCGGAGAAGCUGAUCUGAAGUCUGAGUGUGAGAAAGAAGGACCUAUAUGAGAAUUAGUUGCCUGCAAAGACUCAUCCACUGUAUCAAUACAAAUAAUACACGAGGUGGAUAUGAAUUGAGGAAUAUGUUGGGAGUUUGAUGCAGGGAAAGACAAGGGCAUGUCUAUAAGAGGGAGGCUCGAUUCCAAAAAAAUUGAGAUUUGGAGAGAGGAUAUGGGUUGAGCUUGGGAAGUAUGGUGAAAAUGAAAGUGGUUUUCGCCAAAUUGAGCAUGGCGGGUAAUAUAGAGUUUGGAGGUGGUGGGGUCAAGACAACGAAAACCUUUAUAAGAUGAAUGAUAACCCAUAAAAAUGCAAAGGAUGCUCCAAGGGGAAAACUUGUUAGUCAUGUAAUUACGUGAACAAGGAUAAACACGAUAACCAAAUGGAUGAAAAAUUUCGUAAUUGGGAGAGGAACCAUAUAGGAGUUGAAAAUGUGAGUUACCUUCGAGAAGCAGUGUGAGCAAACGGUUGAUGAUAUAAGCCGCAAUGCUAAAAGCAUCAACCCAGAAGUGCGUAGGAAUGUGAGAAUGAAAAAGGAGAGCUAGACUUGUUUCAGUCACAUGGUGGUGUUUCCUUUCGGCGAGACCAUUUUGGGCGGGUAUAUAAGGAUAAGAGAUUUGAUAAUCAAUGAUAGAGGUACUAAGGUGGGCUUUAAAGCAAUUGCUAGUGAAUUUUGUACCACCGUCACUUUGAAAAUUUUUUAUACGAGCAGAAUGUUGAUUUUCAAUAAACUUUUGAAAUUGAAGAAAAGUAUUAAAGAAGUCAGAUUUCAAUUUCAAUGGGUAAAGCCAAGUGAAACGAUAAUAAUCGUCAAUAAAUAAAGCAUAGCAUGUGAAACCCAAAUUGGACUGUACAGGAGAUGGUCCUCAUAGAUUGCAAUGAAUAAGAUCUAAAACCUUUGAAGAUCGAUGUUCAGUAUGAGAAUAAGCCAAACAAUGAUUCUUUGCGAUUUGACAUGUACUACAUAACGCAGGAGAUGACAAUAAAGAAGUAAGAGAAAUCUGUCAUUUUUUAUUCAGAAAAGAAAUAACAGAAUAAUUCACAUGUCCAAGGCGAGCAUGACAUAAAGCAUAUGAAGCGUGAAGAGAUUUAUUUUUCAGGACAGAAACAAAAGCUGAAUUUCUGCGUUCUAGCACAUAUAGGCUGUCAUCCUGUUUACCGGUUGCCACCACCCUUCCCGUUUGGCGAUUUUGAACAGUGAAAAAAUUAUUAGUAAUUGUAACGGAUAACGGAAAGUCAGUUCUUAAUUUACUAAUGGACAAACUAUUUUUAGUGAUGUGAGGAACAACCAGAAUGUCUAAUAGUUGAAAAUAAGGGGAAUGAGAAAGUUUACUAGUGUGGCUAAUAGGUAGAGACGCAUCAUUCCUGACAAUAACACAAUCCUUACCUGUAUAAGAAAUGGACUGGUCCAAGGAAGAUUGAGCUGGAGUCAUAUAGGCCGAGACCCCUAUGUCUAAAAACCAAGCCGAAGCCUCAUUUCUGAAAAUGGAACAUGAUGCAUUGAGGGUUUCGGCGAGUUACGCUUCAAGGGUUUGACCAUGGUAGUCAUAUCGUUGCUAGCACCGAUCCGCAUAGUGACCCUCCACAUGACUUAUUUGAUAGUGUGGAAGUCUACCAGAGGAGUGUCUUUGUCCGCGUCAGUUGUCGCCAAUGCGAGUUGGUUGAUUGUGGAAAGAAGAGCUGCACUUGUUCAAUUUUGCUAAAUUGCGAUUGGUGGCGAUGAACACCACAAGGGAUGGUGCAACAGGUUCUAAAGAUUUUUGGAAAAAAUCAAAGCUCUUUGCUUUUGGCACAAGAUCUACAAAACAGGGCAAAAGGGUGAGGGCCAUUUGGGUCGUGGGGAAGGUUGAGAAUUUCCAGCCCAGACCUCAGAGAAACCAGUGCACUUUGUCAAUGCCAUUGACGGGUCGUCCGAUUGCAUGGAGUUGAUCGUAGAGGGCCUCUAAGGUGCGGGCAUACUCCGAAAUAGAUCUGGUGCCUCGUUUCAUCAGUUGCAAGUCAUCAUUGAGAUAGAUUUCACGGGCUUUGGAGUGGUGGUUGAAUGUGUUUUCCAAGGCAACCCACACCUCGCAUGAAGUGGAGAGUCCCACAACUUCAGCCAUGGCCUCCUCGGUAAGGGAGGAUAACAGAAGGCUAAGGAGGCAUUGAUCGGUAUGUUUCCAUGCCACAUGUUUGAUGUUUGGUGUCUGAGAAUUUUCAAUGGUGAAAUGGGGUGGUAUUUCUAUAGUUUCAUCCACAUAGUCGAUUAGUUCUUGACUCUCUAAAAGGGGAAGCAAUUGGCUUUUCCAUAGGAGGUAGUUGGAAGAGGAUAGUUUGAUGGUAACCAUGUGGAUGAGGGUAUUGAAGGGGAGAAGAGUGGAGAAGGGUUCGACAGCCAUGGAAAGGGAAAGAAGAUCGUGAAAGAGAUGUUAAUCUAUCUUGCUCUGAUACCAUGAGAGUGUUUGAAAAACUACCACACAUUUUAGUGGUGGGUUAAUUUCAUAUAUAUAUAUACACACAUAGUUACAUACGUGAAUAUGGUAAUUACAAGUAUAGAAAGAAUCAAUAAAAUAAAACUAGAAGCUAUAAUUGUGGAUUCAAGAGAAUGCAAAUGGAAAACCAUGAAUUAAGGCUGUGGAUCCUUAGCAUGAUCCUCGACAAGGUCCACAACAACAUAUUAGUUGAUGGGUCAACGAUGGAUUCCUCGGUUUCCUUCAAUAGCAGGGAAGACUCGAGUAUUCUUCAUAAAGCAAGCUUCUUAUCAGGUCUGGAACAUUGAAGGUUGAGUCUACCCUAAUCUAACCAACUCGCAUCCAACUAAAAAAAAAAACGCAAGCUUUGGUUGACUGAUAAUGAAAACAUGAGGUAUGCUAAUAUUAUGAAAAAUGAUGCUUGAAAACUAUUUUGAUUUGAAUAUGUGCAAAUUCUUGUGUGAAUGGAGUGGUUCGAGUCAACACAGAGACAAGGAUUCAAAUACAGAAAAAUAAAAUUCUGGAUGACACUUACUAACGUUGGAUCCAUGUUCUUCUCUUCUUUCUCAAGUGUUAAUUGUUGAUUGUCACUUCGAUUUUUUUUAGACUAUUGAUCACAAUCAAAUUAAUUUCAAUAUGAAAAAAUAAUGUAAUUUCAAUAUGGAAAAAAUGAUGAAGGAAAAAAAAGAAGUUGGGAAAAUAAUUGUGAUAAAGUUAAUAAAUCUAUGCAUUUAAUUAAUUUUAAAAACAUGUGAAAAUAAUUUAUCAACAAAGUAUUCUUAAAAUUUUCAAAUUUAAUUUAAAUUAUCUUAUUUAAUAUAAUUAAAAUAUAAUUCAUAAUAGUUUUAUAUUUAAAAUUAUAAAUUUAACCAUUUUUAUUAAAAAAAAGUCAUGAUAGAACAUAAUUUACAAAAUUUUUGUAUAUUUAAAAUAAUAAAUUCAACUAUUCAUAUUAACUUUAAAUUUCAUAUUAAAAAAAGUAAAAAUAUGAAAAAAAAAAAAAAAAAAAAAGAUAUGAUACUGUAGACCUCAUUUUAGGGGCCUAUUUUCCUCACAUUCCUAUAGAUUUUUUUCAGGUGUCGCAACUGUGAGUAGCCACAUGUUGAUUCCCAUUUGGUUGUUAUGGCAUCAGGUAGUGGAAUCAACGAGCAAACAAGAGGAUGACAUGUGGAAAGAAUAUUCGAGAGAUGUUGUAGUCUGUUAGGAGGAGCGUAGGAAAGAGAAGAUUCAGGCCAGAGAUAGGUGCUUUUCAUGCUGGUUUGGUGAGAUUUUUUUUGGGAGGGCAUUCAUUCUUGAGGGGCAAAUGAGACGAGUGGGAGGGGGCUAAAGAUUUUUUGAAAGGAGGUUUUUCUGGCUGGGGUAACAAGCCAGAGGGGACAAGCGUUUUAGGACUAAGAGAAAAAGUAGAAAACCAGAGUUUUGAGAGGGUUACAGUGAGUAUCGAGCUGGGAGUUGCAGGGAGGCAUAGUGAGUUUUUUUAAAGAUAUUAUGUGGAGUUAUAGAGGGAUAUUCUUGCUUUCCUGAGGAGUAAGUUUGAGGAGAAAGAGGCUUUCAGGUAUGACCAUUUAUGAUUUUCCCGUAUAUUCUCAUCUUUCAUAUUUCUUCUAUCUUAUUCUCUAUGAUUUCAGUUUUGCUUGAUGGGUUGCUUUGUUUCGAUGAUCGUUGGUUUAAUAUUUGAAAAGCUGGCUGCAUUUUUGUGUUUUACCCAAGCAAACCUCUUUCAUCUUAACCCACUGAUUGCUAAACUCAUGGAUAAAAGAAUGAAAUGAGGUUAGCAUAUUCGUCAAAAGGUUCCCUGCUCUGUUCCUAUUUCUGUUCCCUUUCUCCUCUGUUUUCCUUUGAAAGAGACUUCCAAGCUUUAAGACUGGAAAUCUGGGGAGAUUGGCUUAUGGAGAAUGAUGAUGAUAAGAAGAGGAGGUUAUCAACUAUAGAAUCUGAAUCUGAAUCUGAAAAUGUCUGAAGCGGGUAUCAGUAGUUUUUGGGAUUCCAGGAGUUUUUCCUUGAGUAUGUGGGUAUCGAUGCUAAUAGCUGCAAAGUCCUAGCCAACAUUGUACAGUAGAGCCCAGAUGUUGCUCAAAGGGUUCAUGGUCAUCUUGUCAAGUACCUAAGGGCAAAUGGUGCUUGUGACCUAGGUCACAUGUUUGGUUACGCCGUCACGGAGACCCUUGAACUUAUGUCUCUAAGGCAUGUUCUCUCUACCAAGCUUGAUGCCUGCCUUACUAAGGAUGGGAGGACGAAACCUACUCACAGUUGAAACCCAGUGGUAAGAUUCAAGUCACUGUUGAGUAUCACAAUGAGAAUGGUGCCAUGGUUCCUCCUUCAUGUGUACAUUGUUCCCAUCUCUACCUAGCUUGACUAGACUGUCACCAGUGAGGAGAUUGCUGCCGAUACCAAAUAAUGCAUCAUCCAACCUGUUAUUCAUGAGAAAUACUUAGAUGAGAAGUCCAUCUUCCAACACCCAUUAAGCCACUUCUCACACUACUCAUUUCACCAAUGAUGCCCAUCCCUUCUAAACCCAUCAAACCCGUUUCAUCUCACCAUCACCUUCCAGCAACCACAAGUCUAUUCCUCUCAUAACCUAUUUCAUUAAUGAUGCCCUCAUAUCUCAUACUCAACAUAUCACCAUCUCUUCAUCUCCCUAACUUCUUUUACCCUUCCCACCGUUCAUAUUUCCUAACUUUUAUGCACCCAUGCAAGCCCUCUACGUCUAUAUAUCAUACCCAGCAUGCCUAUUGAACCCUUUUCUUUCAUCAUAUUCCGCUUCACAUCCCUCUAACCAUAUCCUUCUCCAUCUACACCACGGGCAUGGCUAUUAUUCCAUGCAUAUAUUCACACCCACUGAACCCUUCAAAUCCAUUUUCUUUCUCCAAGUCUACCCAUACCCUUUUCAUACAUCCUACAUAGCCACUCUUAUUUUUCCACAUUGCCCAUCCAUGAAAGCCCACCCUCUUGUUUUGAACCUAAUGAAGCUAUCAACAUGUUUGCUGAUGAAAUACUUGACAUAUGGUUUACAUGUAUAAGGCUCCUGAAGGAUGAGGAUGUUGGACUUAGUUAAAUGCUUGCCAUGGACGUCCAGAAGUGUUUUGCUCCCAGCAGAUUUGGAAAAGGCUUUCUAGCUAGUGUGGUACCAUCCCAGGUAAAGAAGUGCGGGAAAUUGUGUGGCAUCUGGAGGAGAUUUAGUCAGACUUGUUUUUGAAAAGGAGAUAGACAAUCACCAUGAAGAAAGACUACUUAUAUGCCAAAUUUUGUUGUUCUCAUAUGGAAAAUCUCAUAGUUUCGAAACCCCUGGCAAACCUUUACGACAAAGCUUGGCUCAAUGAAUUUUUACAGCAUUGGAGGAUGAGAUUUUGCCAACAAUUGGUGUCCUUUGCCAAUGGCCAUGUCGGGAAAUACCAGGAAGUCAAUUGGGUUGGCAGCAUGGGUAACUACAAGGAUGUGUUCCUGCCGUUGUAUGCAAAUAUGCUUGGCUUUCAUGCCGUCUCAAAUUGCGUUUUCAUUAGAGGAGGAAUCACGAACGGUGGGUCUCUACUAUCUGAUGUCAUCAAACCAGGAGAAACUGUUGAUUCCUUUCUCAUGGACGGUGGCUUCCAGGCUGCAUUCCAUGCUUAAGGUGUCAUAUAAGGAAGACCAUGGAGUCCUUGUAUUUUCACAAAUGACAAAACUUCUCGAUAUUCUUGAGAAUUAUUAAACCAUUGAAUUUGGGCCCAGAACAUUCGAGAGGGUGGAUGGUUCAAUUUCUUAUAGGGAAUUAAACCGAAUUCCCAACUCGUGAGAAACAAAAAUAGAGAAAAAACACACGCCAAAAAAAAAACAAUCACAUGCACAAGACAUUAUUUACGUGGUUUGGCAAUUUGCCUACGUCCACGAAGUUGUAGGGAUAUCACUAUUAUUAGGGAAGAAUAUAAAGUACAACGACAACGACUACAAUAUUUUCUCUUUAUAUAUAACACGAUAACCACACCACACUAAAGAACCUUAAUUACAAAAGAUGGUUCCACAAUGGGCUAAACGGGCCCAACAAGCCUUAGUAAAUCUUCCAUUAAAAAAACCGUGCAAUAUUAUUCGGGUUGAGUCGUCAAACUUGAUCAAACAAAAUUAGGCUCCACAAAGCCUAACAAAUCUCCCACUUGGAGACUAGUUCAAUCACCAACAUCAAACCGCUAUCCUCCAAGAAACAAUCCCUCAUCCCUGCAACUCAUCCUCCUGUCCUCAAGCUAGAAGACCAAUUGAAGCUGAUACGUUCCCAAUUGGUGUCUCAGCUUAUUCAUGUCCUCUCAAUGGUCCCUGAUAGUGGUGCCAUUUGAUUCGUGUCCAGUUGGUGUCCCUUGAUUGUGGUCCUCAGAAGGGAGCAAUCAACAAAAAUUAUAACCUAUUAUACCAUGUACUAGGAUAGCCUUAACUAGCAUAGCAUAGUGGCUCUAGGGUCGUUCACUGGGAUGGGUUUUCACUUCACAAUUGAUAUUAAUUCAAAGUUGAAUUGGUGCCUUUUCAUUUCAAGGUUAGCUUUAAAAGAAAACAUAAAGAUGUUUGAAAAGGGAUUGGUUUUAAGCUAACAAAAAAUAGUAACUGAUUUUACUUACAAAGAAAAGUGUUUCUUGGAGUUUAGAUCACUAGGCUCAGGUUCCUCAUACAAAAAGGAGAGUUCCAGUCACUUGUUUCUUUUCCUCGCAUUAGAGAAUUAACAUAUAGUUAAUUCUCUAACCGGUGUGAUACAGAUGCUUCCCUUUAAUGGAUUCAAACAAUAAUUCCCUCUCACUGAUGCAUCUUGCAAUGGCUCAUGUCUCUCACCUAGCAUUUGCCAUUCAAGGUGAUCCUUAACCUUGGAUUACCCGUCAAAAGCUCGCAAGAGAUAACUAAUGGAUGUCUCCUUAGAGUCCAAAAGCUUACCAAGUGUUGGCUAUUCUAGAAAAUCCUACCUUCAAACCACCUCCCAAAGGCUUGCAAGAGAUAAACUAGAGUAUCUCAAUGGACGGAGAUCACUUGUCUUACCAAGUUUUGGCCCAGGUGAUUUAAAGGCGUUUUAAGUUAACUAAAAAGAUAAAAACCAUUAACGGGUCACACUUUCUCUUCAUUAAAAACUAAAACAACAAAACUUCCAAUUUAUGCAUGAGGAAACUUACCCGGCUUUCUUCACUCCAAGAGAUGAAGAGCCUAGCCUCUCAUCCUCUGAGGAAAAAUCCUCAGAGUUUGAUUGGCUAGAAAGAAAAAUAAUGAGAAAACAAAAAUAUGAAGGAAAAAUAGAGCAAGUGCUCUGCAAAAUAUAUUUCUUCCUUAUACAAAAGGUUGUCUCCAAGAACAAGCUCCCGAGAGAUUGAUUAUAUCUUGUAAAGAAAAUUACAACUAUAUAUAAGAGGUUAUUCAUCCCUUUGUUCUUGCUUAAAGACUAAGGAAUCCUAUGAUAGAUGGGUUACAAGGAGAGUUUGGGGAUUUAGACAUCAAAUAUCUAAAGAAAAAUAUCUCAAAAUGUCAGUCAGGAAGCUUCAGGAGAACACCGCGGCACUGUUCAAAAUGGUUGAGAAAUUUUCGCAACAAAAGGACAACAUUUUUGCAGCCAAAGGCUAAUUUCGCAGUCGUGCACCAUUCUGCCUUCAGCUUGGAGUGAUAUGCUUGUAAUGGCUGUAACUCCUUCAUUUCAACUCCGAAUCGUGCACCAUUUGAAGGAUUGGAUUGUUGACCUCCUGAGCUUCGAAACGACAUAUAGUAUGCAUAAAUUGGACUUCAGGAAGUGCUCCAAGAGUGGCUAAAAUGACUGUCAUCAAGAAUGCUUCAUGACAGAUUUCUCUUUGCUUCCCCUCCUUGCAUUCCGGAUUUGCUUAUGACAAAGGACUUCAAAGCUUCGGUUCUUCAUAUUUCUGAGCUUUCCAUUUGCUUUGCCAUGGAUUCCAAAUAACUCUCCUUAAUCUUGGAUUGCUUUGGUGAUAAAAAAAGCUAUCAAAACACCAAAACUUAACACAAUUUGAUUAGAAUUGAUUGCAAGGGUCCUUAAUAUGUUAAGUGGGUUAAAAAGUAAUAACUACUACUCAAAAGUGUUUAAAAGAGUUAAUUACAAGCUAUCAAAUAACACUUUUUGAGUAGUAAUCAGAAGUUGCGCACAGCUUCAACUUCUCAAUAGUGACACCUUUAGUCAACAUGUCUGCCGGGUUCUUAGAUCCACAAAUCUUCUCAAAUGUUACCAGUUUAUCUUCAACAAGAUAACGGAUAAAGUGGUAUUUUGUUUGUAUAUGCUUCGACUUCGAAUGAAAAACCGAAUUUUUGGCAAGAAAAAUUGCACUCUGACUGUCACUGUGUAGAAUGCCCAUCUCCUACUUCUUAUCCAAUUCAUCUAAGAAACCAUGUAGCCAAAUCAUCUCCUUUCCAGCUUCAGUUGCUGCAACAUACUCAGAUUUUGUAGUAGACAAAGUAACAAUCUUCUGUAGAUUUGAAGCCCAUGAUAUAAUUGUACCACCUAGAGUAAAAACAAACCCAGUAGUACUCUUUCUACUAUCAAUAUCACCAGCAAAAUCAGCAUCUACAUAACCCUACAAUUUCAAACUUGCACCUGUGAAGCAAAGACAUGUAUCUAAUGAACCCUUCAGAUAUCUUAGAAUCCACUUAACUGCCUCCCAAUGCUGCUUUCCAGGCCUACUCAUGAAUCUACUCACAACUCCCACUACAUGUGCAAUGUCUAGCCUUGUACACACCAUAGCAUACACCAAGCUGCCAAUAGUUGAGGCAUAGGGCACCUUGCUCAUAUGGUCAUUUUCUUCUUCUGUCUUCGGUGACUGUUCUUUGCUUAGUUUGAAAUGACUCCCUAAGGGUGUGCUCACUGGUUUAGCUUCAUUCAUGUUGAACUUGCUGAGAACUUUCUUCACAUACUCUAACUGUGAAAGCUUCAAUGUACCAUUAGUCUUGUCUCUAAUGAUUCUUAUACCAGGGAUUUGCUUUGCAGCUACCAAAUCCUUCAUUGCAAAUUGUUUGGACAAUUGCUUCUUCAGAUUAUUAAUCUCCUCAAUGUCAUACCCUGCAAUAAGCAUAUCAUCUACAUACAACAGUAAUAUGAUGUAAGAAUUGUCAAAAGACUUAACAUAACAACAGUGAUCAACUUCACAUCUCUUGAACCCAAUUCUAUGCAUAAAACUAUCAAACUUCUUGUACCACUGUCUAGGAGCUUGUUUAAGGUCAUACAAACUCUUUCUCAGUUUGUAGACUAGAUUCUCUUGUCCCUGAGCAAUGAACCCUUCUGGCUGAAUCAUUUAAAGGUCUUCCUCUAAGUCACCAUGAAGAAAUGAUGUCUUCACAUCUAACUGCUCAAGAUGUAAUUUUUCUGCAGCUACCAUUCCCAGUACAAGUCUGAUUGUUGACAUAUUCACAACUAAAGAAAAUAUCUCUGUAUAGUCAAUGCCCUCCUUCUGGAACCCUUUAACAACUAAUUUGGCCUUGUAACGUUUGCUACCAUCAUGCUCAUUCUUUAUUCUGUAUACCCACUUGUUGUGCAAAGCCUUCUUCCCUACUGGUAAUUUAGUUAGUUCCCAUGUUUGAUUCCUCAACAAGGAAUCCAUCUCAUCCUUCAUGGCUAACUCCCACUUGCUUGAAUUCUCAUCUUGCAAGGCUUCAUCAUAACACUCUGGCUCACCACCAUCAGUCAACAAAAGAUAAUUUAAAACAGGUGAAUAACGCUGUGGAGGUCUAAUGUUCCAGGAAUAUCUGCAAACUUCAAUUAUAGGUGUACUCAGAUCUACCUGUGAAUUAACAUUCUCUUUAACUUCUUCAUCCCCUUUUUGGACAGUACUUUCAGUCAAUUCAUCUAACUUGACAAACUCAGAUUUCUUUUGAUCUAUCUCUAUAACAUCUGACACUACAGUUGACCUGUCCUUGUACAUAACCUGUUCAUUAAAUAUCACAUUUCUACUUCUGAUGAUUUUCCUGUUUUGUUCAUCCCAAAACCUAUAGCCAAAUUUCUCAUCACCAUAGCCAAUGAAAAAACAUAUUUUUGACUUUGCAUCAAGUUUACUACGAGCAUCAAAAUCAAUAUGAACAUAAGAAACACAACCAGAAACUUUUAAAUGUGAAAACUUCAUCUCUUUAUCGCUCCAAACCUCCUCAGGAAGUCUGAACUCCAUGGGAACUGAUGGUCCUCGGUUUAUCAGGUAAGCUACAGUGCUAACAGCAUCAGCCCAAAAAGUUUUUGGUAGUCUAGCAUGCAACCUUAUACUUCUAGCACGCUCAUUAAGAGUUCUGUUCAUGCUCUCAGCCACACCAUUUGUUGUGGUGUCCCAGGAAUAGUUUUCUCCAUCCUAAUUCCCUGUGCAGCAUAAUACUCACUGAACCCUCCAUCUAUGUACUCUCCUCCAUUAUCUGACCUCAAACAUUUUACUUUUAAACUUGUUUCUAUCUCAACCAUGGCCUUCCACUUCUUAAAAGUUUCAAAUACAUCAAAUUUAUUUUUCAAAAAAUAAACCCAUACAUUUAUGUUUGAGUCAUCAAUAAAAGUGAUGUAGUACCUUGAAGCACCAAGGGACGCAACCGGAGAAGGCCCCCACAAAUCAGUGUGUACUAGUUCCAAUUUUUCAGCCUUUGGUGUCCUGCUAGUUUUCAAGAAGCUCACAUUUUUUUGCUUUCCUAAGAUGUAACUUUCACACAUGUCCAAAUCAAUGGACUUCAAUUCUGGUAGUUUUUCUUUUGACAACAGCAUCUUCAUCCCUUUCUCACUCAUGUGACCAAGUCUACAGUGUCAUAGGCUUAUAUCAAUACUUGCAUCAGCAACUACAAUUGUGUCUCUUGGACAUGAGGUCAUAUACAGAGUACCAGUCUUCUUUCCACAAGCCAAUACCCUAGCUCUCUUUGUAACCUUCCAAGUACCACCAACAAAUAGUAUUGCAUGUCCUUCAUCAUCAAGUUGUCCAACAGAAAUCAGAUUCCUCCUCAGGUGAAGAAUAUGUCGAACCUUCUCCAGUAACCAAACAGACCCAUUGGGCAACGAUAUUCGGAAGUCUCCCAGACCCACAACAUCCAAGGCUGAACCAUCAGCCAAAUACACCUUACCAAAAUCACUUGCAGCAUAAUUCUGUAUGAUUUCUCGGUGUGGAGUGGUAUGAAACGAAGCUCCUGAAUCCAAAACCCAAUCAUCAAGUGGACUGUCUACUGCAAGAAGUAAUGCAUCAUGUACCUCUUCUGUUACAACAUUAGCAGAAUCAUCUUCAUUCUUUUUCUUAGGGCUUUUGCAUUGCCUUUUAAAGUGACCUGUUUUCCCACAGUUCUAGCAUUGUACUUGUUGGCCUGAUCUAGAUUUGCUUCUGUUCCAAUUAAAAUUUCUGGAUUUUGAUCUACCCUGGUUUGAAUUUUUGUCAUUACCUCUGCCUCUUGUCUCAAGGUUUAGGGCAGAACCAGAACCUGAAGUUUCGCCUGCAUCUCUUCAGCGAAUCUCCUCAGCCAUAAUUAAAUCUCGUAUAUCAUUGUACUUGAACUUUUCCUUUCCCGUAGAAUUGCUUAUUGCCAUCCUCAUUGCCUCCCAACUGUUUGGCAAAGAAGCCAAGACGAUCAGAGCACAAAUCUCAUCAUCAAAAUCAAUUUUUACAGACGAUAAUUGAUUUGUGAUUGUAUUAAAUUCAUUCAGAUGUUGUGCUAUUGAUACAUUCUCUGCCAUCUUCAAAUUGAACAAUUUCUUCAUCAGAUGCACCUUAUUGUUUACGGACGACUUUUCAUACAUACCGGACAAAGCCUUCAUCAAAUCUGCUGUGGUAUUCUCCUUUACAACAUUGUGUGCAAUAGACCUAGAGAGAGUUAACCUAAUAACUCCUAGAACCUGUCUGUCAAGAAGUAUCCAUUCCUCAACCUUCAUACUCUCAGGUUUUGUCCCCAAAAAAGGCAGAUGCAAUUUCCUCCCAUAGAGAUAAUCUUCAAUCUGCAUCCUCCAAUACGCAAAAUUUGUGCCAUCAAACUUUUCUAUUCUGGACGCCUUUCCUGCUUCCUCUGUCAUUGCUCCUACUCAAACCUAACCCUAGGCUCUGAUAUCAGUUGUAGGGAAUUAAACCGAAUUCCCAACCUGUGAGAAACAAAAAUAGAGAAAAAACACACGCCAAAGAAAAAAACAAUCACACGCACAAGAUAGAUUUACGUGGUUCAAUAAUUUGCCUACGUCCACGGAGUUGUAGAGAUAUCACUAUUAUCAGGAAAGAAUAUAGAGUACAAUGACAACGGCUACAAUAUUUUCUCUCUAUAUAUAACACGACAACCACACCACACUAAAAAACCCUAAUUACAAAAAAUGGUUCCAUAAUGGGCUAAACGGGCCCAACAGGCCUCAGUAAAUCUCCCAUUAAAAAGACCAUGCAAUAUUAUUCGGGUUGGGUCGUCAAACCGGAUCAAACAAAACUAGGCUCCACAAAGCCCAACAUUUUUGUGGCUGAUUGCCAAGCUUACAGUGUUCUACCCAUCAUUAAUGUUGAUUUUUUCUCAGGUUAGAGGAAGCUCGUUCAUGGGGUGUUAGCAUCUCAAUCUGAGAAAUCGACUAAGGCAGAGGAGAUGGAAUGAGACCUUUGUUUAUGUAAGCUUUAUUUUCCACCAAUAACAACCACAUGAAAGGCCUAAUGAAGACGAAAGCCAGACAUAACAGGUCCAAAUGCCAAUAUACUUGGAGCAGUUCCACUUUUGGAUCUAAAAGAAAAAAGUACUGAAUUUGCAUCCCAUUCGAGAUUAUCCACUGACCAAUCAUCUGAGAGAAUGGGUGUCUUUGGGUUGGUAUUCUCUUGUUGAAAUUCAUAGCUGGGAUGAGAACUUUUAGGUUUUGACAAAAUGAUUAAUGAAAAAAAAUGAACCAUGUUUGAAUGAGUGAGGAAAAUACAGCAGGAGAUGUGGCAUAAUAAAUACGACCUCAUGAGAAAUUCCUACAAUGUUGGCUUGAUCACUAGUUGGAAGUCAUGGUGGAUGUGCAUGAAGUUCAUUUUGGAUAUGAGAAGUGAAGCCAAGUACAAGCUGCAUUGGAUGAAGAGUUAGCAGUGCUGAAAUAAGUGGAAUACAUGCUUGGGGAAGAUAAAGAUAUAUCACUGAUUCCAGCAGAUGAUGAAGUAGAACCAGUGGUAAAAACGGGCCUUUCCCAGAUUUGUUCUUCAUUCGAAAAGGAAUUAUCUUCAUUGCUUUUGGAGCCUGAUCUUACAUCCGAGACAGUGGAGGGUAUAGAACACCGGGAAACCACGUGUCAUUUGUGAUGCCCAAUCACCUCAACUCACAUGCAGAUUAUCUUUCACAUCUUUUGGGUUGGAAUUAUUAAUAUCUUGUCCUGCAUCUGUUGGGUUUUCUCUUGGUUGUACUGAUGAUCCUAAUGCAUUGGAAAUCUCAUCUCUUGUUCCCUUAAUGCCAAGCUUCCCAUUCUCCAGCCUUUGCAUCUUCACUGUGCGAGAGAGUUAUACACUUUCAGCCAACAUAUCCAUUGUAAGUGCAAUUCAGAAAUAGGUAAGCUUGGGAAAAUGUUUAUGUUGUCAGAUUCUUCUGUUUGCCCCUGGGCGUGAAACAAAAGACACUCAAUAUGGGAUAGCUAAAGUGAAGGGAGUUAGAGGAAUAUCAGGGUACAAGAUGUCAGACACUCAUAACAAGAGGAACAACUCCAUUGGCCUUGGUGCAUUUGACUAGCUUGAUCUAGUGGUGACUAAAUCAGUGAUUCGUUGGGCCAACAUGCACACAUAUCUCUCACUCAUGCCUUUAUGCAUGGCUACAUUCAGGUCACGUGUCCUCUCUAUGUUUCUUCAUCCCCUUUCAUCAUCCUUAAUUUUAAAAAUAUUUUUCCAAAUCCCAUUCUUCAAAUAAUUUUAUAGAUUUUAGUUUGUUCAAAAAUAAUUGUAACUCUUCCAUUUUUCAUCCUUAGCAUUUUUCUUAGGUUUCAAAAUUAUGUCUUUUUUUCAAUAAAAUUUUGCUCCCACUUUUUCUUUUGGCAAGCAAUUUUCAUAACUCUCAGGAUUUUUAAAAAAUGUUUUAAAAUAAGUAUGAAUUUAUUUCCAUAAUUCUGAACAAGGGAAAUUCAUGGGAUUGGUUCAUACAAAAAUAAAUCGGGCAUUGGUGGGGGCCCAACAUAUGUGAUUUUAUAAUUGAUUGAUUGAUCGAUUGAUUCAAUUCUCAUACAUGAUUGAUUUAUCCUGCUCUAUGACAUGCAUGCGAUUAUUCCUUAAUUGUGCACUAACCUCUUUUCUUGAUAGCGCAUUGUGGAUCGUUGCUCAGGUACAUAUCUAUUCACAUCCUGGUCCUUUAUGCAUAUUCUGAUACUCCUAUGUGCAUGAUCGAUUCGAAUAUUCAUUGAUUUUCUCAUUGAUUGCCAUGUCAGCUUUAUUUUAUUAGUAGAGACCCGUUUUAGGGACUUAGAGGAGUGUUACGGUCUUUACCGUACCUUCCCGAUAAGUAACCUGAUUCCCGAGCCCGAUUCGGUUUUUGCACAGACCACCUUUUCCAAAAUAAGGAGUCACACUUAGGGUUUUCUUUCUUAUUUUGUUUACUCCAAGUCAUUUUCUAAUAAAAUCAUUUCUCAAAAUAAAAAUCAAGCUCGCAAUCGAGUGGAAAACGCAUGAGCCGAAAUGCGGGGUCCACAGAUACACAUCUAAUGAUUAAAAUUAGUUCUUAAUAUUUUAUAUUUCUAAAAGUUAGAAUAAUAAAUUUUAAUUAAAAGAAUUUAUUUGAAGUAAUCAUAAAUAGAAAACUAAAAAAUUUAGAUGUUUAAUUAAUUUUAAAAAUGUUUGGAAAUAAUUUAUCAACAAACUAUUCUUAAAACUCUCAAAUUUAAUUUAAAUUAUUUUAUUUAAAGCAAUAUAAAUAUAAUUCACAAAAGCUUUAUAUAUUUAAAUUAAUAAAUUCAACUAUUUAUGUAAACUUAUAAAAAAGAAGAAGUAAUUAUACCUUAAUUUUUAAUAUUUUAAGUUUAUAAAGUUUUUGUCUUAGAUUUAUAACUAAAAAUGUUAAUAGUCAAUAUUUUAAAAUUUUAAAGUUACCAUCAUAAAUUUUUAACUAAAAGUCUAGAUUAUUAUAAAAUAAGUAUAUAAAUUUUUAUAAAAAAUUAAAGAAAAAUCUUAUAUUAUUAUAAUAUAUUACUAUCUAUUAUCUAUUGAUAUAAUAUUAUAGGAUAAUAUAUUAUUAUAUUUUUUAAAUAUAUUUAUUUAUAAAUAUUAUUUAUUAAUGAAUAUCAAAUUUUUAACUAAAUUAUUUAUCAAUUUGUGGAAUCGCAUUUCUGCUUUAUGGGUUCCCACUCAAUGGCGAACUCACUUUUUAUUUGAAAAAUGAUUUAUUGAUUAAAAAAAUGACUUGGAGUCGCCACUUAUUUUUGUUAUAUUUUUAAAAGGUAAAUAAAAUAAAAAAAGAAAACCCAAAGUGUGACUCCUUAUUUGGAAAAGGUGGUAUGUGAAAAACUAAAUCUGGGCUUGGGGGUCAGGUUACUCAUUGGGAAUGUACGGUAAGGACCGUAACACCCCUUUAAGUCCCUAAAAACGGGUCUUUACUAAUAAGAUGAGGCAAGUAUGACAAUUGAUCGAUUAAACAUGAAUACCAAACAAUGAUCAAAUGUGUGAAAGCAAGACAGGCAUGAUAACAAAUAAAUCGAUGAACACAAUCGAGACUACGAGGCAUACCUUAGUCACAAGCUGAGCGCUGUCAUAAGAGACAAGGUUAGUGCACAAAUGUAAAAUAAUCGCAUGCAUGUCAUAGAGUGAGGCAAACCAAUCAAGCAUAACAAUCAAUCAAUCAAUCAAUGAGAAAAUCUCAUAUAUUGGCCCCCACCAAAACCCAAUUGAUCUUACAUGAGUUAAUCUCACCAAUUCCAUUAUUUUGGAAUUACGAUAAUUGUUUUCGUGCUUAUUAAAAUAGUGAAAAACGAGAAAAUAAUUUAAAAAAACAAAGAAAAUCACAGGGCGCAUGCCUGAAUGAAAAAUGGCAGCACGUUUAUUAAAAAUUAGGUUUUGGUGAAUUGGGAUUUUAAUAAAGAAAAGAAAAAUAAAGAAAGAGAAAAAAAAUAAUGAUGAUAAUAAUAAUAAUAAUAAUAAUAAUAAUAAUAAUAAUAAUAAUAAUACUAGAAAAUAAAUAAAUAAAUCGAAUAACACAAACUAAAAUAAUAAAAUAAAUAAAUAAAUAAUUAUAUGAAAUAUGAACGAAUAAAAAUAAUUAAGUUAGGUGAAUAAACAUAUCAAAUUAAUGAAUUUAAAAGAUUUAAAACUAUCCGAAAGACAAAUAUUUGAAAAUCAAGCUUUGAAACUAAAUUGAAAAUUGAAGUUUUAAGAAAUAAAUUGGAAAAUUGGAAUUUUAGAAAAAUAAUUUGAAACUGGGAGUCGUGAAAAUUAGAACUUUGGAAAAUUGAGAAUUAAAUUUGGAAAUUGGAAUUUUGGCGGAUUAUUUAGAAAUGGAAUUUUAGAUAAAUGAAUAAGUGGAUAAAUAAAUGACUAAAAUAAUAAUAAUAACAAAAAUAAUAAAGAUUGGAUAAAUAAUUGUGAAAAUUGGAAUUUUGGGAAUUGAAAAUUGAAUUUAGAAAUCGAAAAUUUGAAGAAUUAUUUAGAAAUGGAAUUUUAAAUAAUUGAAUAAGUGAAUAAAUAAAUGAAUGAAAUAAUAAUAACAACGGAAAUAAUAAUGAUUAGAUAAAUAAUUGCGAAAAUUGGAAUUUUGGAAAUUAGAAAUUGAAUUUAGAAAUUGGAAAUUUGAAGAAUUAUUUGAAGAAAGAAUUUGAAAAAUAAAUGAAUAAGUGAAUAAAUAAAUGAAUGGAAUAAUAAUGAUUGGAUAAAUAAUUGUGAAAAUUGGAAUUUUGGAAAUUGAAAAUUGAAUUUAGAAAUUGGAAAUUUGAAGAAUUAUUUAGAGAUGGAAUUUUAAAUAAAUGAAUGGAAUAAUAAUAAUAACGAAAAUAAUAAUGAUUGGAUAAAUAAUUGCGAAAAUUAGAAUUUUGGAAAUUGGAAAUUGAAUUUAGAAAUCGGAAAUUUGAAGAAUUAUUUAGAGAUGAAAUUUUAAAUAAUUUAAUAAGUGAAUAAAUAAAUUAAUGGAAUAAUAAUAACGAAAAUAAUAAUGAUUGGAUAAAUAAUUGUGAAGAUUGGAAUUUUGGAAAUUGGAAAUAUAAUUUAGAAAUCGGAAAUUUGAAGAAUUAUUUAGAUAUGGAAUUUUAAAUAAAUGAAUAAAUGAAUGAAUUGAAUAAUAAUAAUAAUAAUAAAAAUAAUAACGAUUAAAUAAAUAAAUGUGAAAAUUGGAAUUUUGGAAAUUGGAAACUAGAAUUUGGAAGAAUUAGUUAAAGAUAGAAUUUUAAAAAUGAAUAAAUAAAUAAAAUAAUAAUAACAAAAAUAAUAGUGAUUAAAUGAAUAAAUGUGAAAAUUGGGAUUUUGGAAAUUGGGAAUUAGAUUUGGAGGUCAGAAUUUUGAAGGAUUAUUUGAAGAUAGAAUUUUAAAAAAUAAAUAAGUAAAUAAAUAAAUAAAAUAAUAUUAAUAACGAGAAUAAUAAUGAUUAAAUAAAUGAAUGCAAAAAAUGGAAUUUUGGAGAUUGGAAAUUAAAUUGGGAAAUCGGAAAUUUGAAAAAUUAUUUAAAGGUGGAAUUUAAAAUAAAUAAAUAAGUAAAUAAAUAAAAUAAUAAUAAUAACAAGAAUAAUAAUGAUUAAAUAAAUAAAUGUGAAAAUUGAAAUUUUAGAAAUUGGAACUUAAAUUUGGAAAUAAGAAUUUUGAAGAUAUUUAUUUAAAGAUGGAAUUUACCGAAAUCAAACCUUGACACGUGAUAGAAAAGGAGAAAAAAAAAAAACAAUAAUUCACCAUGCCACUUAGAGAACUUAAAGUGCUCCUGCCACUAAUAAAACCUCAUGCCACAAUACACCAAAUCAAGAAAAAGAAGGCCAUCACUACCCGCCACCCAUUUUUUAAAUAAUAAAAAUAAAUCCUUCAGGAAUUGCCAUUCCACAACCAACUCUAUCCACUUUACUCUUUCAAAAAUUCUUCUGUUGUGCUCUUCUAAAUCAAGCAAAAAACACAGAGAGGCUGAGAGGGGUCAUCCUUCCAAACUGCCUUAGAAUUGCUACAAUAGAGGAGCCACUAUGUGAACAAAGCAGCAUCUCUCUGAUUUGACCAUGAAAGAACCCAGGACAUCCUGAACAAGGAGAAAAUCAAUGCCCACAAACUAGAAGACCAUCACAAAGAAUGACUAAUGAGGAUGUGCUCCACCAGCUCCAUCAAAUGCAAGCGGAUAUUGCUAGCUCACAAAACUGCUACUUUAUGCACCAUGACCAAAGAAGGCAGAUUUGAGGACAAGUGAACGGACGUUGGAAGCACAUGGCGGUGAAGCCAAGCUUAACCCAACACCAAUGGGGACUUUCAUAGCCUUUUUUUUUUUUUUUUGGGAAACAAAUUUCUAAAGAGAGAAAGCGUAGGAAAAUGUGAGGGUUUUCCACUCCCACACCUUUGAUUGUUUGGGUUCAUUCUUCUUGUCCCUUCUUCCUGGUUUGUGGUGUGUGAAGGAAAUGAAAAUGGCCAUGCAUGCAGAUUCUUUUGCAUGAGUGAGAAAUGAGUAGUGGGGCAACCGGGUGUGAUGGGUAGCCAUGCAUAUGGCUUCAUGCACGUGAGAAAAGGGUGGGAAUGAGCUGAAAAUGAGUAUUGGUGGGAGAAAUGGGUCUCAUGGGCAUUUGAAAAAUGGUCACGUGGUGUAGAGAGAGAAGAUGGUGGUGAUGGGUAUGUCGGUAAGAAGGAUGAUGAGAUGAGGGUGACCAUGCAUUUUGGACCUCAUGCACAUGGGGAAAUGGUGGAAGUAAGUUGAAAGUGGGUUAGAUGGGCGAGCAAGAAGGGUGGUGGAGUGAUGAGGAUUAAGCAAACACUAGAACAUAAAACACAUGAUGAUACGGAGCCCCAUUACAAGUGACACCCAUGAGCUUAAAGUGAGUGAGAUUAACAAAGAAAAUAAAUAAGGGUCCCAUAUGUCAAGCUUCAGAAAUGAACUCAUGCAUCAAUCUUGUACAGAGAAAGGCAAAGGAACCCCAAAAACGGAGCAUGCACAUGGAAGAAUAAAUUCAACCAAGACAAACAAAUGGCUCUUCCUAUCCAUACCGAAACAGGAAGUUGAUGCCCAAAAAAUAAGAAAAAAAAAAGUUGAAAAUGAGAAUAAAAAGCCCUAUGGAAGUGAGAAAACAAGGAGCUAUAUUAGUCAAACCUGAAAAGCCCUCCUCAAGCAAAAAGUUGCUCGUCUUCGAGCUCCCCUACUCUAAGAAUGAUUUCUUCUUUCACUCAGUUGCUUGCAUGCUCCAACUUUCUUCCUCCUCAAGUUGCUUUCUAAGGCUCCUCACUAGUUCACUCUCCAGUUCUCUUCAUGUGCUCUCAGUUGGUAUCUCCCUCAAAAUCGUUCCCUCGUAACUACAAAAAACUUUUUUUUUUCUCCUCUCCCCCGUUUGCUAUGUCAAAAAAAUCUUUUUUUUUUUUCUAAAAAUCCCCCAGCCAGCUCGCAGAACACGCUCUCCCUGUCCCUUACAGCUCACCCCUCCUCUGUAACCCACCACCUUUUUGUUCAGUUUCUUCCUUUUCAAAUGGUUGUCCCUUUUGUACCAAGCAACUUACCCUUCCUUUUCCUUCUUGCUUCCCGUCCUCUUUAGCUGCCCAAUAUAACCAAGGAUGAAAAUAUCGGUAAUCACGGAUAUAUCGAUAUUUCGAUUUUACGGAUAUAUCGGAGAUAUAUUGGAUAUAUCGGAGAUAUAUUGGAUAUAUCGGAGAUAUAUCGAUGGAUUUUUUGGAAAAAAAUAUCAGUAAGCUUAAAAUUGUUAAAAACUCAUGAAAAUGUAAGGAAAACCUCAUAAUAAUAUAAUUAUAAGUAUAAUAGACAUUUUAAAGUUAUUUUAUUGAAAAUUUUGAUAUAUGUAUAACAUGAUUUAUCAUAUUUGAUAAUAAUAUCGUAUGCAUUGAUAAAAAUAUGAAUUUUAUAAGUGUACAUUUAUUAUUAAAUUACACCUAAUAUUAUGAUAUUUGAUUAUAAUAUAUCUAAUUUUAAAAUAUAUAUUAGUAUUAAAAUAUGAUCCAUUUAAUUCAAUUGUAUUAAACAAUAUAAAAUAAAUAAUGAUAUAUAUAUAAAUUUUUAAUAUUUAAUUAAUUAUUAAUGAUAUUAAAAAUAUUAUGAAGAAAAUUAUAUAAUUUUUAUAUUUUUGGUAAUUAAUUAAAAGACUUUGCAUUUAAUUAUAAAAUAAUUAUUAUUAAUUUGCUCUUUAAAAUAUUCUUAUAUUUUCUUUAUAUAAUGAGUUUAAGUAUAUAUAUAUAUUUGUUGCAUAUUAUGUAUCAAAGGACAAGUUAGCCCAGGUGGUACCCCAAACCUUUUGGUUUGGGGUUCAAAUCGUCUCGGCUCCAAGCAAAUGGAUAGGCACUGUAGCAACAUUGUAGCAACAUCGCCGAAAUAUCGCUAUCAGUCUUCUUUGGUUGCCAGUCUUGUCUAGCCGUCCCUUACAGCACAUUCUUGAGUUGAUGAAGAAGAAGAUAUAAUAAAAUAGUAAUAAAAAAAACCAAAGAAAUGCCCCCCAUUUGAGGGGGUCCACACAAUCACAUAAAUAACAAAUCUUUAUGGAUGAUUAAUUUAAAAAUGGAGAUCAAAAUAACUUCUUUUUUUUUUUUGACAUAUCUAGAAAUAUUAGGAUAAUUUCGAUUUAUAUGAUUUAAGAAAAAUAUAUCACAUAUAAUAUAAAUAUAAAAAUUAAGUUAACCACUUAAUUAUAAAAAUAUAAAAAUAUAAAUUAUUUUAAAAAAUAUAAAAGAUAAUUUUAUAUUAUUAUAAUAUAUUAUGUAUUAAUAUAAUUGUGAAUCCAUGUUUUUCAUAUCAAUCACCUUUUAUUUGAAAAAUUGAUAUUUUUUUCUUUUUUCUUUUUUCUUUUUUUAAUUGUUUUGCUCUUUCCUUCCGUAGAAAUUCUCCAUCCCCUCUUUUCUCCGUAGAACUUUUUCCUUUUUGGUUCGCCUCCUAGCCAGCCACCCUCUCGAAAUAUCUCUACAACAACAUAUCCUACCCUCGCAGCCUUACCCUCUCUUUCCUGUAACAACCAUCUGCAGGGACUAGGAGAGAAUAUGUUGUCUCCAAUCCAAGUGGUCCCAAAAAAGAUGUGAAAAGGGGGCCCAAAAUGGGGUCUAUAAAAAUAUAGUUGAUUUAUCUAUUUAUAAGUAUUAUUUAUUAAUUAAUAUCAUAUUUUAAUUAAUUUUAAGGUAUUUAAAGUAAAUAACUUACAUUUAAAUUAUUGUUUUUUAAUAAUAAAGAUAUAUAUAUAUAUAUAUAUCUCUUAAAAUUAAUUUAAAUUAUUUUAUUAAUAAAAAAUUAAUUCAUUCAUUGUCUUUAAAAAAAUUAUCUCUUUCAUGGUUUUAGUUAUAAGACUUGUAAAUUUUAUUUUUAAAAUAAUUAUUAAUAAUAAAUAAUAUUAAAAUUCAAAAUUCUUGUUAAAAAAAAGUAAAAUGAUUAAAAGAUAUGGUACAAAACAAUAAUUUAAAUGUAAGUUAUUUACUUUAAAUACCUUAAAAUUAAUUAAAAUAUGAUAUUAAUUAAUAAAUAAUACUUAUAAAUAGAUAAAUCAACUAUAUUUUUAUAGACCCCAUUUUGGGCCCCCUUUUCACAUCUUUUUUGGGACCACUUGGAUUGGAGACAACAUAUUCUCUCCUAGUCCCUGCAGAUGGUUGUUACAGGAAAGAGAGGGUAAGGUUGCGAGGGUAGGAUAUGUUGCUGUAGAGAUAUUUCGAGAGGGUGGCUGACUAGGAGGCGAACCAAAAAAGAAAAAGUUCUACGGAGAAAAGAGGGGCUGAAGAAUUUCUACGGAAGGAAAGGGCAAAACAAUUAAAAAAAGAAAAAAGAAAAAAGAAAAAAGAAAAAAAUAUCAAUUUUUCAAAUAAAAGGUGAUUGAUAUGAAAAACAUGGAUUCACAAUUAUAUUAAUACAUAAUAUAUUAUAAUAAUAUAAAAUUAUCUUUUAUAUUUUUUUAAAUAAUUUAUAUUUUUAUAUUUUUAUAAUUAAGUGGUUAACUUAAUUUUUAUAUUUAUAUUAUAUAUUAAAAAACAAUAAUUUAAAUGUAAGUUAUUUACUUUAAAUACCUUACAAUUAAUUAAGAUAUGAUAAUAAUUAAUAAAUAAUACUUAUAAAUAGAUAAAUCAACUAAUAUUUUUAUAGACCCCAUUUUGCAUCUUUUUUGGGACCACUUGGAUUGGAGACAACAUAUUCUCUCCUAGUCCCUACAGAUGGUUGUUACAGGAAAGAGAGGGCAAGGCUGCGAGGGUAGGAUAUGUUGUUGUAGAGAUAUUUCGAGAGGGUGGCUGGCUAGGUGAUGCGACUCAUGGUAGCUUAGCUUUAAAGGCGUAUCAACAAAAUUUAUACCUUGAAUACUAUUACUAAAGUAGCCAAGCUACUAUAGCAUAGUGGUUCUAGGAUCGUUCACUGGGAAGGGUUUUCGCAAACACAAGUGAUAUUCAAGUUAGGAAAAUAGGUGAUUUUCUUAUGGAUGUUAGCUUUAAAAGAAGAUGUAAAUGUUUUAGAAAGAUUUAAACUAAUCUAAGCUAACAUUAAAGACUAAAAUGAAAGGGUGUAAAAACAAGUUUCUCAAAGAUAGGAUAGCUAUGCUCUGGCUCUUAUGCAAAUUGGAAAUCUCAGGAUAGGCUCCUCGCGUUGGGGUUGCAACUAUGGUGAUGCUUGCUUCCCGAACCGGUAUGGAUUUAGCAAAUCACGUUUUAAUCCUUUAAAAUGGCAAAACAGAUGGUAGUGAAUUUCAUCAAUGGUUAUUCACCUUAGACUUCCUUUGAAUGGCUCGUAAGAGAUAACUAAUGGUCUAAAGCCAAAAGCUUACCAAAUAUUGGCAACUCAAAGUCAUUCCAGGUGAUAAACUCACCUUUCAAUGGCAAUUGAAAUUGGUUCNNNNNNNNNNNNNNNNNNNNNNNNNNNNNNNNNNNNNNNNNNNNNNNNNNNNNNNNNNNNNNNNNNNNNNNNNNNNNNNNNNNNNNNNNNNNNNNNNNNNNNNNNNNNNNNNNNNNNNNNNNNNNNNNNNNNNNNNNNNNNNNNNNNNNNNNNNNNNNNNNNNNNNNNNNNNNNNNNNNNNNNNNNNNNNNNNNNNNNNNNNNNNNNNNNNNNNNNNNNNNNNNNNNNNNNNNNNNNNNNNNNNNNNNNNNNNNNNNNNNNNNNNAAUUACAUCAAAAAUACAAAAAGAAAAUAUCUAAAGUGGAGUCAGCAAAAACAGAGCAAAAUUCGCACCACGCAUGGGGUGUGCGAAAUUUUCGCACACUGAGGGGGGUGUGCGAGUUUCGCACACCAUUCGCACACCUUUCGCACACCUGGAGCAGUUGUCUUCCGAAGGCCAUAUCUUCCUCAUUUCAGCUCCAAAUCAUACACGGUUUGAAGCGUUAGAUUCUUGACUUCCUGAGCUUUGAAAUGGUAUAUAGCAUGUAGAAAAUGGACUUCAGGAAGUGCUCCAAAAGUGCCAAAGAAGACUGCAGCUGCCGUCCUCUGUUUUCCUCUUUGCUUUUUUUUGCUUCUCUUUGCUUCUCUUUGCUUCUCUUUGCUUUUCUCCUUUUGUUGGCUUGCUUUGGUGUAGCUAAAAGCUUGCUUUAACUUGUCCAAGUAGCUCCUCCAUCAUUUGGCAUGCUUGAAUUGAUUCAUAAGCUGAUAUAAACAUGUAAACUUGCCACAAAAUGGUUAAAACCAAUUACUAAGGACCUUAAUGAAUUAAUUGGGUUAAAUGAAUAUGAUUACUACUCAAAGGUGCUUAAAACCAUUAUAAUUAGGUCUACAAAAUAGCACUUUUUGGUAGUAAUCACUAGGAGGCGAACCAAAAAAGAAGAAGUUCUACGGAGAAAAGAGGGGCUGAAGAAUUUCUACGGAAGGAAAGGGCAAAACAAUUAAAAAAGGAAAAAAGAAAAAAGAAAAAAGAAAAAAAUAUCAAUUUUUCAAAUAAAAGGUGAUUGAUAUGAAAAACAUGGAUUCACAAUUAUAUUAAUACAUAAUAUAUUAUAAUAAUAUAAAAUUAUCUUUUAUAUUUUUUUAAAUAAUUUAUAUUUUUAUAUUUUUAUAAUUAAGUGGUUAACUUAAUUUUUAUAUUUAUAUUAUAUAUUAAAAAACAAUAAUUUAAAUGUAAGUUAUUUACUUUAAAUACCUUAAAAUUAAUUAAAAUAUGAUAAUAAUUAAUAAAUAAUACUUAUAAAUAGAUAAAUCAACUAUAUUUUUAUAGACCCCAUUUUGGGCCCCCUUUUCACAUCUUUUUUGGGACCACUUGGAUUAGAGACAGCAUAUUCUCUCUUAGUCCCUGCAGAUGGUUGUUACAGGAAAGAGAGGGUAAGGCUACGAGGGUAGGAUAUGUUGCUGUAGAGAUAUUUCGAGAGGGUGGCUGGCUAGGAGGCGAACCAAAAAAGAAAAAGUUCUACGGAGAAAAGAGGGGCUGAAGAAUUUCUACGGAAGGAAAGGGCAAAUAAUUUAAUUGAGGAUAUGAGAAAAAGGAAACAAAUAUCAGUUUUUCAUAUAUAAGGUGAUUGUUAUGAAAAACAUGGAUUCACUAUUUUAUUAAUANNNNNNNNNNNNNNNNNNNNNNNNNNNNNNNNNNNNNNNNNNNNNNNNNNNNNNNNNNNNNNNNNNNNNNNNNNNNNNNNNNNNNNNNNNNNNNNNNNNNGCAAAUAAUUCUUCAGCCCCUCUUUUCUUCGUAGAACUUUUUCUUUUUUGGUUCGCCUCCUAGCCAGCCACCCUCUCGAAAUAUCUCUACAGCAACAUAUCCUACCCUCGCAGCCUUACCCUCUCUUUCCUGUAACAACCAUCUACAGGGACUAGGAGAGAAUAUGUUGUCUCCAAUCCAAGUGGUCCCAAAAAAGAUGUGAAAAGGGGGCCCAAAAUGGGGUCUAUAAAAAUAUAGUUGAUUUAUCUAUUUAUAAGUAUUAUUUAUUAAUUAAUAUCAUAUUUUAAUUAAUUUUAAGGUAUUUAAAGUAAAUAACUUACAUUUAAAUUAUUGUUUUUUAAUAAUAAAGAUAUAUAUAUAUAUAUCUCUUAAAAUUAAUUUAAAUUAUUUUAUUAAUAAAAAAUUAAUUCAUUCAUUGUCUUUAAAAAAAAUUAUCUUUUUCAUGGUUUUAGUUAUAAGACUUGUAAAUUUAAUUUUUAAAAUAAUUAUUAAUAAUAAAUAAUAUUAAAAUUCAAAAUUCUUGUUAAAAAAAGUAAAAUGAUUAAAAGAUAUGGUACCAAUCAUUAUUAAUUAUUUAAAGUAAAUAACUUACAUUUAAAUUAUUGUUUUUUAAUAAUAAAGAUAUAUAUAUAUAUAUCUUAAAAUUAAUUUAAAUUAUUUUAUUAAUAAAAAAUUAAUUCAUUCAUUGUCUUUAAAAAAAAAUUAUCUCUUUCAUGGUUUUAGUUAUAAGACUUGUAAAUUUUAUUUUUAAAAUAAUUAUUAAUAAUAAAUAAUAUUAAAAUUCAAAAUUCUUGUUAAAAAAAGUAGACCCCAUUUUGGGCCCCCUUUUCACAUCUUUUUUGGGACCACUUGGAUUGGAGACAACAUAUUCUCUUCUAGUCCCUGCAGAUGGUUGUUACAGGAAAGAGAGGACAAGGCUGCGAGGGUAGGAUAUGUUGUUGUAGAGAUAUUUCGAGAGGGUGACUGGCUAGGAGGCGAACCAAAAAAGAAGAAGUUCUACGGAGAAAAGAGGGGCUGAAGAAUUUCUACGGAAGGAAAGGGCAAAACAAUUAAAAAAGGAAAAAAGAAAAAAGAAAAAAAUAUCAAUUUUUCAAAUAAAAGGUGAUUGAUAUGAAAAACAUGGAUUCACAAUUAUAUUAAUACAUAAUAUAUUAUAAUAAUAUAAAAUUAUCUUUUAUAUUUUUUUAAAUAAUUUAUAUUUUUAUAUUUUUAUAAUUAAGUGGUUAACUUAAUUUUUAUAUUUAUAUUAUAUAUUAAAAAACAAUAAUUUAAAUGUAAGUUAUUUACUUUAAAUACCUUAAAAUUAAUUAAAAUAUGAUAUUAAUUAAUAAAUAAUACUUAUAAAUAGAUAAAUCAACUAUAUUUUUAUAGACCCCAUUUUGGGCCCCCUUUUCACAUCUUUUUUGGGACCACUUGGAUUGGAGAUAGCAUAUUCUCUCCUAGUCCCUGCAGAUGGUUGUUACAGGAAAGAGAGAGUAAGGCUGCGAGGGUAGGAUAUGUUGCUGUAGAGAUAUUUCGAGAGUGUGGCUGGCUAGGAGGCGAACCAAAAAAGAAAAAGUUCUACGGAGAAAAGAGGGGCUGAAGAAUUUCUACGGAAGGAAAGGGCAAAUGUGAAAAUUGGAAUUUUGGAAAUUGGAAACUAGAAUUUGGAAGAAUUAGUUAAAGAUAAAAUUUUAAAAAUGAAUAAAUAAAUAAAUAAAAUAAAAUAAUAAUUACAAAAAUAAUAGUGAUUAAAUGAAUAAAUGUGAAAAUUGGAAUUUUGGAAAUUGGGAAUUAGAUUUGGAGGUCAGAAUUUUGAAGGAUUAUUUAAAGAUAGAAUUUUAAAAUAAAUAAUAAAUAUAAUAANNNNNNNNNNNNNNNNNNNNNNNNNNNNNNNNNNNNNNNNNNNNNNNNNNNNNNNNNNNNNNNNNNNNNNNNNNNNNNNNNNNNNNNNNNNNNNNNNNNNGAAUUUUGAAGGAUUAUUUAAAGAUAGAAUUUUAAAAAUAAAUAAAUAAAAUAAUAAUAAUAACGAUUAAAUAAAUGAAUGCGAAAAAUGAAAUUUUGGAGAUUGGAAAUUAAAUUGGGAAAUCGGAAUUUUGAAAAAUUAUUUAAAGGUGGAAUUUAAAAUAAAUAAAUAAAAUAAUAAUAAUAACGAGAAUAAUAAUGAUUAAAUAAAUAAAUGUGAAAAUUGAAAUUUUAGAAAUUGGAACUUAAAUUUGGAAAUAAGAAUUUUGAAGAUAUUUAUUUAAAGAUGAAAUUUAAGGAAAUCAAACCUUGACACGUGAUAGAAAAGGUGAAAAAAAAAAUAACAAUAAUUCACCAUGCCACGUAGAGAACUUAAAGUGCUCUUGCCACUAAUAAAACCUCAUGCCACAAUACACCAAAUCAAGAAAAGGAAGGCCAUCACUACCCGCCACCCAUUUUUUAAAUAAUAAAAAUAAAUCCUUCAGGAAUUGCCAUUCCACUACCAACUCUAUCCACUUUACUCUUUUAAAAAUUCUUCUGUUGUGCUCUUCUAAAUCAAGCAAAAAACACAGAGAGGCUGAGAGGGGUCAUCCUUCCAAACUGCCUUAGAAUUGCUACAAUAGAGGAGCCACUAUGUGAACAAAGCAGCAUCUCUCUGAUAUGACCAUGAAAGAACCCAGGACAUCCUGAACAAGGAGAAAAUCAAUGCCCAUAAACUAGAAGGCCAUCACAAAGAAUGACUAAUGAGGAUGUGCUCCACCAGCUCCAUCAAAUGCAAGCGGAUAUUGCUAGCUCACAAAACUGCUACUUUAUGCACCAUGACCAAAGAAGGCAGAUUUGAGGACAAGUGAACGGACUUUGGAAGCACAUGGCUGUGAAGCCAAGCUUAACCCAACACCAAUGGGGACUUUUGUAGCCUUUUUUUUUUUUUUUGGGAAACAGAUUUCUAAAGAGAGAAAGUGUAGGAAAAUGUGAGGGUUUUCCACUCCCACACCUUUGAUUGUUUGGGUUCAUUCUUCUUGUCUCUUCUUCCUGGUUUGUGGUGUGUGAAGGAAAUGAAAACGGCCGUGCAUGCAAGUUCUUUUGCAUGAGUGAGAAACGAGCAGUGGGGCAACUGGGUGUGAUGGGUAGCCAUGCAUAUGGCUUCAUGCACGUGAGAAAAGGGUGGGAAUGAGCUGAAAAUGAGUAUUGGUGGGAGAAAUGGGUCUCAUGGCCAUUUGAAAAAUGGGGACGUGGUGUAGAGAGAGAAGAUGGUGGUGAUGGGUAUGUCGGUAAGAAGGAUGAUGAGGUGAGGGUGACCAUGCAUUUUGGACCUCAUGCACAUGGGGAAAUGGUGGAAGUAAGUUGAAGGUGGGUUAGAUGGGCGGGCAAGAAGGGUGGUGGAGUGAUGAGGAUUAAGCAAACACUAGAACAUAAAACACAUGAUGAUACGGAACCCCAUUACAGGUGACACCCAUAAGCUUAAAGUGAGUGAGAUUAACAAAGAAAAUAAAUAAGGGUCCCAUAUGUCAAGCUUCAGAAAUGAACUCAUGCAUCAAUCUUGUACAAAGAAAGGCAAAGGAACUCUAAAAACGGAGCAUGCACAUGGAAGAAUAAAUUCGACCAAGACAAAUAAAUGACUCUUCCUAUCCAUAUUGAAACAAGAAGUUGAUGCCCAAAAAAUAAUAAAAAAAUAAAGUUGAAAAUGAGAAUAAAAAGCCCUGUGGAAGUCAGAAAACAAGGAGCUAUAUUAGUCAAACCUGGAAGGCCCUCCUCAAGCAAAAAGUUGCUCGUCUUCGAGCUCCCCUACCCUGAGAAUGAUUUCUUCUUUCUCUCAAUUGCUUGCCUACUCCAACUUUCUUCCUCCUCAAGUUGCUUUCUAAGGCUCUUCACUAGUUCACUCUCCAGUUCUCUUCAUGUGCUCUCAGCUGGUAUCUCUCUCAAAAUCGUUCCCUCGUAACUACAAAAAACUUUUUUUUUUCUCAUAUCCUCCGUUUGCUAUGUCAAAAAAAUCUUCUUUUUUUUUUUUUCUAAAAGUCCCCCAGCCAGCUCGCAGAACACGCUCCCCCUGUCCCUUACAGCUCACCCCUCCUCUAUAACCCACCACUUUUUUUUUUUUUCUUUUUCUUUUUUUUUUUUUUUUCAGUUUCUUCCUUUUCAAAUGGUUGUCCCCUUUGUACCAAGCAACUUACCUCUUCUUUUCCUUCCUGCUUCCCGUCCUCUUUAGCUGCCCAAUACAACACAUCCAUCAGUCUUCUUUGGUUGCUAGUCUUGUCUAGCCGUCCCUUACAGCACAUUCUCGAGUUGAUGAAGAAGAAGAUAUAAUAAAAUAGUAAUAAAAAAACCAAAGAAAUGCCCCCAUCUGAGGGGGUCCACACAAUCACAUAAAUAACAAAUCUUUAUGGAUGAUUAAUUUAAAAAUGGAGAUCAAAAUAACUUUUUUUUUUACAUAUCAGGAUAAUUUCGAUUUAUAUGAUUUAAGAAAAAUAUAUCACAUAUAAUAUAAAUAUAAAAAUUAAGUUAACCACUUAAUUAUAAAAAUAUAAAUUAUUUAAAAAAAUAUAAAAGAUAAUUUUAUAUUAUUAUAAUAUAUUAUGUAUUAAUAUAAUUGUGAAUCCGUGUUUUUCAUAUCAAUCACCUUUUAUUUGAAAAUUUGAUAUUUUUUUUCUUUUUUCUUUUUUCUUUUUUUAAUUGUUUUCUCCUUUCCUUCUACAGAAAUUCUUCAGCCCCUCUUUUCUCCGUAGAACUUUUUCUUUUUUGGUUCGCCUCCUAGCCAGCCACCCUCUCGAAAUAUCUCUGCAGCAACAUAUCCUACCCUCGCAACCUUACCCUCUCUUUCCUGUAACAACCAUCUGUAGGGACUAGGAGAGAAUAUGUUGUCUCCAAUCCAAGUGGUCCCAAAAAAGAUGUGAAAAGGGGGCCCAAAAUGGGGUCUAUAAAAAUAUAGUUGAUUUAUCUAUUUAUAAGUAUUAUUUAUUAAUUAAUAUCAUAUUUUAAUUAAUUUUAAGGUAUUUAAAGUAAAUAACUUACAUUUAAAUUAUUGUUUUUUAAUAAUGAAGAUAUAUAUAUAUAUAUAUAUAUAUAUAUAUAUAUAUAUAUAUAUCUUUUAAAAUUAAUUUAAAUUAUUUUAUUAAUAAAAAAUUAAUUCAUUCAUUGUCUUUAAAAAAAAUUAUCUCUUUCAUGGUUUUAGUUAUAAGACUUGUAAAUUUUAUUUUUAAAAUAAUUAUUAAUAAUAAAUAAUAUGAAAAUUCAAAAUUCUUGUUAAAAAAAGUAAAAUGAUUAAAAGAUAUGGUACCAAUCAUUAUUAAUUAUUAAAAAUUAAUUUUUAAAUAUUAAAUUAUUAAUUUUAUCAUUAGAAUUAUCAUAAUAAAUUUGAAUUUGUAAUAGUAAUAAAUGAAAGACUAAAAGUAAAAUAAGUAUAUAUGACAAAUUUAUGGAUUUGCCAAACAUAAUGAAAAAAAAAAAAGUUAUUUACUCUUAAAAAUAUUUUUUCAAACAUUAAAUGAUAAUUUUCAGAUUUCUUAGAAUUAUUAUAAUAAUUUUAAGUUAUAAAAUUUUAUUUGAAUUAAAUUUUAGGUCAUUAUGAAAAAUAAAAAUAAAAAUAAAUUCAUAUGUGAGCUUUAAUUUUUAUCCAAUAUAAAAAACUGAAUAUAUUUUUUAAAAAUAUUAAAUUAUUGAUAUUUUAUGAAUUUAAUAUAUGGAGUGAUAGUGAAUAAGAAAAGUAUAAAAGAUAUGGUUAUAAAAUUAUAAAAAAAAAUAAAUAAAUCAACAUCAUAUCAUUGACUAAAACUAUAAAAAAAAAAAAAUAAAUCAACAUCAUAUCAUUGACCCACAUGCGCCAUUAGUUUCAUAUGGUAUAGGAGGGGAGAGAAGAAGUGGGUGGGUGAGGGUUGGUGGAGGAGAAAAAGGAAGAGAUAGGAAAGAGGAAAAAUAAAAUAAUAAAGAAAAAAAUAAAUAAUAUAAUAUAAUAUAAUAAUAAUAAUAAUAAUAGCAACAAAUAAAAUGAAUAAAUAAAAAUAAAAAAUAAAAAAAUAAAAAAACAUAAGAAAAGAAUUUGAAAAAUAAUGAAAACUAAAAAUUAAAGGGUGAGUGUGUCAAAAAAACACAUGUAAUUGAAAUUUAAAAUUGAGCUCAAAAUUAAUAUAAAAAUAAAAUUAGGACAAAUUUUAGGGUGUACAAGUUGAUUUAUCUAUUUAUAAGUAUUAUUUAUUAAUUAAUAUUAUAUUUUAAUUUUUUUAUUUUAUAUAUUAUUUUAAUUCAUUUUAAGUUAUUUAACGUAAAUAACUUACAAUUAAAUUAUUAUUUUUUAAUAAUGAAUAUAUAUAUAUAACUCUUAAAAUUAAUUUAAAUUAUUUCAUUAGCAAAAAAAAUAAUUCAUUCAUUGUCUUUAAAAAGGUUAUCUCUUUCGGGGUUCACUUAUAAGACUUGUAAAUUUUAUUUUUAAAAUAAUUAUUAAUAAUAAAUAAUAUUAAAAUUCAAAAUUCUUGUUAAAAAAAAGUAAAAUGAUUAAAAGAUAUGGAACCAAUCAUUAUUAAUUAUUAAAAAUUAAUAACUUAAAUUAAUUUUUAAAUAUUUAAAUUAUUAAUAUUUAAAAAUUUUAUCAUUAGAAUUAUCAUAAUAAAUAUGAAUUUCAUAAUAGUAAUAAAUGAAAGACUAAAAGUAAAAUAAGUAUAAAUAACAAAUUUAUGGUUUUGUCAAACAUUAUGAAAAAAAAAAAAGUUAUUUACUCUUAAAAAUAUUUUUUCAAACAUUAAAUGAUAUUUUUCAGAUUUCUUAGAAUUAUUAUAAUAAUUUUAAGUUAGAAAAUUUUAUUUGAAUUAAAUUUUAGGUCAUUAUGAAAAAUAAGAAAAAAAUAAAUUCAUAUGUGAGUUUUAAUUUUUAUCCUACAUAAAAAACUAAAUAUUUUUUAAAAAUAUUAAAUUAUUGAUAUUUUAUGAAUUUAAUAUCUGGAGUGAUAGUGAAUAAGAAAAAUAAAAAAGAUAUGGUUAUAAAAUUAUAAAAAAAUAAAUCAACAUCAUAUCAUUGACCCACAUGCGCCAUUAGUUUCAUAUAGUAACUAAAGCUACUUUAAAAUUUCUUUUUUGUUACGUGUCUGAUUUUCCAUGCCAUAAAUUUCCUGGGAAUUCAUCCUUUAGAAAGAAAGGAAAAGUAAUGCGCAGCCAUGAACGUACCUUCGUGUGGUUGAACAUUCAAAGCUUCUCCUCUUUAAAAACCUCCCUUAAACCCCUCGCUCCAACUCAUUCAAUUCAGUGUAAAGCGAACCAGCCAUUGCUACAGAGGGAAUCCAUGGAUUCGUCGUCUCUUCUCCUCUUGUUGUUGCUGGGUUUCUUUUGUUUUGCUGAGUUCACAUCCCAUGCUCAACUUAUUCCAGAAGAUGAAGGUAUCACCACUGUAAUCUCACUUGUUCGUUCCAUUUCUGGGGAAAAUGAAACUUGGGUUUUGUUGUUAAAGAAAUCUGGGGAAAAAGAGAAGUAAAUUUGGUCUUUUCGAGCCAUCUGUGCUUUGUUUAAUACUUCACUGCUAUAAUUUUUUGGAAUCUUGUGGAUUUCUCAUGGUUUGCGAGAAUUUUGACAUUUCUGUUUGUCUCACAGUUCUUUAAAUUUUAUGAUGCUCUGGGAAUUCUUAUGGAAACAGAAAAGCAGGCAUAUCAGAUUAUGUUUUAUUUUCUUUUUUCAAAUUUUCCUCUGCUUUCUCUGCUCCCAAACGUUGGCUUAUAUCAUUCUGCUGGAAAAUUGUUUGUGCCUCUGAGCCAUAGCGAAUUUUUUAUCUGAAACGAUAAGCCAUCUUUAGUUACCGGGAAAUAAGAAAUUUUAAAAUAUAUAAAAUUUUAAUUAAUUUAAUUAUAUUUUAUUUUCUUUCGUAUUUAUACACUUGAAAACAAAUGCGAGAAAGCUAGCAUUUUUUUUCUUAUUUAAAAAAAAAAGUCAAUUUAUUUAUUUAUAUUUAUAUUUGUAUUUAUUACCAUGGUGGCAAUGCCAUUUUAUUAAGGAAAAUACAUAUAUUUAUUUUAGUAUUUGGACUUUAUUUCCAUUGAAUUAUUACCUAUAUUGUCAGGAAAUGGUAGAAAAAGAAUGGAAUGAGUCCACUUGAAUUAUCAGACCAUAUUGAAUUCAUCUCUGAGUCAGUCCCAGGUCCACUUCCUGGACUUUGCGCCCACCUAAAUUAAUCUUUAGGCCCACCAAUUUGUCUUGAUUCCAUGGUUGUUUGGAAUAAGGAAAUCGGGUUGCGUGUGGAAAAUUGGAUGAGUCAGGGAUUGUUGUUGAUUGGUAGUGUCGGUGUGAUAUCUACUGGUCUUCAAAGUCAAAGGCAGAAGAAGAACAUUGAUAUGGAUAGGUCUUGACCAUAUGAAAAGCAUAUUUUGGACUAAAAAUACACGUACCAUACAUGUGCCUUUGUUUGAAAAUAAUUAUGAAAAAUAGGUAUUUUGUCAAUUGUUUUUUUGUUUUUUAGGAAAAAAAAUGAAUAAGAAAAUAUAUUUCACAACCAAAAAAUAAAAAAUUGAAAAUAAAUUUAUGUUCUUAAAAACUGAAAAAUAAAAUAUUUUUAGAAAAUAUUUUUUUACUGUUUUCACUUGUUUUGUGAUAAUCAUUUUAAAAACUAAUUAUACAAAUAUAAAAAAAAUAAAACACUAUAAAUAAAAAUUAUUUUAAAAAUAUAAAAAAUAUGUUAACGUUUUAAUUUCCUAAAGAGACUUUUGUACUACAAAAUAUUAUAAAAUAAUUUUGAGAAAAUGUUUUUCAAAACUGUUUUCGAAAAUACUUCCCAAAUAAAGCUUAACUUUUGAAAACUAUUCUAUGAUAAUUUGUUAAAACAAAAUUUUGCUUUGAAACUUAAAACAUUUUUAAUCUGUUUUAUAUGUUUUGAAAAAUAGUUCUUCUCUCAUAUUUUGUAAAACAAAAAUUUGUUAGGAAUUUAAAAUAUUUUAAACCUAUUUUUUAUUUUUUAAAAUUUUUAUAUAACGUCUUUGUAUAAUUAUUUUUUAAAUCAUCUAUUAGAAAAUACCAUAUUUUUUGUUUUUUGAUUGUCAAACAUGUUUUCCUUUUUUUUAUUCUUAGAAACAUAGACAAGUAGGUCAUUCAUGCAGCUUACAUGGUGUGAUCACUUCAAAGGAGAGGUCAUAUGCAAUUAAAAUUUAAUGUAGUAUAAAUUAUUGGCUUGUUUUAGUAGAGGUUUGGCGAGUGUCAUCAAUAGUGCUUUAAAAUUUGGUAAUAUUAGAAGUCACUUUAAGAUUGGAAUUGAUUGUAGAGGAUUACACUUCAUAGAGUUGUUAUCAUUAGUCAUUCUUUUUCUGUACAUUCAUAAAUCCUUAUAACUGAUCAUUUUGUAUCUGCUCUGUAACAGUGCAAACUCUUAGAACAAUAUUCACAAAGCUAAACUACAAAUAUUGGAACAUAAGCCAAACUUCAUGCAGUGGAGGUUUCAAUCGAACCAUCGAUGAUAAUAGUUACAGCAAUGUCGCAUGCAACUGCACCUUCAACAAAGGAAAUGUUUGCCAUGUCACAAACAUGUAUGAUUUUAUUUUCUUGUUCUUCCCUGACAUAAUAUAUAUAUAAAAAAUUCAAUCCAUUAGAUUAAUGGAAAAGUAAUUGCAUGAGUAUAUGGAAUGGAAUAUUAUUUGCUUAAUGUUAAUAGGAAAGAAUUAGUGACAUCUUUGGAUUACAUAGGCAUUAUUUUUCCUUUCUAUCUCUUUGCAAGGCCAUUUGAUUUGUGUGCUUUGUUAAAUUCCCAUUGCAUUCAUGUACUAAAACCUUUUUUUUUUCAUGCAAAAUGAAUUGCCUAAAGUCUAGUGAAUAAAAGCCUUGUCUUUGUUUUAUAUUGAUUCAGUUUCGAUCUCUUGAACUUGAUUUGCAAAUUCCUUGUUUCCAUAUCAAUUAUCAUACGUUAGUGAGCAAUUAAUUCUAUCAUUAAGUCCACUUUCUAGUGGCUGAAUGAAAUGGCCCAAUGCAACUAGAGCUUGUGGAUUUUCACUUGUUCAUAAUGCCAGAGUGCUAAAGAGUAAAUGUUGGUUCCCACACUAUUCGAUCAAAGCUUCAAAUGAUUGUUUACAUUGAUUACUAGGUUUCCUGCCAUAAGUUUGACCUUUUUCACUUUUGAAGAUGAAAUUGAACGUCCAUUUUUUAUUAUACAUAUUAUAAUAUAUGGUUAAAAGAACACUUUGAAGAUCGAUCUAUAAAAGAAUUGAUAUGGUUUGAUUCCUCAAUUGAAUCAAUAGUAUCUCUAGAGUCCGCUUCUUCCCAAUACUAUGCGUGCAAAGAGAAAAAGUAAGGACUACCAUUAAAGCAGUCCAAGCAAGACUUAGAGCGCGUUUGAAAGUGUUUUUAUUUGAAGUAUUUUUAAUUUAAGUGUUUUUGAGAUAAUCACAUAUCAAAUAUUUCUCCAAAAAGUACUACUAGUGAUUUUUCAACUUUUUAAAAGUACUUGCCGAAUUUUGCCAAACGCCUUAUUUUUCUUUACAAACGCCUUUUAUGCUAGAAGUGCUUUCUCAAAUAGUGGAAUCAAUAGCAUAAGUCAAAAAAGGAUUAUGACCAACUACAUUGAUGAACCAAUCCUAUAAAUCCACUUAUGAUAAAACAAGUCCUUAUAGGAUUUCUAGUAGAGUCAGAAAACAUUAAGCAGAAGCACAAUAUGCUUGGGUAUGAGAACUUUAGCCUGACUACCAAGUCUAAUUAUUUUGUUAUACGUCAGUUGUACUUUUCAUUUUCUUAUUUUUUACUUCCUUUUGUGAAUUACAGCCAGCUGAAGGGUCUUGAUUUGGAUGGAACUUUACCUGAUGAGUUUGGAAAUCUUUCUUAUCUGCAAGAACUGUAAGUGACAUGUUUCUCAACAUUGGGAAGUCAAUGGACCAAAUUUGCCUUGAUGUUUCAUUGGGUUUUUCAACUUAUCAAACAAAUUUCUUAACUCACCAAUACCUUAAUCCCUACUACAUGGGGUUGCAGUUUCACUAAAUUAUAGAGGUUAGUUCACUUCUGAUGUGUUUGAAUAUCCCAUGAAAUUAAGUUAGACCAUUGUGUUUCAAAUAACAUUCAAAACAAGUCCAUUGCGUUUACUAUAGUAUUUACAUGAUUUUAUUGCCUUUUUAAAAAAAAAUAAUAAUAAUAAUAAUAAGUGCAGGCAAAGAUUAAAACAAAUGAUCUCAUUUCACUUUUGUUGUGGUGAUUACCAAUUUUUGUGUUUUCUAGUAAUAGUAAUAGACUGGAUAAACUGUCAUGAAAAUUAUUUGAUCAUCAUCAUCAGAUUCAGUUUUUGAUAUUGUACAGUCAUCUCCAGUAUCUGACUUGAACCCAAAUGAGGGAUUCUUCUUUUAUCCGGUGACCAUGUAAAAUUAAAAUAUACUAAGGGAUUCUUUUUUUUUACUAAAGCAGUGAUCUCUCCCGAAACUAUAUCAAUGGAUCGAUCCCUACAAGUCUCGGUCGGCUUUCUCUUACCAUUCUGUAAGUUCUGAUUAAUUGCAUUUGCACUUGUGAGGUGAGGGUCUUGUUUUCCAGUAAUUUACUAAGUACUUCAUAGUUGGGAAAGUUUAACUUUUGGUACACUGCAGUGCUCUUGUUGGAAACAGAAUCUCUGGGUCGAUUCCUGAAGUAAUCAGUAAUAUCAGUACACUUGAGGAGCUGUAAGUCAUGAAACGGAGUUGAAUGUCUAUUAGAGAAAUUAAUGAUGCCCAACCUUGAUUAUAAAUCCAAAUUUACUUUUCCAGGGUCUUGGAAGCUAAUCAGCUUGGAGAACAUCUCCCUCCAAGUCUUGGAAAGUUGAGUCAUUUAAGGAGACUGUAAGAAUGUUGUUCUCAUCCCUUUCCUUAUAUGCAUAUUAAUUAUUCAUUUCUUUUAUUUCAAAUAAUCACCAAGUCCUUGUAUUCUGGUUGUAGUCUUAGCUGCCAAAAUGCCCAAAAUCAAUUUGAGGAAGCUAAUUUUUUGAGUCAAAGACUUUUAUAAUGCAUUUUGUGUGAUGAAAUGACUCAUGGAUAUGGUGAUUGUAUACUGGUUGAGUUCAUUUUCAGUUGCACGAUUGCUUAUUUUUUAGUUCAUUUACAUCGAGUUAAUGAAAAUAAUGGGAAGAUGGAUUUUCAUAUAUCUGAAAGUGCAAUCUACCUUUUUUGUUCUUUUAUCUCCAGGGUGAAUCAUGAGAAAUAUUUAUAACCAAGAACACAAAUAUAGGCAAAUAUGGCUAUGAACUAGGCGGUUUUUAUGGACUGACAGAUGGAAAUUCAUAUAGGCUAUUUCUAUUUUUCUAACAUUAAGAAACCAAGUUUAGUAUUCAUUAAUUCAUCCUAUGAUGAAAUGGAGAUGUAGAGCAUGAUUUGUAAUGCUUCAUAGAGAAUAGAAGUAAAGAUGAUAAGGACUAAUCUGCUGGGUAUUUACACAUUGUGUUUUUAAUGCCAAAGUUCAUCAUUUGGGAAGUUACUUUGUUUUGGAGGGUGAUUAACAUUGUUGGGGAAUUAUUUUUUCUUAAUGUUUUCAACAAAAGACUUUGCAUUGACCAUCUAUUCUGGUUCUGUUGUCUAAUAACUAUUUCCAAGGAAUUCAUUUGUUUUUUUCUUUCGGUGCUCCUACAGUGUUCUUUCUGCAAACAAUUUCACAGGAACAAUACCAGAAAAUUUUCACAAUCUCAAGAACCUAACUGAUUUGUAAGUGGUGUAAUUAUUUGGACAUUUAUCCUUUUAUGCAAAUUUAGCAUUUUCUGAACUGCAUGUACCAUUUGUAGUAGGAUAGAUGGGAAUAAUUUAUCUGGGAAGAUACCAGAUUGGAUUGGGAAUUGGACCAAACUUGAGAAACUGUGAGUGUUAUACUUCAUUUCAUUUAUCUGCCAUUUUGUCCACUUAGAAAAAUUUCAUACAAACUCAGCUAAAUUCUCUAGUAAUCUAUAAACAUAUUAAACUGUUGCAGGUAUCUGCAAGGCACAUCAAUGGACGGGCCCAUUCCUUCUAUUAUAUCCCAGUUGAAAAACUUAACCGAGUUGUGAGCAUGUGUUCCACUAUCUAAUAGUUGCUGUAUUCAGUUCAUGAUGUUAUUCAAGAUUAAAAUUCAAUUCAUAGAAAUGUAAUUAUUUAAUUUGUUUUGUUGUAUCUUAAUCAUCAGGUUAAUAUCUGAUUUGAGUGGACCGAUUACAUCUUUCCCCAAUUUGAAGGAUAUGAACAAAUUAAAAACAUUGUGAGUUGAAGAUAGAUAUAUUUCAUGAAUCAUGACAAGCUGCAGUCCUAAGUUAUCCACAUUAUGUUCCAUUAACUUAUCAAGAUGUUUUACCUCAUUUGUGUUAUGCAGGGUGAUGAGAAAUUGCUCCAUUACAGGUGAAAUCCCAGAAGACAUUGGAAAUAUUGAAAGUUUAAAACUUUUGUAAGUUUUUUUGAAUGGACAUUCUUAGAGAUGUUCUUAAUUUUCUUCAUUGGUAUAUAUGUAUGUAUGUAAGAAGAAGAAAAAUAUAAUCAGGAUAUAAUUCUCCUAUGGCAUACAAUCAGUACAUUACAUGGUUGUAUGGAAACAACUUUUCUGAUUCAUGUUGAACUUUUUUCUUGCAGAGACCUGAGCUUCAACAGACUGAGUGGUACAAUUCCAAAGAGCUUUAAGCAAGAAAAGAAGGUGAAAACAAAACUCGAUUUCAUGUAAGUUAAAUACUUGUAAUAAAGUACAAGUCUAAAUAUCCAGAAAUCUACAUUUUAUUGGCUCCUUAACCAGUCAUUUUUAUCCAUUAAUAACUUGUUUAAUUAUAACUGAGAUAUGGUGCUAUCUAUGUACACAGGUUUCUCACCAACAACUCACUGACUGGAGAAGUGCCCAGCUGGAUAAGAUCGGACACUGAAAACAAAAUGUUAGUAUUUCUCAGUCUCCAGUUGUUCUGAUUUGGCUAUGAUAUCAUUCAUGUAUUGUACAAUGUUACAUACACAUGUGGUCUCUUUUUAUCAGUGGUUCUUUGAAACCAAAUUAAUAUUUGAGUCUCUCGUUCAAUCAAGAAAUAUAACACUAACUCCAUUUCAAUCUCGGUUGCAGUGAUUUAUCUUACAACAAUUUUACAGGGCCACGGCUUGAUUCUUGCAAACACCAAGUGUAAGCUUUCUUCCUUCCAUUAUUUGUACAUUUGGUUCUGUUUUUCCCUCAUCUUCUUGAAACAUUUUUUCACAACUCCACAGGAACUUGGUUUCCAGCUAUGCAUCUUCAGCAAGAAACAUGUAAGUUCUUCCAACCUUGUUUUACAUGUGCAUUCAGCAUUAGAAUUAUAAACAGGAGACUGAAUCAUAGUUCAACUUUCUAGGACCCCUUGGUGCUUACAGAAGGAUCUCCCUUGCUCUAGAAAAGCCAAAUGUAAGCUUUUGUAACCUAUUGUACUCUGUUAGUAUGAAGUGGCAAAUAAGUUGAAUCUCUGCCUUGAUUCCAGUUACAUUUAAUUGCAGACUAUUCCUUGUAUAUCAAUUGUGGAGGAGAGGAAACAACUUUUAAAGGGAAGACAUAUGAAAAAGACAAUAAUGUUGAGGGUGCAUCACAGUUCUUUACUGAUAGUCUAGACAAAUGGGCUUAUAGCAGUACAGGGGUUUUCAUAGGCAACCGGCAUGGUAGUCACCUAGCUAAAAACGAAUCUGCUUUGAACUCAAAGGAUGCAGAGAUCUACCAAACUGCUCGUCUUGCUCCCAUCUCACUCAAGUAUUAUGGGCUUUGCUUGCAAAAGGGCAAUUAUAAAGUGCGACUCUACUUUGCUGAAAUCAUGUUUUUUACUAACCAGACAUUUGGUAGCCCUGGGAAGCGCUUGUUCGAUGUUUCAAUUCAAGUGAGUGAAAAUAUCAAUUUCAUUAUCUCUAUUCCAAAUAUGUAAAGAACUGACUGUACUUUUCUACAGGGGAAUGUAGUUUUGAAGGAUUUUAAUAUCAUGGAAGAAGCUAAAGGUGCUGGUAAGGGCAUUUAUAAGGAUUUUGAUGCCUCUGUUGAUGGUAGCACUCUGGAGAUCCACUUAUACUGGACAGGCAAAGGGACUAAUUCCAUUCCGGAUGAAGGUGUAUAUGGGCCUCUUAUAUCUGCUAUUGCAGUGACACCAAGUGAGCUUAUCUCAUAUUCCAGGUUUUACUACUUUUCUCGCCACUAGCUUGUCAUGGUGUUAUAUAUCUUACUGUUCUUGUAGAAUUCAAUCCCAACCCGGGGCUGUCUGUUGGAGGUAUCAUCGGCAUUGUGAUACCUUCAUGUGUGGUCCUCAUAUUGAUUUUGGUACUCUUACGAAUGAAAGGCUACUUAGGAGGAAAAGACCUUGAAGAUAGAGGUGAGAUUAAUCAUGCAGGAAAUUUGUGACUGUAAUGCCUUAUCUCUUUGAAAUUGUGACAAUACUUUGUGUGCUUGUUUUUCACCAAUUUUAUUUCACUUGUUACAGAACUACGUGAGCUAGGGAUGCAAACUGGUUAUUUUAGUUUACGACAGAUCAAAGCUGCUACCAAUAACUUUGACUCUGCAAAUAAGAUUGGUGAAGGUGGAUUUGGGCCAGUUUACAAGGUAGUUACAGAUUUGGAUUUUCCUUUAACAACUGUAUACUAAAGCAGUGAUUAAGAGGGAAAUGCAAUGCUUUUCUGCAGCUAUCUCACAUCCUUGCAUUAUCUGAAUUCAUGAUCCAAAAUUUUGUCCUGCUUGAUCUUAGGGUGUACUGUCAGAUGGUUCAGUAAGUGCUGUUAAGCAGCUCUCUUCUAAAUCGAAGCAAGGGAACCGAGAAUUUGUAAACGAAAUAGGCAUGAUAUCUGCCUUACAACACCCAAAUCUUGUGAAGCUUUAUGGCUGUUGUAUCGAAGGAAACCAGUUGUUGCUCAUAUACGAAUAUUUGGAAAACAAUAGUCUUGCACGUGCACUUUUUGGUAAAUGCUUCACUACGAUUUUGUAUUCCAUUUUAUUAUAUUUCAACAAUGAAUAUUAUGACUUAAGCCUCUACCUCGACCACUUGUAGGUUCUGAUGAACAGCGGCUAAAUUUGGACUGGCCAACUAGGAAGAAGAUAUGCUUGGGGAUAGCAAGGGGAUUGGCAUAUCUUCAUGAAGAGUCAAGAUUGAAAAUUGUUCAUAGAGAUAUAAAGGCAACAAAUGUGCUGCUUGAUAAGAAUCUAAAUGCUAAGAUAUCCGACUUUGGCUUGGCUAAGCUGGAUGAAGACGAGAACACCCAUAUCAGCACACGGAUAGCUGGAACAAUGUGAGUGUUUUCGCUCAUUUCCUCCUGUUAUUAGCUUCCCUAUAUCAAAUUUGUAUAUGAUAUAAGAUUAUAACUUUGGUGCUGAAAAUGUGGAGAUUAAUUUCUUCUAUGCAUUUGAAUUCAUGUCAGAUAAAUAAUAAAUUGAUACAAUGAGAUGGAAAACUUAAUCAAACACUGAAAUAUGGAAUUUCUAAGUAGCAGUUCUUUUUUCCAUUUUAGGUUUAAAAAGCUCAUUCUCUUCAUUGUUUAUUCUGUAAAGUCGAUUGUUGAAACAGCUCUAGAAAGGUCCAACUAUUAUUGAGAAUUUGUUACUACAAAAUCUGAAGCUACAAAAUCUGAAGCAUCAGUGGCUUCGAGGCAUAAGUUGUCAAUCCUCUUUCUCUGGUUUUGGAGAAGCAGAAUUUAGUAAGACUGUCGAGUUUCUGAAGUGGGUUCAUGCAUAUACAGAAAAUUUUGCCUCUCAAAUAUGGUUGAUUAGUUCUUCUUGUCCUCUUUCCAACAAUAAUUUUGUGCAUAUAUUGAUUAUAUGUAUAGCACAAGACUCACCAUUGAGCUGCUGAUUUUUCUUCAGAGGAUACAUGGCUCCUGAAUAUGCAACGAGGGGUUACUUGACCGACAAAGCUGAUGUUUACAGCUUUGGAAUUGUUGCUUUAGAGAUUGUCAGCGGGAAAAGCAACACCAAUUACAGGCCAAAGGAAGAGUUUGUUUAUCUUCUUGAUUGGGUAAACAAUGGAUUCUUGCUCAUCCUUUUUGCUAUAUUUUUUCUGACCAUAUGUGCUUAUAAUGAAGAACGUGUUUCGGGUUCUACAUUGGACUGCAGGCUUAUGUCCUGCACGAGCAGGGAAAUCUUCUGGAGCUGGUGGAUCCAAGUCUUGGUUCAAACUACUCAGAGGAGGAGGUGAUGAGGAUGCUGAACUUGGCCCUCUUAUGCACCAACCAAUCUCCCACUCUCAGGCCACCCAUGUCCUCUGUAGUGAGUAUGCUUGACGGCAAAAUUGCAGUCCAAGCACCAACAAUCAAGCAUGAUUCUAUGAACCCGGAUAUGAGAUUCAAAGCCUUUGAGAAGCUCUCACUGGACAGCCAGUCUCAUGUCUCAGCAUUCUCUGUAGACAGUCAGGUCCAAGGCAGCAUAUCACUUGAUGGACCAUGGAUUGAUUCCUCAAUUUCCCUCCAUAGCAGAGAAGAAACAAGGGACUUUUCUUCAUCAAGCAAGCUUCUUACAGGACACCAAGAUCUUUACAGUAUACAUUUGGACUGAUCAAUGAAAAUAUGGUAUAUUAAUAAUACUUCCAAGUUGUUCUGCAAGAAUGUUUUCUGCAAACUAUUUCGAAUUGAUUCUUGAAGUAGUAGAAGCAGAAAUAAGUAUGUUUUGUUGUAUAAUUACAAUAUUUGUAUAAAAUUAUGUGAAUAAGUGCUCCGGUUGAGGCUUGAUGAAGAAAAAUAUUUAUAUUUCUUUAUUUUUCCAACUUACUCCAUGACGGUAACUCAUCAUUCCACAGAGAGAAAUCAGUAUAUAUUUAUUUUAUUUUGUUCAACUUUAUUUCCAUUUUAUCAUCAUUUGUUAUGUAUCCAAAAAAGUUGAUAAACAGAAGGGAAUAAAAGGUUUUACUCUAUUGGGCUUGAGCCCACUUGAAUUAUCAGACCAUACCAAAUCCAAAGCCCAUUUUCUAGGCUUCAGGCCCAACUGAAUUAACUACGACCCCACCAAUUUGUCUUGGUAUGAUGUGGAAUGAGCAUCUCUACUCUAUUGGGGUUUGGGCCCACUUGAAUUGUCACAUUGUUGAAGCUAACUUUGACUCAGUCCAAUGCCAACUUGUUGAGUUGUUCGCCUACCUGAAUUGAGCGGGAGGCCCACCAAUUUUUAUUGAUUUGAGAUUCGAAGAAAUGAUGGUGACAACUAACAUGUGAGAAGAUGAUGUUUUUGUGGUAGAAAAUCAGAAAACCCCUUAGGGUUCUUAGACAAUCAAAGACAUUCAAAGGCACUUGGAAGUUUUUGGUCAGUAAAAGAACUAUAGCGUCAUAUAUCAAAAUUCCUUGAAUGGUUUUGUUAGGUAACAACAGUUUGAUUUAUGUCAUUGCUUUCAAUUCAUUAAUUAACACGAGUUUUGACUCUUGAAAGUGGGUCAAUGAGGGCAAGGGAUGAAAUGUUUGAAGAAUUGCAGUAGUUAAGGGUCCUUUUCUCAUAUAGGCAAGGGAUAAGGUCCCACAAACACAACCUCAGUGAAUAUAUAUAUAUAUGAUUCAUUGCAUAAAAGUCCUUUCCUGUGGGUCAGCUAGGUUGGGUGGUUAGGGUUAAUAGUUGGGCCAGAUGGGUGGGUUAUGGUAUUUGGUUGACUGGUUCCUUGGAUGACAUUGCAUUGUGUAACCCACUGAUGUUGGAAUGUCAAAGGUAGGAAAAAGAAUUAAUCAGUGAUAUGGAUAGUUCUUGACCUUAUGAUUAUAAAAUAAUCUAUAAUGUAGAUUAUUAAAUUUUCAAAAUACAAAAUUUAGAUUAAAUAGGCCUCUAAGACAAGGCAUUGCAAUGCAUGUGAAAUGAUUCAUGUUUUGGAAUAAAAAUAUAUACAUUUUGUAGGCAAUCCAGGGUUCAAAGCAAGUCUUUACUCACUAGCUUUCAGUCCCCAACUUUUGCUGCUCAGUCUUGCAGCAAAGUCCAUGCCUUACUCACAUAGUGUGAUUAGUUCAAAGGAGAUGUCAUAUACAAGUCAAUCUAAUAUGGACUAAAUUAUUGGUUUUUUUUGUAGAGGACUAGUUUUUCGCUUCAUUAGAUGUUACAUAUUUUUGUCGGAAACAAUAUGGUUAAGCUAAAUGGAUAAAAUUCAUGCAGUUGUUCAAUGCAAAAUGUCUAUCAAGUCUUCUGUCCUGGUGAUUGGCCCCUCAUCCAAUAGAAUCCGAUCAUCCCUUUUCCUUGAUUUUGUUGUCCAUCAAACGCAAAAAUUAGACGUUGUCUAGUUUCUGAGGCAAGUUCAUGGAUAUACUGAAAAUUUUAACUCGCAGACAUUGUUGAUUAGCUCUUCUUGUAUCUCUUUGUAAUGUUAAUUUUGUGCACACAUUGCUUGUUAGUAUAUCACAAGACUCAACAUUCAGCUGCUGAUUUUUCUUCAGAGGAUACAUGGCUCCUGAAUACUCGAAGAGGGGUUGCUUAACUGAGGAACAGCAACACCAGUUGCUGGCCAAAGCAGGAGUUUGAUUGUCUUUUCCAUUGGGAUAUCUUUUGGUUUCCUGCACGUCCUUUCUGGACAGUCUUUUCCUCUACAUCUUUAAGUUUCAUUAUCAAUGUCCUCUGUAAUUAGCAUGCUCAAAGGCAAAUCUGCGGUCCAAGCAACGAGCAUCAAGCAUGAUACAAUCAACCCAGGCAUGAGAUUCAAAGCCUUUGAGAAGCUCUCAAUGGACAGCAAGCUUCAUGUCUCAUCAGGUCCAAGGCAGCAUAUCAGUUGAUGGGCCAAGGAUGGAUUCCUCGGUUUCCUUCAAUAGCAGAGAAGACUCGAGGAUUCUUGAUCAAGCAAGCUUCUUACUAGGUCUGGAACAUGGAAGGGAGUUCUUGUCGCUAUUGCCCAGUCCAUUGCUGCUGCAAAUUGCGAGCAUCGAGCAAACCGUGUAGGUAAUCCUCCUGCAACUGAUGAUUAUCACUGUUUUUUUACUGAAUCCGUUGUUGAAAGUGUCCUUAUUCUGGUCCUGCCUUCCUAUGAAAUUUCCUCUUUAAUUUGAAUAAUUUUACCAACCCUAUAUGAGACGGAUGGUGGGAGGUUGGAUGCAUUUGAUGCUUUUCCAAAAUAGAAUGAAUUUUUUCUAAAUUCCAGGUAGAAUAAUAAGUUCUCUAAGGCCAAACAUCACAUGUCAUUGAGUAUGCUAGUUAAACUAAUUCAUUCAGCAAUUAGGUCCAUUACAGAGGGCACUUUGACAGAUUGCGACGGAUUAUUCCAUGCCUUGGCUUCAUUCAAACAUCCGUUGUCAUUAUUAAUGGAUUAUAUCUAUAUUUAAUGUGACGCGUCAUAUAAAUGAGAUGGCCCCCACAGUUGUUAUUUUCCACAUUGUGACAUGACGUGAGUCCUUCCCCUUGGUCCUUUUGGAAUUUGGAUGCUCCUUGUAUUCAGUGGCAAAUUAGUACGGUUGACUAGUCCACGGCCUUUGUUCAUCAUAUCUGGUUUGUUUCCAAAGAUUGAACGACAAAAUUAUCCUUUUUGUUUUAUUUAUAGCUAAAUAUUAAAAAAAGAAAAAAAAGAAAUCAUUAAUAGUUACACAAUAUAAUUAAAAAAAAUUAAAGAAAUUAAAAAGUUAACAUCUUUUAUAUCUUUGGGCAUGAUUAUUUUGUUAAAAUAAAAAAAUAUUUAAAUUUGUAUAUAGUUUCAGACUAUAAACUGUUUUUACAUAAAUUUGUGCAUAACUUCAAAUUAUGAAUUAUUCAUUUUAUAAUUUCCGACUAUGUAAUAUUAUUUUAUAUAACUUUCAGUUAUACCAUAUAAUUAAAAAUAAAUAAUUAAGAAUCAUAUACAUAACUUCUGAUCAUAUAUUUGUAAUUUUGUAAUUUUGUAAUUUUCCUCAUAACUUUUGGUUAUAAGGAUUGCACAUAUUUUUCAUAACUUCUAGUUAUAAAUUUAUCUUAUAGUUUAUAAUUUAUCCCAUAACUUUUAGUUAUAGGGAUUGUACGUAUUUUUGUAUUCAUAUAAAUUAGUGAAAAUAGAGAGUCAAAGGGUAAUAAAGUAUAAAAUAAUGAUAUAAGUUUAUCACAUACUUUUUUGUGAAAAAGAAGAAAGAAUAGUCUUUGUAUUUUUCUGAAGAGAAGAAACUCUUUCUAUUUCUUUUGAAGAAACUAUUCAUGUUGAUAACGUGUUAUAAAAAAAUAAAAAAAUAAAAACAAGAAAGAGAGAAUAGAAUACAUGAAAAAACUCUCUUGAAUUUCAUUAGGAUCUCUCAAUUUUAUAGGGAGUUACAAAAUAUAUUUAUGGAUAAUCAUCCAUAAAUUACCAUACUGGUAUAGAAUCUCAUAUUUUAUAACAAAAUGUUAAUUGUCAAUAUUUUAAGUUUUUAAAGUUAUCAUCAUAAAUUUCUAACUAAAAGUCUAGAUUAUUAUAAAAUAAGUAUAUAAAUUUUUAUAAAAAAUUAAAGAAAAAUCUUAUAUUAUUAUAAUAUAUUACUAUCUAUUAUCUAUUAAUAUAAUAUUAUAGGAUAAUAUAUUAUUAUAUUUUUUAUACAUUUAUUUAUAAAUAUUAUUUAUUAAUGGAUAUCAAAUUUUUAACUAAUUAAUUUAUCAAUCACAUAAAUAACAAAUCUUUAUGGAUGAUUAAUUUAGAAAUGGAGAUCAAAAUAUUUUUUUUUAUUUUACAUAUCUAGAAAUAUCGGAAUAAUUUCGAUUUAUAUGAUUUAAGAAAAAUAUAUCACAUAUAAUAUAAAUAUAAAAAUUAAGUUAAUCACUUAAUUAUAAAAAUAUAAAUUAUUUAAAGAAAUAUAAAUUAUUUAAUAUUUACUAAGUAUUCAUUCAAUAAAAAAUAAUGGUGAUAAUAAAAGUGGGAGUCCAAUUAGAAUAUUUAAGUAGAGAAAUUUUCAAAUAUCCACACAUUUUAGUAUUAGAGAAUUCAUUAUAAUUGAUUUUCUUUCUAUUUAAUAAUAGAUUUUCUUUCUAUUUUUAAAUUCUUCUAAUUCAUGGUAAUUUUCAAUUUUUGUGUUUUAGGCUAAUUUUAGAAUUGUUUCCUAUUUUUGUGUUUUGGGUAAACUGCUUCCUAUUUUUGUGUUUUACGUUUGUGUAUAUAUAUUCAUUCUUAAUCAAUGAAAAAGUCAAGUAAUUGUUUCUCAAUAAUCAUCUAUCUACUUCAAUAUGAUAUCUAUCCCAGGCCUAAUCUUCUUGGACAUAUUUUUUUUCUUUUUUUUUUUCCUUUUCCUCAAUGACUUUUGGUGCAUCAUUCUCUUCCACUAACGAUCCUAUCACCAUCCAAAACUCCCAAGAUUCUCAACAUCCCCUCCUUACAAUCAAUCUCUCCAAUAUCACCAAAUUGUCAUCCACCAAUUAUCUCACAUGAAGCCUUCAAAUUCAAUAUCUUCUUGAAGGUUAUAAUUUUCAUCACUUCAUUGAUGGCGCUCAUACUCCACCACCACCCACCGUCACCGUCACUGGUGUUGCAUCCCCAAAUCUGGCAUACACAACCUGGAAGCAUCAUGAUCGUCUCAUCUUUAACGCUCUCCUUGGUGUUAUCUCUAUUUCGCUACAACUACUUAUUGCCCGCACCACCACUUCCCUUGAUGCAUGACAACCUUAACCAAUACCUAUGUCAAACCAUCUCGUGGUCAUAUUAAACAAUUGAAGGAACAAUUACAGCAGUGUACCAAGAGCUCUCUAACUUAUUGGACUUACGCCUUUGUCACUACUGUAUAUCCCAUCAAUCAUAUGCCCACACCCACACUACAUCUCUCAUCUCCUUUUGACAAACUCUUUGAGUCUCCACCCAAUUACACUAAACUUCGGGUGUUCGGUUGCUUAUAUUAUCUAUGGUUUCGUCCUUAUUCUCAACAUAAACUUGACUCUUAUUCCACUCCUUGUGUUUUUCUUGGUUAUUCUUCAACACAAAGUGCCUAUAUUGUCUAUCUUGGCCGUCAUCCAAUUUUCUCAGCAGAUCAACUUGCCGACGCUCUUACUAAACCGCUUCCAAGAAGUCACUUCCAAGAAUUACAGGAUCAAGAUUGGACUCUCCUCCGGAGCUCUUAAUAUUUUAUAUUUAUAAAAGUUACUAUAAUAAAUUUUAAUUAAAAGAAUUUAUUUGAAAUAUUGUUUAAUAUUGGAAAAAAGUAGCUUUAGUUAUUUUAUAAAAUACAUGAAAAUUAAAAUAUACAAAAUUUUAAUUAAUUAUAAUUAUAUUUAAAUUUUUAUUUUUGUAUUAUAAAUUAAAAAUGAAAAAAAUCAUUUUUUUUUAAUACCUAUUUUUAAACCAAACAUUGCAAUAAUGUUCCAAAUAAAGCAUUAAUUUUCAUUUUCGCAAAAAAAUAUAGGACUAUUUGAUAAAUUUAAAACAAAAAUUGUUUUUGAGAAUAAUUUUUAGAAACUAUUUUUUUUUAUAUUUUAUAGAAUAGGAAAUGUAAAAUAUUUUUAAUAUGUUUUAUGUAUUUUAAAAAUAAUUUUUAUAUCAAAUUUUUAUUUUUUAUCUUUCUGUCUAUAAUUAUUAUUUAAAAUAACCCUUAUAAAAUAAGUAAAAAUAAUUAAAAAAAUAUUUUUAGAAAAUAAUUUUCAGCUAUUAAACGUGUUUUUUUUUAAUUUUUAAUUUUAAAGAAUAAAAAAUUAUUUUUAACAAUAAUUAUCAAAUAGAUUUUUAGUAUUUCGUUAGCUUUUAAAUAUAUAAUUAAAAAAACCUAUAAAAGAAAAGAAAAAGUUUUAAAAAUAAAACAUUAGUGAAGUAUAUACAAAUUUUCAAAGCUCCCGUUGGAAGGAUGGUUCACGGGUUGACUUUUCUAUGCUAUCAUUAAUUGCAUCAAAGCUUUUUCCUUUACUUUUUGUUGUUUUUCCAUGUUGAAUUUUCAUAAGAUUUGUCAAAAGCCGACCAUUAAGUUUCCAAAAUCACAUGUUGUUUUGCUUUUCUUUUCCACAUUAUAAAAUAUAAAUUCAACACUAACUUUUAAAAGACACUAACACAACCGUUUUUAUAGAAGAUUUAAUUAAGCUUCUUUGGGAAAAAGGGAUUAAUUAAGCCUAAUACUAUUUAAUUCAUAUCCACGUGUAAUAUAAUAUUUUAAUUGUUAAAAUUUUUAGUGUUCUUACAAAUAUAAUUAAAAUUUUGGUAACUAAAUACUUUUAAAUUGAAAUCAUUUUAAUGCAUAAAAGUGUUUGGUUGAAAGGAAAAAGUUUAUUUGCUUUUGCAUGUUGAUUUUCUUUGGAUUUUCUUUGGGGUUUUGGAUAAGGAUGAAAAGCAUUGUAGAUGUAGAAUUUCGAAUAAAAAAGUACAAUAAUUAGAUGGAAAGGAGAGAGAUUCAAGCCCUGCAUAUGUUGAAAACUUCACAAAAAAAAACCCCACAUUUCCUUUGACUUGUCACCUUGUCAAUUGAUUUGUCAUAUAGCUUGUACCCACUUGUAGGAGUAUUAAAAUCCAAGACUAUUACAAAUUAAUAUUUUUUUUCUUUUUUAUUUAGAAAAGAUGAAGAAGAAGGAAAAUAAAAAUAAAAUUAUAUUAUUGGUAACAAAGUAUCUAAACCAUUAAAAACAUUGUCUUUGAUAAAAAAGCAUAUGAAAAUAUUAAUUAUUUUUAAAUAAUUAUUUGAAAUUAUUAUUUUAUAAAUUUUAACUCUUAUUUUAUGAUUUUUUUUUUAUUUUGUAUCAUAAACGUAUUUUUCCCAAAUAAAAACUUAUGGAUAAAUCCUGAUAAUCAACCAUACCAAUCUUCUGUCUUUUGUUGAAUUUGAACCAUCGAGGUUGGCAGCAGUUCCAGCUCUGUGCAUGGAAUUAAGCUGCCAUCUGAGUCUUCAAUUAAUACUGGUAAAUGAACUGCAUCUUUGCAUAAGAAUCUACAGAUGUUCAAACAUAAAUAGCUUCCAAUCUCAGUUUUUCGUAUAACAAACAUCAUUUGCAUAAGAAUUCUAGCAAGAAGAGCUAUAAAAUAAAGUGAGAGAAGAAGAAAGCAAGAAAGAGAUAAUAGAAUGCAUGCAAAAACUCUCUUGAAUUUCAUUAGGGGCCUCUCCCUUUUAUAGGGAGUUACAAAAUAUAUUUAUGGAUGAUCUUCUACAAGUUACCAUAGUGGUACAGAAUAUCAUAUUUUAUAACACUCCCCCUUGAAUGAUCAUAAGAAUACGUCCCAUUAAAACCUUACUAAGAAAAACCCUAGUGAAGGAAAAAGAGUAUAAUAUUCUUUUGGAUUGCUACAACUACCUCGUUAAAAACCUUGUCAGUAAAACCCAAUGGGACAAAACCUGGAUGAAGGAAAAAAUAGUGUAGUGUAAUGACAUUCUUAUCAAUUAGUUCCCCCUCAUGUAGACAUGAUUAUAUUUUCUCUAGUUAUGCAACAUAGAGAUCUUUGUAUUAGCCUAUUCCAACGAGUUUCUUGAGUAUUGCAGUUGAUAAUACAUUUGUGAAUAGAUCUACUAAAUUGCCAAUUGAUCUUAUUCGUCGAAUAGUAAUUUCAUCACUCUUCUAGAGUUAAUGAAAGUAAAAAACUUGGGCAAUAUAUGCCUAAUUCUAUCACCCUCAAUGUAUCAUUCUUUAAUCUGUGCAAUGCAUGCAACAUUAUCUUCAAAUAAUAUUGUCGGGUCACCUUUGAUAGAAGAAAGUCCACAUGAUUCUCGAAUAUACUCGAUCAUAGAUCUUAGCUAUAUACAUUCAUGACUUGCUUCAUAAAUUACUAGUAUUUAUGAAGGAUUUGAUGAUGUGGCCACCAUUAUUUGUUUGACAGAUCUCCAUGAAACAGUAGUACCAUUGUAAUUAAACACGUACCCUGUUUGUGACCUACCUUUAUGUGAAUCUAAAAGAUAUCCUGUAUUUGCAUAUCUAAGCAAUUGUUGUUUUGAUUCCCUUAAGUAAAAUAAACUCAUAUUAGUAGUUCCGCGAAUAUAACACAAUAUAUGUUUGAUACCAUUCCAAUGUCUUCGAGUUUGAAUGGAACCGUAUUUAGCUAAUAAAUUAACAGAAAAAGAAAUGUCUGAAUGUGUACAAUUGGCAAGAUACACAAGUGCACCAAUAGGACUAAGAUAUGGUACUUUAAGACCAAGUAAUUCUUCAUCUUUUUUGUAAGGACAAAAUAGGUCAUUUUUCACAUCAAGUGAUCUAACAACCAUUAGAAAACUUAAACGAUGCGCUUUAUCCAUAUAAAAAUGCUUCAAAACUUUCUUAAUGUAUAUUGAUUGAUGUACUAAAACUCCAUUAGGAAAAUACUCAAUCUACAAACCGAGAUAAAAUUUUGUUUUUUCAAGAUAUUUCAUUUCAAAUUCCCUUUUUCAAGUAAUUUGUUGUUCUUGUGAGCUCUUCAAGAGUUCCAACCAGAUUUAAGUCAUCAACAUAUUGCAAUAAUUGCAAAUCCGGUUUCUGAUUUCUUAAUGAAGAUGCAUGAGCAUAUAGGGUUAUUCAUAUACCAUUUUUUUUAGCAAGUAUUCAUUAAGGCGAUUGUACCACAUGUGUCUAGAUUGUUUUAUUCCAUACAAUGAUUAUUUUAACUUGAUUGAGUACAUGUUACGAGGCUUUGUACAAUUUGCUUCAUGCAAUUUAAUUCCUUCAAGGAUUUUCAUGUAUAUAUCAUUAUCCAUGGAUCCGUAUAAAUAUGUUAUAAUAACAUCCAUGAGACGCAUAUCUAGUCCUUCUAGGACUACCAAACUAAUUAAGAAACAAAAUGUGAUUGUAUCCAUGAUGGGAGAGAAUGUUUCCUCGUAGUCAAUAUCAGGUCUUUGCAAGAAAUCUUGUGCUACUAAUCGCACUUUAUAUCUUAUGAUCUCAUUAUUCUCAUUACGUUUUCGUAGAAAUACCCAUUUGUACCCAACAAGCUUUACAUCUUUAGGUGUUUGGACUACAGGUCCAAAAACUUCUCAUUUUGUUAAUAAGUUUAACUUUGCUUACAUAGCUUCUUUCCAUUUUGACCAAUCAUUUCUAUGUCAGCAUUCUUCCACAUUUCGUGGUUCGAGAUCUUCAUCAUUUCUUAUGAUAUUGGAGGUCACUUGGAAAGCGAAAAUAUUGUUAAUAACAAUAUUAUUUCGAUUCCAUUUUUUUUCUGUGUACAUAACUUACUCAGAUCUCACAAUUUUUAUGUACAUGUGCCUCUUCGAGGGCUUCUUAUUCAAUAUGUGCCUCUUCAAGGGCUUUCUGCAUUAUUUGUGCCUCUUUUGGGGUUAUAGAUUUAUCAAUUUUAAACUGAUCAGUCAUUUUGAUGGUCUCUUUUAGAGUGUCAAGUUUUUCUUAGGUUCUCAUCUUUCGAGGAGUUACAUCAUUUGAGCCGACAAGUCUAUCACGCUUCAGGCGUAUUUUAGAUUCAUUUGUUAACUAUCCUACAGGGACACCAAUCUGUGUUGGAGUAUUUGCAACCAAGAUAUAUGACUUUGUCACUUUCUUUGUAUCAAUGAAUGCAUCUUGUAAUUGAUUUGCAAGAUUUUACAAAUAAAUAAUCUUUUAAACUUCCAGUUCAUAUUGACUGGUACGAGGAUCAAGAUAAGUCAAAGUCAAUGCAUUCCAAGUAAUUUCACUCCGUUCUUCUGGAACUGGCUCUUCUCCCCCUAACGACGAGAAAAUUGUCUCAUUAAAAUGAUAAUAUGCACAACAUGUCAUUCUACCUUUUAAGUGUAUAGGUAGACUAGUCACUAAAUAAAAACUUCUAAUUUUAUAAUAUACAUCCAUACGACCUUUUACCUCAAGGGACCAAGUUGGUUUUACAAGAUUAUUCUAGAUCUAGCAUCGCAUAAAGUGUCAUUCACAUGGAAUCAAAUACUAUUAGUGACAUAGUAUAAGUUUUGGAGCCUUUAAUCAGAUUUCUAUCACCUGAUAUAUUAUUAUUUGUCAUCAAUGUUGUGCAAUUAAUGAGACAAGUGUUUCAUCAAAGUAACAAGUCAUAAAACAUUAUCAUAAAUACCUCGUCUUUAUAGAGUUAAAGAAAUAUUAUCAUAGAGAAAGAGUUAAAAUCAAUGGAAAAAUAUUAGUCAUUGAUGAUGAUUUAAUAAGUUGUAUAAAAAACAUGAGAGCAUAUAUAACACAAUAAAAUAUUCAAAUUUGUACAUAGCUUCAAGCUAUGAACCAUUUAUGUAUAACUUCUAGUUACAUAGUAUAAUUAAAAAAAAAUUAAAUAAAUUAAAAGUUAAUAUCUUUCAUAGUUUUAGGCCAUAAUUAUUUUGUCAGCACAAAAAAAUAUUUAAAUUUGUACAUAACUUCAGGUUAUGAACUAUUUUUGCAUAAAUUUGUACAUAACUUCAAAUUAUGAACUAUUCAUUUUAUAACUUCCGACUAUAUAAUAUUAUUUGAUAUAACUUCUAGUUAUACCGUAUAAUUAAAAAUAAAUAAUUAAGGAUCAUAGUCAUAUAUUUGUAAUUUUGUAAUUUCCCCCAUAACUUUUGGUUAUAAGGAUUGCACAUAUUUUUCAUAACUUCUGGUUAUGAAUUUACCCUAUAAUUUAUAAUUUAUCUCAUAACUUCUAGUUAUAGGGAUUGUACGUAUUUUUGUAUUCAAAUAAAAUAAGUGAAAAUAGAUAGUCAAAGGGUAAUAAAAUAAAAAAUAAUAAUGUAAGUUUAUCACAUACUUUUUUUUUGUGAAAAAGAAGAGAGAAGAGUCUUUGUAUUUAUGAGAAAAAUCUUUUCUUUUGUAGAAAUUAUUCGUGCUAAUAACGUGUUAUAAAAAGAAAAUAAGAAAACAAGAAAAAGUUAAUAGAAUGCAUGAAAAAAUCCUCUUGAAUUUCAUUAGGGAUCUCUUCAUUUUAUAAGGAGUUACAAAAUGUAUUUAUGGAUAAUCAUCCAUAAGUUACCAUACUGGUACAGAAUCUCAUAUUUUAUAACAAAAUGUUAAUUGUCAAUAUUUUAAGUUUUUAAAGUUACCAUCAUAAAUUUUUAACUAAAAGUCUAGAUUAUUAUAAAAUAAGUAUAUAAUUUUUUAUAAAAAAUUAAAGAAAAAUCUUAUAUUAUUAUAAUAUAUUACUAUCUAUUAUCUAUUAAUAUAAUAUUAUAGGAUAAUAUAUUAUUAUAUUAUUAUAUAUUCAUUUAUAAAUAUUAUUUAUUAAUGGAUAUCAAAUUUUUAACUAAAUUAUUUAUCAAUCACAUAAAUAACAAAUCUUUAUGGAUGAUUAAUUUAGAAAUGGAGAUCAUAAUAUUUUUUUAUUUUACAUAUCUAGAAAUAUCAGAAUAAUUUGGAUUUAUAUGAUUUAAGAAAAAUAUAUCACAUAUAAUAUAAAUAUAAAAAUUAAGUUAAUCACUUAAUUAUAAAAAUAUAAAUUAUUUAAAGAAAUAUAAAAGAUAAUUUUAUAUUAUUAUAAUAUAUUAUGUAUCAAUAUAAUUGUGAAGCCGUAUUGUUAAGAUCAAUCACCUUUUAUUUGAAAAUUUGAUUUUUUUUUUUUUUAAUUUGUUUUCCCCUUUCCUUCUGCAAAAAUUCUUCAGCCCCUCCUUUCUCUGUAGAACUUUUUCUUUUUUUCGUUUGCCUCUUAGUCACCCACCCUCUCGAAAUAUAUCUGCAGCAACGUAUCCUACCCUCCCAGCCUUACCCUCUCCUUACUGUAAUAACCAUCUGUCAGGGCUCAGGAGAGAAUAUGUUGUCUCCAAUCCAAGUGGUCUCAAAAAAGAUGUGAAAAAGGCCCAAAAUGAGGUCAAUAAAAAUAUAGUUGAUUUAUCUAUUUAUAAGUAUUAUUUAUUAAUUAAUAUCAUAUUUUAAUUUUUUUUAUUUUAUAUAUUAUUUUAAUUAAUUUUAAAUUAUUUAAAGUAAAUAACUUACAAUUAAAUUAUUAUUUUUUAAUAAUAUAUAUAUAUAUAUAUAUAACUCUUAAAAUUAAUUUAAAUUACUUCAUUAAUAAAAAAAAAAUCAUUCAUAUUCUUUAAAAAUGUUAUCUCUUUCCAUUCAAAGAGUUUCAGCUAUAAGACUUAUAAAUUUUAUUUUUUAAAUAAUUAUUAAUAAUAAAUAAAUUUAAAAUUUAAAAUUCUUGUUAAAAAAGUAAUUUUAUUGAAAAUGAUUAAAAGAUAUGGUAGCAAUCAUUAUUAAUUAUUAAAAUUUAAUAACUCAAAUUAAUUUUUAAAUAUUAAAUUAUUAAUAUUUAAAAAUUUUAUCAAUAGAAUUACCAUAAUAAAUUUGAAUUUCGUAAUAGUAAUAAAUGAAAGACUAAAAAUAAAAAUAAGUAUAAAUAAGAAAUUCAGCUUUUUCAAACAUAAUGAAAAAAAAAGUUAUAUACUCUUAAAAAUAUCUUUUCAAACAUUAAAUUAUAUUUUUCAGAUUUCGUAGAAUUAUUAUAAUAAUUUUAAGUUAAAAAAAGUUAUUCAAAUUAAAUUUUAGGUUAUUAUGAAAAAUAAAAAUAAAUUAUAAAAAAUAAAAAAUAAUUUAUAUGUGAGUUUUAAUUUUUAUCUAACAUAAAAAACUAAAUAUUUUUAAAAAAAUAUUAAAUUAUUGAUAUUUUAUGAGGGGUUAUGGUAAAUAAGAAAAAUAUAAAAGAUACGGUUAUAAAAUUUAUAUAAAAAAAUAAAAACAGUCAACAUCAUUCACCCACAGAGCAUUAGUUUCAUAAAGUAACUAAAGCUACUUUAAAAUCUCAUUUUUGUUACGUGUCUGAGUUUCCAUGCCAUAAAUUUCAUGGGAAUUCAUCCUUAAAUUCAUUUGAAUUUAUAAAAUAAUAAUUUAAUGAAAAAGGAAAAGUAAUGCGCAGCCAUGAACGGACCUUCGUGUGGUUGAACAUUCAAAGCUUCUCCUCUUUAAAAACCUCCUUUAAACCCCUCUCUCCCACUCAUUCAAUUCGGUGUAAAGCGAACCAGCCAUUGCUACAGAGCGAAUCCAUGGAUUCUUCGUCUCUUCUCCUCUUGUUGUUGCUGGGUUUCUUUUGUUCUUCUGAGUUCACAUCCCAUGCUCAACUUAUUCCAAAAGAUGAAGGUAUCACCACUGUAAUCUCACUUGUUCUUUCCAUUUCUGGGGAAAAUGAAACUUGGGUUUUGUUGUUAAAGAAAUUUGGGGAGAAAGAGAAGUAAAUUUGGUUUCGGAACGUGGGUUUUUUCGAGGUAUCUGUGCUUUGUUUAAUACUUCACUGCUAUAAUUUUUUGGAAUCUUGUGGAUUUCUCAUGGUUUGCGAGAAUUUUGACAUCUCUGUUUGUCUCACAGUUGUUUAAAUUUUAUCAUGCUCUGGGAAUUCUUAUGGAAACAGAAAAGCAGGCAUAUCAAAUUAUGUUUUAUUUUCUUUUUCAAAUUUUCCUCUGCUUUCUCUGCUACCAAACGUUGGCUUAUAUCAUUCUGCUGGAAAAUUGUUCGUGCCUCUGAGCCAUAGCGAAUUUUUUAUCUGAAACGAUAGGCUAUAUUUGGUUACGGGUAAUAAGAAAUUUUAAAAUAUAUAAAAUUUUAAUUAAUUUAAUUAUAUAUAUAUUUUUUUCAUAUUUAUACACUUGAAAACAAAUGUGAGAAAAGAUUUGAUAUUAAUUACUUUGAAUAGCUUUUGGAUAGAGCCCAGAGUUAUCAAUCCAUCAUUGGACAAAGAAAAAUAUCUAUAUUUGUAUUUAUUACCAUGGUGGCAAAUUCCAUUUGAUUAAGGAAAAUACAUAUGUUUAUUUUAGUAUUUGGACUUUAUUUACAUUGGAUUAUUACCUAUAUUGUCAGGAAAUGGUAGAAAAAGAAGGAAAAGGAACAGUACCAUGUCCACUUGAAUUGUCAGACCAUAUUGAAGUCAUCUCUGAGUCAGUCCCAGGUCCACUUGCUGGACUUUGGGCCUACCUGAAUUAAUCUUUAGGCCCACCAAUUUGUCUUGAUUCCAUGGUUGUGUGGAAUAAGGAUAUCGGGUUGCGUGUGGAAAAUUGGAUGAGUUACGGAUUGUUGUUGAUUGGUUGUGUGAUAUCAACUGGUCUUCAAAAUCAAAGGCAGAAGAAGAACAUUGAUGUGGCUAGGUCUUGACCAUAUGAAAUGCAUAUUUUGGACUAAAAUACAUGUACCAAAAUAGGCCGUAUUUUUUCAAUUUUUUUAAAAAAUAUUUUUUUGUUCUUCGGGAAAAAAUGAAUAAGAAAAUGUGUUUUACAACUAGGAAAAAAAAAGGAAAAUAAAUUUAUGUUUUUAAAAAUUAAAAAUAACGUAUUUUUAGAAAAUAUCUUUUCGUAUUUUCAUUUGUUUUCUAAUGAUCAUUUUAAAAACUAAUUAUACAAAUAUAGAAAAUAAUUAAAAAUAAAGUGUUACAAAUAAAAAUUAGUUUUAAAAUAUAUUUAAAAAUAAAAAAAAUAUGUUAAAAACGUUUAAGUUCGUAAAGAGAUUUUUGUAUUACAAAAUAUCAUAAAUUUUUUUUGAAAAACUAUUUCUCAAAACUAUUUUUGAAAACACUUCCCAACCAAAGCUUAGUUUUCGAAAAUUAUCCUACGAUGAUUUGUUAAAACAAAAUUUUGCUUUUGAACUUAAAACAUUUUUAACCUAUUUUCUAUGUUUUUAAAAAUAAUUUUGAAAAAUAGUUUUUCUCUCAUAUUUUGUAAAACAAAAUUUUGUUUGAAAAUUUAAAAUAUUUUAAACCUAAUUUCCAUUUUUAAAAUAACUUUUAUAGUGCUUUGUUUUAACCACUCUCCAUAUUUAUAUAAUUUUUUUAAAAAAACAUCUCUCAGAAAACAAUUAAAAACAUCUUAAAGAUGUUUUUAGAAAAUACCAUAUUUUUCUAUUUUUUGAUUGUUAAACAUGUUUUCUUAUUCUUUUAUUCUUGAAGACAAAGGCAAGUUGGUCAUUCAUGUAGCUUAUUUUUUUAUUGUUAAACAUGUUUUCUUAUUCUUUUAUUCUUGAAGACAAAGGCAAGUUGGUUAUUCAUGUAGCUUACAUGGUGUGAUCACUUCAAAGGAGAGGUCAUAUGCAAUUAAAAUUUAAUGAAGUAUAAAUUAUUGGCUUGUUUUAGUAGAGGUUUGGCUGAGUAUCAUCAAUAGUGCUUUAAAAUUUGGUAAUAUUAGAAGUCACUUUAAGAUUGGAAUUGGUUGUAGAGGAUUACACUUCAUAGAGUUGUUAUCAUUAGUCAUUCUUUUUCUGUAUAUUUAUAAAUCCUUAUAACCGAUCAUUUUGUAUCUACUCUGUAACAGUGCAAACUCUUAGAACAAUAUUCAAAAAGCUAAACUACAAAUAUUGGAACAUAAGCCAAGCUUCAUGCAAUCGAGAUUUCAACCGAACCAUCGAUGAUAAUAGCUACAGCAAUGUCACAUGCAACUGUACCUUCAAUGAAGGAACUGUUUGCCAUGUCACAAACAUGUAUGAUUUUCUUUUCUUGUUCUUCCCUGACAUGAUACAUAUAUCAAAAAUUCAAUCCAUUAGAUUAAUGGAAAAGUAAUUGCAUGAGUAUAUGGAAUGGAAUAUUAUUUGUUUAAUGUUAAUAGGAAAGAAUUAAAGACAUCUUUGGAUUACAGAGGCAUUAUUUUUCCUUUCUAUCUCUUUGUAGGGCCCUUUGAUUUUUGUGCUUUGGUAAAUUCCCAAUGCAUUCAUGGACUAAAACCUUGUUUUCAUGCAAAAUGAAUUGCCCAAAGUCUAGUGAAUGAAAGCCUUGUCUUUGUUUUAUAUUGAUUCAGUUUCGAUCUCUUGAACUUGAUUUGCAAAUGCCUUGUUUCCAUAUCAAUUAACAUAUGUUAGUGAGCAAUUAAUUCUGUCAUUAAGUCCACUUUCUAGUGGCUGAAUGAAAUGGCCCAAUGCAACUAGAGCUUUCUUGUGGAUUUUCACUUGCUCAUAAUGUCAGAGUGCUAAAGGGUAAAUGUUGGUUCCCACACUAUUUGAUCAAAGCUUCAAAUGAUUGUUUACAUUGAUUAUUAGGUUUCCUGUCAUAACUUUGACCUUUUCCACUUUUCAAGAUAAAAUUGAAUGUCUAUUUUUUAUUAUACAUAUUAUAAUAUAUGGUUAAAAGAACACUUUGAUGAUCGAUCUAUAAAAGAAUUGAUAUGGUUUGAUUCCUCAAUUGAAUCAGUAGUAUCUCUAGAGUCCGCUUCUUCUCAAUGUUAUGCGUACAAAGAGAAAAAGUAAAAACUAUCAUUAAAGCAGUCCAAGCAAGACUUAGAGUGCGCUUGACAGUGUUUUAUAUUUGAAGUAUUUUUAGUUUAAGUGUUUUUAAGAGAAUUACCCAUCAAAUACUUCUCCAAAAAGUACUAUUAGUGAUUUUUCAAUUUUUUAAAAGUAUUUGUUGAAUUUUGUCAAACGCCUUAUCUUUCUUUACAAACGCCUUAUCCUUCUUUACAAACGCCUUUUAUGCUAGAAGUGCUUUCUCAAAUAGUGGAAUCAAUAGCAUAAGUCAAAAAAGGAUUAUCACCCAACACCAUUGAUAAACCAAUCCUAUAAAACCACUUAUGAUAAAACAAGUCCUUAUAGGAUUUCUAGUAAAGUCGGAAAACAUUAAGCAGAAGCACAAUAUGCUUAGGAGUGAGCACUUUAGCCUGUCUACCAAGCCUAGUUAUUUUGUUAUAUAUCAGUUGUACUUUUCCUUUUCUUAUUUUUUGCUUCCUUUUGUGAAUUACAGCCAGCUGAAGGGUCUUGAUUUGGAUGGAACUUUACCUGAUGAGUUUGGAGAUCUUCCUUAUCUGCAAGAACUGUAAGUGACAUGUUUCUCGACAUUGGGAAGUCAAUUGACCAAAUUUGCCUUGAUGUUUCAUUGGGUUUUUUCAACCUAUCAGACAAAUUUCUUAACUCAAUAAUACCUUAAUCCCUACUACAUGGGGUUGCAGUUUCACUAAACUACAGAGGUUAGUUCACUUCUGAUGUGUUUGAAUAUACCAUGGAAUUAAGUUAGACCAUUGUGUUUCAAAUAACAUUCAAAACAAGUCCAUUGCGUUUACCGUAGUAUUUACAUGAUUUUAUUGCCUUUUUUAAAUAAUAAUAAUAAUAAUAAUAAUAAUAAUAAGUGCAGGCAAAGAUUAAAACAAAUAAUCUCAUUUCAGUUUUGUUGUGGUGAUUACCAACUUUUGUGUUUUCUAGUAAUAGUAAUAGACUGGAUAAACUGUCAUGGGACAGCUAAAUAUUGCCUGAAAAUUAUUUGAUCAUCAUCAUCGGAUUCAGUUUUUGAUAUUGUACAGUCAUCUCCAGUAUCUGACUUGAACCCAAAUGAGGGAUUCUUCUUUUAUCCGGUGACCAUGUAAAAUUAAGAUAUACUAAGGGAUUCUUUUUUUUUACUAAAGCAGUGAUCUCUCCCGAAACUAUAUCAAUGGAUCGAUCCCUACAAGUCUCAGUCGGCUUUCUCUUACCAUUCUGUAAGUUCUGAUUAAUUGCAUUUGCACUUGUGAGGUGAGGAUCCUGUUUUCCAGUAAUUUACUAAGUAGUUCAUAGUUGGGAAAGUUUAACUUUUGGUACACUGCAGCGCUCUUGUUGGAAACAGAAUCUCUGGGUCGAUUCCUGAAGUAAUCAGUAAUAUCAGUACACUUGAGGAGCUGUAAGUCAUGAAAUGGAGUUGAAUGUCUAUUAGAGAAAUUAAUGAUGCCCAACCUUGAUUACAAAUCCAAAUUUACUUUUCCAGGGUCUUGGAAGCUAAUCAGCUUGGAGAACAUCUCCCUCCAAGUCUUGGAAAGUUGAGUCAUUUAAGGAGACUGUAAGAAUGCUGUUCUCAUCCCUUUCCUUAUAUGCAUAUUAAUUAUUCAUUUCUUUUAUUUCAAAUAAUCACUAAGUCCUUGUAUUCUGGUUGUAAUCUGCUUAGCUGCCAAAAUGCCCAAAAUCAAUUUGAGGAAGCUAAUUUUUUGAGUCAAAGACUUUUAUAAUGCAUUUUGUGUGAUGAAAUGACUCAUGGAUAUGGUGAUUGUAUACUGGUUGAGUUCAUUUUCAGUUGCACAAUUGCUUGUUUUUGAGUUCAUUUACUUCGAGUUAAUGAAAAUAAUGGGAAGAUGGAUUUUCAUAUAUUUGAAAGUGCAAUCUACCUUUUUUGUUCCUUUAUCUCCAGAGUGAAUCAUGAGAAAUAUUUAUAACCAAGAAGACAAAUAUAGGCGAACAUGGCUAUGAACUAGGCGGUUUUUAUGGACUGACAGAUGGAAAUUCAUAUAGGCUAUUUCUAUUUUUCUAACAUUAAGAAACCGAGUUUAGUAUUCAUUAAUUCAUCCUAUGAUGAAAUGGAGAUGUCGAGCAUGAUUUGUAAUGCUUCAUAGAGAAUAGAAGUAAAGAUGAUGAGGACUAAUCUGCUGGGUAUUUACACCUUGUGCUUUUAAUGCCAAAGUUCAUCAUUUGGGAAGUUACUUUGUUUGGAGGGUGAUAUUUUUUCUUAAUGUUUUCAACAAAAGACUUUGCAUUGACCCUCUAUUCUGGUUGUGUUGUCUAAUUACUAUUUUCAGGGAAUUCAUCUGUUUUUUUUCUUUUGGUUCUCCUACAGUGUUCUUUCUGCAAACAAUUUCAUUGGAACAAUACCAGAAAAUUUUCACAAUCUGAAGAACCUAACUGAUUUGUAAGUGAUAUAAUUAUUUGGACAUUUAUACUUUUAUGCAAAUUUAGAGUUUUCUGUACUCCAUGUACCAUUUGCAGUAGGAUAGAUGGGAAUAAUUUAUCUGGGAAGAUACCAGAUUGGAUUGGGAAUUGGACCAACCUUGAGAAACUGUGAGUAUUAUACUUCAUUUCAUUUACCUGCCAAUUUGUCCACUGAGAAAAUUUUCAUACAAGCUCAGUUAAAUUCUCUAGUUAUCUAUAAAGAUAUUAAACUGUUGCAGGUAUCUGCAAGGCACAUCAAUGGACGGGCCCAUUCCUUCUACUAUAUCCCAGUUGAAAAACUUAAUCGAAUUGUGAGCAUGUGUUCCACUAUCUGAUAGUUGCUUUAUUCAGUUCAUGAUGUUAUUCACGGUUAAAAUUGAAUUCAUAGAAAUAUAAGCAUGUAAUUUGUUUUGCUGUAUCUUAAUCGUCAGGUUAAUAUCUGAUUUGAGUGGACCGACUACAUCUUUCCCCAAUUUGAAGGAUAUGAAAAACUUAAAAAUAUUGUGAGUUGAAGAUAGAUAUACUUCAUGAAUCAUUGACAAGCUGCAGUCCCAAGUUAUCCACUUUAUGUUCCAUUAACUUAUCAAGAUGUUUUACUCAUUUGUGUUAUGCAGGGUGAUGAGAAAUUGCUCCAUUACAGGUGAAAUCCCAAAAGACAUUGGAUAUAUUGAGAGUUUAAAACUUUUGUAAGUUUUUUUUAAUGGGUGUUCUUAGAGAUGUUCUUAAUUUUCUUCAUUGGUAUAUAUGUAUGUAAGAAGAAAAAUAUAAUCAGGAUAUAAUUGUUCUAUGGCAUACGAUCAGUAAAUUACAUGGUUGUAUGGAAACAACUUCUUUUCUGAUUCAUGUUGAACUUUUUUCUUGCAGAGACCUGAGCUUCAACAGACUGAAUGGUAAAAUUCCAGAGAGCUUUAAGGAAGAAAAAGAGGACAGAGCAAAACUUAAUUUCAUGUAAGUUAAAUACUUGUAAUAAAGUGGAAUUCUAAAUAUUCAGAAAUAUACAUUUUAUUUGCUCCUUAACCAAUCAUUUUUAUCCAUUCAUAGCUUGUUUAAUUGUAACUGAGAUAUGGUGCUAUCUAUGUACACAGGUUUCUCACCAACAACUCACUGACUGGAGAAGUGCCCAACUGGAUAAGUUCGGACACUAAAAACAAUAUGUCAGUAUUUGUCAGUCUCCUGUUGUUCUGAUUUGGCUACGAUAUCAUUCAUUUAUUGUAGAAUGUUACAUACAGAUGCGGUCUUUUUUUAUUAGUGGUUCUUGUGAAACCAAAUUAAUAUUUCAAUCUCUCAUUCAAUCAAGAAAUAUAUCACUAACUCCACUUCAAUCUCUGUUGCAGUGAUUUAUCUUACAACAAUUUUACAGGGCCACUUCUUUGGUCUUACAAAAACCAAGUGUAAGCUUUCUUCCAUCUAUUAUUUGUACAUUUUGUUCUGUUUUUCCCUCAUCUUCUUGAAACAUUUUUUCAUAACUCCACAGGAACUUGGUUUCAAGUUAUGCAUCUUCAGCAAGAGAGAUGUACGUUCUUCCAACCUUGUUUUACAUGUGCAUUCAGCAUUAGAAUAAUAAACAAGAGACUGAAUCAAAGUUCAACUUUGUAGGACCCCUUGGUUAAAGAAGGAUCUCCCUUGCCCUCGAAAAGCCAAAUGUAAGCUUUUGUAACCUAUUGUACUCUGCUAGUAUGAAGUGGCAAAUAAGUUGAAUCUCUGCCUUGAUUCCAAUUACAUUUACUUGCAGACUAUUCCUUGUAUAUCAAUUGUGGAGGAGUGCAAACAACUUUUAAAAGGAAGGCAUAUGAAAAAGACGACAAUGUUGAGGGUCCAUCACAGUUCUUUACUGAUAGUAUAGACAAAUGGGCUUAUAGCAGUACAGGGGUUUUCAUAGGUGAUGAGGAUGGUAGUCACCUAGCCAAAAACACAUCUGCUUUGAACUCAGAGGAUGCUGAGAUCUACCAAACUGCUCGUCUUGCUCCCAUCUCACUCAAGUAUUAUGGGCUUUGCUUGCGAAAGGGCAUUUAUAGACUGCGACUCUACUUCGCUGAAAUCAUGUUUUC
Molecule: long non-coding RNA, 98360 nt
Filed under: Vitis vinifera (wine grape)
Lineage: Eukaryota; Viridiplantae; Streptophyta; Magnoliopsida; Vitales; Vitaceae
Description: long non-coding RNA (VVIN_LNC006372)
Source: RNAcentral